This 122902-nucleotide long non-coding RNA is filed under the name Musa acuminata (dwarf banana). RNAcentral's name for it is "long non-coding RNA (MACU_LNC000778)". The record is from RNAcentral. Lineage: Eukaryota; Viridiplantae; Streptophyta; Magnoliopsida; Zingiberales; Musaceae.
GAGGCUUGGCUUGGAGGUUUUCGUGCGGGAGAAGCCACACGCGUCAACGGGAGGGGUAUACGGUUAGGCACGCGUGAGGGAGGGUUUGUUUCUGGAAAGACAACUGGCACUUAUGAGAAGGUGACGUCAUAGCUCUCGACAUUGGGGUCGUGGGAUGCGGAGGUGGAAUUCCACCUGCGGUUGGUGGAGACGGUUGGGGCCCAAGCUAGCUGGUAUCUCAUCUUCUGGACGCCCGGGGAAACCUGGAAUUAAUAAAUCCCUUAAAAAUCGUGCUUUAUUUUUAUGUGAAGCACAAUGGAUGAUGAAAGCAAUAAUACGAUGAUGACGUGUCAAGGUGGUGGCGUGCUUCACGACAGGAGGGAAUAAAUGAUGUUAUGCCCGUCCCAAUCCCAAUUAAUUUCGGAAAUUACUGGGACAAACACACGAUGAGUUUGGUUUGAAAUUGUCAUUCAUAAAUGUGAGUGCAUAUGAUAAACGAGUGAAGGUGCAAUGUAUAAUAUGGGUGGACGAGAGGGUAACGUGUUGUUAAGAGUAAGUCAAAGUUAUGUUCGUUACAGCAUUGAGGAACGGGGAUUUCUUAGGCCGGUUGUUUAAGAUUAUAAGAGUCAAAUUCUACGCCGAACGUAGAUUAACUUUCUCUGGCUUUCUAACGUGGAGCUCUACCGAUCGCCCUAUCGGUGUUCGGUAUCGCUAUUUGCCAAAGGUUGAUGUCGUCUCCAAAGCACAGGGGGGAAUCUGGACUCGGAAGACUUCCACGAAAGAGGUUACGAUGACGCACCUGAAUAAAGUUGAUGCUUGGUGGUGAAGUGAGUCGUGGUCCAAAUCCGAUGGAAGUGCUGGGUUCGGGACUGGAAUCGCGACCGAACACGCAUGUGGACGUACCCAUGAAGUGGAAACCAGAACGAUGGAGAGAGUGAUAUGAUGCCGACGUAUCACAUGGAGUGUCGUGCAGCGGGCGAACCGCAGCGUCGAGCGUGGGGUACUAUUCCCACUUCCGGAGACACUCGGUGGCAAUUGUCCUUGGGAAUGAAUCUUAUCCGGAUGAAGAAUGCGUAAUGAUUUGAGCUAAUUUGAUUUGAGCAUUGUUAUAUUCAAUUAGAUAGUAACGAAUGGUGUCUGAUUUCACUUAGUAUUGGAGAUGUGGAAGAAUCGAAGUUGUGGAAAGCUACCCGUUGAUGGCAUAUUAAGAUGUAUAUCUACCAUUAAUUGAUCAUUUUAUGUUAUAUUGAUUUAACUUUAUAUAGAUUCGAUGAAUAUGUAAUCGUUAAUUUAUAUUGAUACGCGAGCAUAGUAAAUAGAUACUAUGAUAGUACAUCAUGUCCAUUUGAUCAUCGAUAUGUCAAUCGAAUCAUAGUCUCUCAAAGUCGACACUAUGAUGCUGAUAGGAUUUUGAUAAUCCUAAGCUCAAAACAAGUCAUGACCUUAUGAUUUUAGUUGGAUGAUUCAUCGUAUGAUCUCAUAAUUCAUUGAUAGUCGAACAAUUUAUAUAAUUAUUCUUAAUAUUUAUCUUAAUCUUGACUUAAUACUCACUCUAACAUGCUAUACAAGGAGUCCCUAAGGACUUUUUUUUAACUUUCUUGUAUUUUAUUUUUGAAUCUCCUACUAAUUUAAAUAUUAGAGCGAUUUUUGUUGAAUGUAUCCCCGAUAUAAUUCAUGAGGAUUGUUAUUUGAAUAUCAGGUCCCUAAAUACCUAAGAUGAUCUCGAAAAUGAAACCCAUUUGGCUUUGAACUCUUUCUCCAUAUAUUAUAUUAUAGACAACUGGAAUUUAACAUAACUGAGGCUAACUUAUAAAGAUUUGAUUAGUAUAUACUCAUUAAUUUAUAUGAUUCUAGAUUUAUUAAUUAGUGAGUCAAUUCCUCUAUUAAAUCGAAUCACGACAACAUUGAAGUUUAUAUUAAGCACCUUAAUUUAACGGUGGUCGACUUUUUUACUAUGGCGAUGAUAAGUUCUACAAAGAUAGAAGACGUUUUUAUCGGAGCUCAAAAGAUGGGAAAGGUAAAAAUCCAUCCAAAAGCUCAAGAGAUAGGAUAGAAAAAGAAGUGGGUGAAGGGAAUGAUAACGACAAGAUGAAUCGAUUGGAAUUUGGUAUGCGUAUUCUAGUCAUUUCAUAGAGUCGGAUUUGACAUGGAUUGGUGUCAUGCUAUUCAUGUGUAUCCUAUGCAUGUCACUUGAAGUGUCUCUCGCAAGAAAGAGGUUGAUCGGAGAGUAUGGAAGCGGAACAUGUUAUGAGCCACCGAAGUCUUCGCCCACACCCCCGAAGAGUUGUCGUCAUGUUGCCAGCAUUAGGCAUUCCGUCUUCUGGAAGGUCUCCGUUUCCCUUUACCCAAUUGGGAGCGUUGUUGGGUUGGAUUCUGUCGGAUACCAACACCACCUAACAUAAUGGAUCUGAUUUAAUGGAUCCGGUAAGGGCCUUUCAUAGUAAGUAAGACACGAGGCAAUUGCAUCUGAGGAUGUGGUUAAAGAUUGAAAACGGUUACAAACUUUAUUCGAUCAUAAACAUGAUCAUGAUCGUGCAACGUCGAACUUAGAAGACAUGAGGUAAUGAUUGCCUAAGUCAGCCUUUUUUUUUUGUGACGUGAUCGAUUUUGAAGGGUUGAGUCAGCCUCCCAAUUUGUGCAAUGCAAUGACCACACUAAUCGAACGAGGCUGAGGUGUCAACCCAAUAUUCAUAAUCCUCUUAUCACCAAUCAAACUAAUAUUCAUAAUUAAAUUAGACUCGAGUCAUCAUUAUUAUGUGAGAGGAUAAAAGAAUUUGGGAAGAAGAACUAAAACAAUAAGAAUGAUCUCUAUGUGGUUAAAACUAAAUGUUUAAUAUAAUUUUAUAAAUUAUUAGUCUAACCCAUUUUGACAACUAUAAAAAUAAUAUAAUAAUAUAAAUUAUAGUUUAAAAUAUCUUAUAAAUAAUAAAUUAUUUAUUACAAUUCAUAUUCCAGUCAUUUUGGUAAUAACUACUCAGGUAAAACUUAGAGAUAUAAGUUAUAAAUAAUAUUCACUAAUUUUUUAUCAAUCUAAUUUAUAUAUAAAUAAUUUAAUAAAUAAAAUAAUAAUUAUUAAACAUUAAUCAACAUAAAAAAAAAUUAUGAUGGCUAUAAUCAUGAUAAAACAUAAAUCAUACCUUUAUAUAAAAAAAUAAAAUAUUAUUUAAUAAUUUUAAAUAUAUACAUAUGAAGAACUACACAAAUAUCGAAAAAAUUUAAAAUUUAAAUAUCAUAAGUAAAUUUUUUACCAAUAUAUCAUAUGAUAAAACUAUGAAAGAAAAAUAUAAUUUAUGAUUUUUUAUUUAAUAAAUAACCUAAAUGAGAGAAUUAGUCUUAUUUAAGUAAACAUUUCAUAAUUGAGUCAAAAUUAAGCUAUCCAGAUUAGACCCAACAACCAAUCUAAUUAAAUGAAUCAUAAUUAGGUUUAGUCAAAAAUCCAAUUUAGAAACAAAUUGAUCAAAGAUUGGAUUAAAAUUAGGCUUCAAUCAAAAUUUGAUUAAAGCAUGUCAAAUUGGUCAAUUUUAUAGUUGAAGACCUAAGUCAAAAAUACUUAAUUUUGAAAGGAUAAAAUUAUACUUUUGUUAAGAUAUAUAUUGAAUAUAUCUAAUUUCUGAACCUUAGAAGUGUCAAGGUCAAUUUCGAUUGAAAUUAAAAAAUAUAGAAGGGUAAAAUAGUCUUUUAAUAGGUGAAGAAAGGCCUACUGUCACCACGGUGGGUAGUCAUCCGUUGCCUAUGCAUCGUCAACCCGAACUCCCCUCGCAACCAACUAGCGAUCCCUUUUCGUAGUGCCCAUAUCCGCGAAUGACAAGCGAACCCUAACGGUUGCUGUGCAAUCGUUGAGCAACCUACAUUGGUGGCUACUCAAUGGCUGAUGACUUGGCACAGGUACUAGCGACGCAUUGGAGAAAUAUUGCAUCGAUCAUUAUGCUACGCGCUUGAGCCGCUUUGAACCGUGGCCACCACGUAGUGAUCUCCUCAAUGCGAUGACUAUGCUAAUGAUGUAGCACUGCAAGUGGAUUGCCACUGCCAUCCGCAACAAUCGAAAAAAGCCACCAUCGCGCAUUGUUGUGAAGCACAACCACCUAGAUUGCCCAACCAGAGCCGCACACAAGCAUCUUCCCAUGACAUCUCCAUCACACGAUCAUUGUGCGAACCUUCAUCCGUUCAAUCGUGGGCUGCAAACUUGUUUUAUGGUCGCUUACCUCUCUGUGUAUGGCGAUCGUCAGCUCAAAAAGCAUCUUGGCAUUUGUCCGUCCUCUAGUCUAGCGUUGUAUGUAGCAAUGUUGACGUCUGCAUAGUUACUGCCUACGGUUGGGCCGACGACCACAGUUGUUAGCCACCCUUCGUAAUGUCGUCAUUGAUAACAAAUUUCAAUGACAACUAAUCGAUUAAACAUGGAUAGCAUAUUGUCCCGACUCUACCUACAUAAGACAAAAAAUCUUACAUCACCCAUAAGUAGGCGAAAAGACGAAUGAGAUAGAAAAAUAAAUUGAUAACAGAAACGAUUGUUCAAUCAUCAUACAAAUAAAAUCGAAUAACAUUUUUUCACAAGUGAAGGGUUAUUAACAAAUAGUUCUAAAUACAAAAUAGAUAUAAUAUACUUUUAUAAUAUAAUAUAUUUAAUUUUAAAAUAAUAAAUUUGGAUACCAAUUAUAAAGAUAAAAACUAUAAAUAAGAUAUUGUUAUUGCUAAUCAUAGGUGUCCUGCAAGCCAAUCACGUAAGUUAUGGUACGUGUGACAUAAUAUAUACUAUUUUUAUUUAUUAUAUUAUUUAAUAUUUUAUUAUUAUUNNNNNNNNNNNNNNNNNNNNUAUAUAUAUAUAUAUAUAUAUAUAUAUAUAUAUAUAUAUAUAUAUAUAUAUAUAUAUAUAUAUAUAUAGUGAUGUCCAUGGAUCUAUACAAUGAGAAUCAGAUCGUGAUGAGAUCACAAUAACGAGACCGAUUCGUCUUUAAACACAUAUCCUAAAUAAUCUCGAUCAUAGGUUACUCGAUAGGGAUAUCGAGAUAAUCGGACAUAUUAGUAUAUUGUAUACCCGUCCAUAUGAUGGAAGUGACUGGUCUCAUAGCUGCUCGUGUGGGGACAUUAUGAACAUAGUACAUGUGCUCAUUGGAAAAUGAAUUAAUUGGAAUGCUAAGUCUGGUAUCGAAGAGUAGAGUCUAUUUAUAUUAAUCGAGAACUUCCAGACUAAUUCAAUAGGAAUUAAUCGAGAUUGAAAAAACAUCUAGUAUAUUAUCAUAUAAGAGAUAGUGUCUAUUUAUAAAUAACUGCAACAACAGAUAAUAUAGAAUAAAUAAUAAAAAAAAUCACUUUUAUCAAAAUUAUCUCCUGAUUUUUUUUUCUAUUAAUUAAUAACUACAAUCAAGAUAUCUAUAACAUAUUUUAUCUAAUUAAAUUGAACCACAUAAUAACAUUUAUAUCUAACCUAACAUAUGCAGAUCAAGAGAUGCAAUCUAGAAGACUAAAAAAAAAGUCACUAGAGACAAUUACAAGCAAAUCGAGCAAUUAUCACCGUGUCAGCACUAAGGAGAACAAUUAAACGUGCUUAAGGAGACACAACUUGAAUUCCAUUAAAUAAAAAAAAAAGUUCCAAGGAUCGAUUGCUAAGGUCGAAAAUUUUGAACAGAGCAGUGGAGGAAAAGCGUAAAUUGCGCAAAGCCAGCCAUCGAAUACUUGGCGUCCUCUGUUUCGAACCCGAGCUCACACGACGGAGAUCUUCGCCCCGACUUCCUCCAGCUGCUUCUUGGCCUCCUCCGCCUCCUCCUUCGACACGCCCUCCUUGAACUUCUUCGGCAGGCCCUCGAUCAGGUCCUUGGCCUCCUUGAGCGCCAGGUUGGUCAGCGCCCGGACCACCUUGAUGGUGGCGAUCCUGGCGUUGCUCGGGACAUCCUCGAUGACCACGUCGAACUCGGUCUUCUCCUCGACCGCGGCGGGGGCACUGCUCGCCGCGUCGGCGGCGGCUCCCGGGGCGACGGCCACCGCGGCGGGGGCGAAGGCGGCGGCCGAGACGCCGAGGCGGUCCUGGAGGUGGUCGACGAGGCCGCGGGCUUCCUCGAGGGUGAGGUUGCAUAUGAGGUUGCCGACCUCCUCGACCUUGGGGGAGACGGCCGCGGGCGGGCGGAGGAAGGCGGCGCGGCGGUGGGAGCGGAGGGACAAGGGUUGGGAAGGGAACUUGAGUGCCGGGGAGGGGGCGGCAGAGGAGUUGGUGGAGUAGGAGGAGACGAGGAAGAGCGCGGAGGUGAGAGUGGCCGCCAUUUUCCUCUUCUUUCUCCUCGCUUGUGCCUCGAGCGGAAUGGGAUGAGAAAGGCGCGCGAGAGAAUGGAUAAGGCAGGGAAGCAGCAGCAGCAAGAAAUGGGAGGUUUGGGUGGCCAAAAGUGGUCGCCUUCCUAGGGAGAUAAGCCUGCGGCUUAAACCUGGUUGAGUUCAACCCGAGUCGUAGCGAGAUCCAGUUGACUCAAGAGUCUGAUCCAGACGCAAUCUUGAUUCAACCUGACCCAAUCUAAUUCGAUCCAACCUAAUUUAAUCGCUUGGUUCAUGCAGAGGAACAGUGAUAUCUUCUUUGUAACCGCCGCUAUAAUCAUGCUUUCAGAGUCGUGAAGUUCGUUAGCUCACUGUUAUAUGGUUCGCUACAUCGACGACACUACCGAUGGACGCCGCUCGCCACCCAUCGCUCGGCCGCGGCUCCCGCACUCGACGUCGGCCGGCUUGAUCUCGAUCGCUGGCGAAAUGCAUCGGAGUCAGGUUGGUUCGUCUCGCCUCGAUCGCUCCCCUUUUCCCGUACGUACUUCUUGCGAACCCAAAGUUCGUUCUUUUACGCCAUGGAACAUCCCAAAUCUGAGCACUUAUAUUGUUGGGGGGUCAGUGUUAAUUUGCAUUCUUCUACGGAGGAAAUAGUGGUUUUCAUACCCUAUUACCACCUUUCACUUCAUGAUCAUUGAGAUUCUUGGCAUCGCUGUCAAAUUCACCAGGUUUUUCCGUCGGUUGAUGAUCCACUACCAAUUGUUUGCAACCACGGGAUGAAUGCUUCUCAACGAGAAGGCUCACAACUCCUUUUAGUUCGACUUAGGGUUUGUCCAAACCCUAGGGAAGAAAAGGUGUUAGAACCAGUGAAUUUUGAUCAAUUCUUUUAGGGUUCCCGUAUCGUAAGCUUGAGCCCAUCGAGAUGAGUAUAUCCUGCCUCUUUGGCACUUUGUGUUUCUGGACCCCCUUCGAAGGCUUGGGUAACUCUUUUAUUGCUAUGCAGGUUGAGUUAUAGUCCAGAUAUGUAUAUAUCAAAUGUUUGGACGGUAGAAGGUGCAGGAAACCUUGGUUGAUCGUAGAACACAUAUUUUGAUGAUAAUGCUACCGCUGUGUGCAGAAUCUGAAAUCUGUAGCAUGGUAGUUCAUCUGCGUACAGGAUUGUCGUACGAGAUGUUAUCACGACAGUCACAUUGUUUUUGGUGAUCAAUUAGGCAACAUCUAAGCUCCCGAUUACCUUUGGAACAGUCAUAAAAGCUUUUUUUUGGGGCAUCUAGCUUUUCUUUUUAGGAAAAUGUUCCUGAGCAAUUGUAUAUGUUAUUUUGUUCUCACCAUGCCUUCUUUAGUUUUCCUAGUCCUCUCCACAAACCUUUAAUUUGAAUUAGCUUACUUUAUUGUUGGUCCUUACAGAGGGCUAUUUCUUAUCCAUGUUCAAACUACCAUCCAGUCAUUUUGGACUAUUUGACAUGAACAAAAUCCCAGUCUAUUGAGUAGCUAAAAGUAAAACUGAGACAAGUGCUCCAUGAGGAGCCAGCAAUUUUCUGUAACAUUUGACAUAAAAUUACUGAGUAUAAAGUUUAAUGGUACAGUAGUUCCUUUUUGGCUUUUCAAAGAUGCUUCAUGCAAAAAAGUUGCAUUUGUUUUUUGGAACUACUUAGUUAAUGCCUGGAUGUGCUUGUGCUUAUCUUUAGUCUUGAUAGAACACUUAAACUUGUGUAGAUCCAUAGAAUUUGCAAAAGAAAGAAAAAGAAAGGAAGUCAACUAACUCUCUUGACCAAGAGGAUGCUACAGUAGUUUAUAUACUUUUAGAGGUUGAGAGCCUAGAGAUGCACAGUCAUUGAAAGGGAUCACAUUCCUUAGAUCUCUCAUGAUUACUUUUGUUUUUCGCUCUACAUUUUGUACUAGGCAACAGAGGAUGCAGGGAUGUAAUUGGUUUUGGGCUUUGACAUGGCCACCAUUAUUAAAAGCAGGCCUCAAGUAGGUCUCUCCUUCCAGGACAGCGUCUUCUGGUUUAAAGUCAAGUGAUUCAUCUAGAUAUCCCAACAUUUUGGGCCAGUAAAUCUCUGGGGCUUAGAACCCUAAUAUUAUCCUUGUUUGUAACAAUACUAGAGUUAAGAGCCAUUUUUUGUGCAACUUGUGGGAUUAUCCUGCUUGGACUUAUGAUAAGUUGUGACCAAUGUAAGGCUACCUUAAUUUUUGUAAGCUCAGGCACCCUCUCAUGGCUUGGAAUCAGAUUGUAGACAAGUGGAAUAGGCUAGUACGUUUUCUUAAAUAACAUGUUCAAGAAAUCCUACCAAAAUGAGGUCAGAAAGAGACUGAGAAACACAUGUUUCAUACAGUGAUCGCUGUGUCAGCUGUCAACCACUAAUAUCAUAUCAUGUUUGUCACUUUCCCUAUCUUCACGAUCUAUCUAAAAGCUACCAGCUACAAGACAUUUGCAUUUUUUGGAUGAGAUGAGUCAUAAAGAACGGUUGUACAGGCAAAGGGGUAUCAUUGUCUCAAUAGCUCAUCUUGCUGUGCUCCGCAAGUUACAACUAGCAGCAGGCAAGGGGUUAUCAUCAGUAUGCCUCUAGUUAAAAACACCAUGUUCAUGAAUUCAUUUUUCUAAACUGUACAAGAAGCUAAAUUAAAUAGAUUAAGGCAUACUUCUUUUUUUCUCCCUAGAACUAACGACUAAGAUGAUCCUAUAUGUGUAACUGGAAUCUAGCAAGAAUUAAACAAAGCCUGCUUGCAAAUAAUGCUGCCUUUGGAAAGUACUAUAUGAGUUUCUUGACUAAGUUACCCUAUCAUAAUGUAUAUUUUACAUGUUCUUCUUCAUGGUUUGUUUGCAUCAGCUUAUUUGUAAGUCUAGCAUGCUUGUCGACUUGAGGAAUGAAAUGUUCCAACGAAUUAUCAUCUGCCAAAUGAUUAACAUGUGUGCAGGUUUGGAGAGGCAGGAAGAAGGAAGUAAGUGUCAGCCAAAAGAAACAUCGUCUGUCUUUCUUACAUUCCAAACACACAGCUUGGGGUAAUUGAUGGCAUAGGCAGCCAUGCACCUGGUUCUCAGGUGGGUAAACAGGUUUGAUCUCCUGGAUGAUGCAGCCCCGGAGUCGAAGCGACUAGAAUUGCACCGAAGGCAGGAUUGCCGCCACCAGCAGGUAUGCAAAAGCAACUGUAAUGUGCAUGCUGUCUUAGGUCAAAAACAAAUGGUUUGGAUGUGAAAUAUUAUGUUGGAUCUCAUCGAGUGGUCAACCAAAGGUGUGUUCUUAUACAUCACAUUCAUAAACUUAUUAAGCAGGUGUCAUUUGUUGUUGGCAAUAGCACACUUCCUGAGUUCAAUCUGUACACUAUGAUAAACGUCGAAUGAAGUUAAAACACUGUUUGUUCAAGAACUAGGACUUCUCAUUAUUUGUCAUGUUCAAGAACUUAUCAUCACCACACCUCGUUAUGAGCAUACAACUAUUUUGCAAUAGAGUAAAUCAAGCAUUUUAUUGUUUCUUAUUCUCUAAACUGAUAUCCUUGAGAUUCAUCAAUUAUGUGUGCACUUGUGAUUCGCAGAAACAGAAGUGGAAUAGCCAGAUUCGAUGAUUUAUCUGCCCUCUUGGCAGGGACUUGUCACCGGGCGACUCCCACGGAAAAGAUGCCACGGUCGAGGUUGAUCGAAGACAAUGAAGUGCUUACAUGCGUGCGUGCGUGCUACCUUUUUCUUCACAGGGUGAACAGUCGGUGUGACAAGUGUCCUCGAAGUUUGUCGCCCCUUUUCCUACAAUCCACGAGAGGAGGAGACAGUACGAGUCAGCAUCCAUCAGACGCACCAGGAAAGGAAAGGAGUGAAUCGUCUGCCAUGUCCAGGGAAGCUCACAUGGAUGCAUCACCCACCUCCCAUCCAAGCCCGGGUAAUGAAGUUGCAAUAUUCCUUUCUUAUAUUCUUUGCACAAGUCUCUCAAUUCCAGUUUGCUCUCUCUCUUCUUCUUCUAGAUUUUCCUCAACUUUCCUGCAGAGGCUUACUGAUGAGAGGCUAUCAGAUGUCGAAUAUGGAUUUCGUAUCAUUGUUUCUGUUCCUAAGAAUAGUAUCCAUAUCAGAUCUUGCGCCGACAGAAUUAUCACAAAUUUUGAAUGUUCAAAGUAUACCGACAAGGACAGAUUUCAGAGAGUCCACGCUUCCAAACAAGAAACAUUAGGACCACAGAUAUGCAUUGUCAAGGUCCAAGAUGUGGCAAAUGUUUGGGCUCAUUCUCUUUGAGAUAAGAUGAAGAGUUCCAUCCACCGGUACAGCUUCUAGAGGGGAACUAAGCAAUACCAUCAGCCGAACAAGUCUGCAUGUCUCGAGUCAUCGAGGCAACCCACAAUACGGCAAGCUGAUGAGUGAUCCAUUAAAGAAAGCUUGGGAUGAAUGGAAUCCUACACAAAAGGACUGUUCUGUUAUCGAAGCAGGUAUAAAGCUUGUGCGGACCAUUCUUUCUCCACUGGCAGAGUUCUUUACCCUUUCUUUAUCUUGUUUUGUUUCAGGUUUAAUGAUUCUCCCGUCCAACCACUCGACCUAAAAGCUGCUUCUAAAAAUGAUGUCCCCCGAGAAAUGUCAACUUUAGGCCACUUCAUCUCAACUCAUAAAGAAUGCCCAUUUUGCGUGAACAGCUGCACCCGUUUCUUUUGCUGCAUGUUACAAGUUCGUUUUAUAUGUAUAUAUUUACAUAUAUAUAUGUUGAGGGGCUUCCAUCGACCUAAAUUAAUUAUUAAGAUGAUGUGACUAGUAAUGUGGAAACUAGACCUUAUGAGCCUUUGUUGGUCAAUAAAGACUGCAAGCACAAUGUCAAGGUACAUGUGGAAACAUUGGGGGGACAUCAAACAUAAAUCAAGUCACUGUCACUCCUUAGCAAGUUCAGACGUGGGCACAGUGUCAUCUAUUAUCUUUAUCUACUUAAAGUCUAGCCGGAGUACACAGACUUGAAAAUGCCGCCUGCCAUUGAUGGCAAAAAGAGUUUUGUACCCGGAAUGUGGGCACUGUGAGUUCCUGGUUUUCCUAAACAAGUGUAACAUAUGUAAAUUAUUUUUUUCUAUUUUCUUUUUCUCAUUCAAACCGUAUAAAUUUCUCCUUGAAGCUUAUAUGUUGUGUUUGAGAAUAUAAUAAAGAAAUUGUGAUUCUUAUUUUUUUUUAUGACUCAAAGAACAUUUAUUUAUAUUUUUCACAUUUUAUUUUUUAUUAUCUUCCCUUUGUUUGUUGAGAGGGAAAGGAAAAAACUUGAAAAAAAAAAAAAUCAGAGAUCAACAAAUAAUUUUGUGUCAAUGUUUAUGGAGAAAAUUAAAAUUUUUACUAUGUGAGAAAAUUUAUAAGAUUCUUGAAUUAUUAUCUCUUGUAUCUUCUCUCAUAUAAAUCUAAAAAAAAAAAUUCAACUUUUCUAUAUCCACUAUAGAGAUUCUUUCAAGAAAACUCGAAGUACGUAACCUCUAUGUCUCUUUCUCUCACUAAAAUUUUAAGAUUUAAAGUAUAUUUAUAAAUAUAAAUUUUAAUAUAAAUUUUAAUUUUAUUAAAAAAUUAUAAUCGAAUUAAAAUUUUCAAAAAUAGUUGGAAAAUAAUUAUUCCUUCAAAAGAGACUUUCCGACCAUAACACUUUUAUGGUUACUUUUUCUUUCGAAUCCACGCUUUCUUUCUUUCCCUCCCUCCCUCUCUCUCUCUCUCUCUCUCCCGUGAGCGUCAAAUUUACGAGAGUUCAUUUGACCAAUAAGAUUCAAAUUUAUCGAGACUAAAUAUUUUUUUUUCAUUCUUAUUCAAUAUAUAAUUAAAACAAUUGACUAAUGAUCCAAACUCUCCUAUAUCAAUCGAUCACCCAACUGCUUACGCAACCAACCCAUUGGCUGCAGGUAAUGAACUCUGACCAUCCAAUUCAUUACAUGACUCGUUGCACAUCACCAUUAGAAUAUAUCUAAAUGCACCGGGCAUUAUGCAUGUGCACACUGUUGAUGCAUCACGGCAUCCAAAGUACUUGGUUGAUGUGAACUGACAAUAUUAAGUUGACUCCUAGUUAUCACCUCAGGGAACAACCAGGUCCCCCUUACACAUCCACCCAGGAUCCCUCUCUCUCUCUCUCUCUCUCGGUAAUUAAAGUCCCACAUCAAACGCUUAACUCGCUCUCUGCUCCAACCACCCAUUCAUUGUGCACUGCACCUAAAUCUAUCGUUCAGGACGAUUUGGUCCUCCUAUCGCUUGCAAAUGAUUGAUCGUUAAUCGCAGGACUGCGUCGAUAUCUAUUCCGAGCUCAUGUCUUCGGUAAGCACUCGAGCUGAUAGUGUAGCGUUCAUCUGCCACGAUGCAUUCCGUCGACCAAAGUAGACUCUGCUGGUGACGGUGCGAUAGCUAUCCCCGCGUUGCGUGCAUCAUCUCCCAAGUUUGGUGAAUAGCUCUACAAAUAAGGCCACAUGUGGAUUAGAUCGACCGUGUCAUAUCCCACGAGUUGAACAGAGGCUGGCGGUCGAUGGCGCCGAGCCAACGCCGGAGUUAGAAGAGACGAGGCAGCCGUGUCAUAUUUGUAAACACUUGGUGUGCACCAGCCAGCCUACCAUGGAUGGUCGGGCUUCCAAAUUAUUGUCCUUAAAGCUUCCGGGUGUGGGGCUGAUGGCGCCUGCUACCAACGCAGGACAGGCUGUGCACGUUGCGUGAUGCUUGGCAUCAUCGAAAGACACCUUCUCCUCCUCUCUGGCUCGAUUGUGUUGUGACCUCACUGGUUUUGCUCCAUAAUGCUCGGCACAGUGGUCAGCCACCGCUCCUUUCUCCCUCCCUCCCUCUUCUCCUCGCGUCCCUAUUUGGCCGCUCACCUACCACGGGGCGCGGCGCGUGGCGCGCCGCGCGCCCCCAUGCGAGCACCGUGCAGCAGUGGCGACGGGGUAAUUAAAACGCUUCUCGGCGUCUUUGAAGCGUACCAACGAACGCCUGGUGCGCCCUCGCGGUCCCCUCCUCCCCUCCCCCGUUCGCUGUCUUGAUAGCGACCGCGAGAUGAGAGUUCUUUCCCCUCCUCUUCUCUAUUUAAGCCCCCGUGUGGGUUCGAUUUCGAAGACCUUUUCCGCCUGCGCCUAUGAGCAAUGCUUGUGGCUGAACACCGAGAUCAGUGUCACUUGGUUUGCUUUUGGUAUAAGAAAGAGACAUAUUGGAAUACAACACAGGUAAACUGGUGGAGAAGAAAAGGAUUCUUUUCCUGAAACUGAGAAGGGGGAGAGAGAGAGAGAGAGGAGACAGAGAGGUGUUCGCCGCCUCCUCUUGUGUUUGGACCGCUCAUUUGCCCUUCUCUCUCUCUCUCUCCUUGGAUUAAAUCUUCUUAGAUCUCAGCCGAAGGAACACGGAUGGAGGGAGGAGGUGAGCAGGCCCCGCCAAGGCGGCGGACGCCGUCGCCGGGGCGGAGCCGGCGUCUACCGGACUUUUUGCAGAGCGUCAACCUCAAGUACGUGAAGCUGGGUUACCACUACCUGAUCACCCACCUGCUCACCCUACUGCUGAUCCCGCUGAUGGCGGUGAUCCUCCUGGAGGCGGCGCAGACCGAUCCCGACGAACUCCGGCAGGUGUGGCUCCACCUCCAGUACAACCUCGUGAGCGUGCUGGUGUGCUCCGCGGUCUUCGUAUUCGGCACCACUGUCUACAUCAUGACGCGGCCUCGCCCCGUGUACCUCGUUGACUACGCCUGCUACCGGCCGCCGCCCGAGCUCAAGGCGCCGUUCCACCGCUUUAUGGAGCACUCGCAGCUCUGCGGCGGGUUCAACGAGUCGGCACUCGAGUUCCAGCGCCGAAUCCUCGAGCGCUCCGGCCUCGGCCAGGACACCUGCUUACCCGUCGCCCUUCACUACCUCCCGCCCCGCCCCUCCAUGGCCGCCGCCCGCGAGGAGGCCGAGCAGGUCAUGUUUGGCGCUCUCGACACGCUCUUCAACAACACCGGCGUCAAGCCCAAGGACGUCGGCGUCCUCGUGGUCAACUGCAGCCUCUUCAACCCCACCCCCUCCCUCUCCGCCAUGAUCGUCAACCGCUACAAGCUCCGCGGCAACAUCAAGAGCUUCAACCUCGGCGGGAUGGGCUGCAGCGCCGGCGUCCUCGCUGUCGACCUUGCGCGAGAUCUCCUCCAGGUCCACCGCGCCACCUACGCGGUCGUGGUCAGCACCGAGAACAUCACCCAGAACUGGUACUUCGGCAACCGCAAGGCCAUGCUCAUCCCCAAUUGUCUGUUCCGCGUCGGCGCCGCCGCCCUGUUGCUGUCCAACCGCGCGGCGGAUCGCCGGCGCGCCAAGUACAAGCUGGUCCACAUCGUUCGCACCCACCGCGGCGCCGACGACAGGGCCUUCCGCUGCGUCUACCAAGAGCAGGACGAGGUCGGCAAGGUCGGCGUGUCCCUCUCCAAGGACCUCAUGGCCAUCGCCGGGGAGGCGCUCAAGAUCAACAUCACCACCCUCGGCCCCCUGGUGCUUCCCAUCAGCGAGCAGCUUCUCUUCUUUGCGACGCUGGUGGCCAAGAAGCUCUUCAACGGCAAGGUGAAGCCCUACAUCCCGGACUUCAAGCUGGCGUUCGACCAUUUCUGCAUCCACGCGGGGGGAAGGGCCGUGAUCGACGAGCUAGAGAAGAACCUGCAGCUGCGGCCCAUCCAUGUGGAGGCCUCCCGGAUGACCCUGCACCGCUUUGGCAACACAUCCUCCAGCUCCAUCUGGUACGAGCUGGCUUACACGGAGGCCAAGGGGCGGAUGCGGAAGGGCCACCGCGUGUGGCAGAUUGCAUUCGGGAGCGGCUUCAAGUGUAACAGCGCGGUGUGGCAGGCGCUUCGCAACGUGAAGCCCUCCCACGAUGGUCCAUGGGAGGACUGCAUCCACGGUUACCCUGUGGAGAUCAUCGAUGGGUUUCCUCCUCGGGAGCCACAGCAGCAAUAGUGGCUGUGUUAGGUGAUGGUGUGUGUGAUCUGGGUCGGGCAGAUCCUUUGGUAUUCUUCACUUGCAGCUCAUAUCUGCACGCCGAUUUGUUUGUUGUCAUCUGAUCAUGGAAGUCUUUAGCGUCUCUAUCUGCAAGCGCUCUUCGAUCGAUUGCUGUGAAAGCUUUUAGGUGCCAUGCUCUCAUUGUCUUCUUCUUCUUCUUCUUCGAUUCCUCUUGCUCUUCAGCAUCACUAUGGUGGUAGUCUUUUCUGAUCUCUGAUCUCAGAUCUCAAAUCACAGGCGUUCCCGACCACCAGAGGUUAGUUGGUCAACCAGAGGUUAAUAUAAUCCAAGUCUCACAUGGGUAGUACUGUUUCCAGAUAAAUCCUCAAGAUUUUGGUUUGACUUUUUUGCCACUUACUUGCAUUUUCCGAUAGCACAAUACAAUGAUUCGUCGGUGUUAUGUCUUAAUCCAACCCCAUGUAGGCUUUAUAUGCAUCUCUAUAGAGAGAGAGAGAGAGAGAGAGAGAGAGAGAGAGAGGUUCCCUGGUUGAAUUGAUGUUGAGGUAGGUGUCAGCCCAGGUGGCACUCAUAAUGCCGUAAAGAUAACGAUGUCUCUUUCUAGAUGGUUUUGCAUAUGCAUUUUUCUUCUUCACUGCUUUUUUUAUUGUCUAUAGCUUGCCAUAUUGAUGAAGAACUUGCUUGGGGUGUUAGAAGGAGGUGUCAUCAUGUGGAACAUCAAUCUGAAUCCUGCUCAUUUUCGCAUUUGCCAAAUCAUUCAUUUUGACUUUAACAAGUGUUCUUCAUUUGAUUUUUAAUGAGCUACUGAUUUCUGACAUGAAUUGAAAUACUUACGUAGGCAUCUAACAAUCAAGGAGAAAUUUAGAUGACACUUAAACAACUUAGGCAGUAGUAGCAUACAUCAUAAUAUUCCUUCCUGUUGUGAAUUGAUGUUUGAGAAAAUGUAAUGAUUGGACCGACUGCUGUUUCCUUUGGUGAAAGAAUAAACCUUAACAAAGACUAGGAGGAAACUAUUCUAUUUCUCUUCCUCACUGCAAUCCCUUUGAGACAAAAGAAAGACCCUCUGUCUCCUACUCUUCUUACCUUAUAAAAGAAUUGAUAUUGUCUAUAAAUAUGGUAUGCACAUAUUUGGUAAGAAUUAUCCUUUAGACAGACGACUUGUUAUAGAUUUCUUCAGAUUGAGAGCUGAGAUUGGAUUACUGCUGUGUCUCGGAAAGUGUUCUCUCUCUAUUUCUGUUCGCCGCCAGGAUGGAUACAAGUGUAAGAUUGUGUUAUUGUGUUGAAGACUGCCCCUGCAGUCAAAUGCCCACUUUUGACCGCCGACUGAGUCGGCCUCAUCGAUUGCCGAGCCUCCAAACUCAGCGACUGCUGCCAUCGCUGUGCCGUGCUACAGCGUCGUUGUCCUGUUAGACAGGAGAGCAGAGAGUGCGUGACACAAUGAGGACUAAACGACGCCAAGGAGGUAAGAGAGUGUGUCAUUGGAUGAUUCGUCCUCGCACUUUGCGCGAUGCCGUCGUACCGCAGCUUAGUCUUUUCUACCCCUAAAUCUACGGUUACCUCCUCUCUUGUAAAAACUUUUUAAAUUAUUAUUAUUAUUGUUAAAUAAAAUUAAUUAGAUGAAAUUUUAGACAUAAAUAUUGAUUUAAUUUAAAUUAUAUAUAUAUAUAUAUCCAUUCGAGUCUAAGUAUAUAGGAUUAUUGGACUCAUAUCCAAAUGGUUAUAUAGGUAUUUUUAAAAACAUUAAUAUAAUUUUUUUUAUUUUUAUCUUGAUUCUUUUAUCUUUUAUUUGGUUUGAUCAUGGGUUAGUAGUGCCUUGUUAAGAAUGAGUUGUACUUAUAUGAUCUCUCCCUUUCUUUACAUAAUAUCAAAACCUCAAGGGUGAUAAAAUGUAUUUCAAGAUCUACUAGAUAAUAUAUUUUUUAUUAUAGAUUAUCAAGUUCGUUGCUUGGUAUUAAAUUUUUUUAAUCAAUCUCUCAUAAAGAGAAAUCUAUGGGAUGUGAUGGUGGCAAUGCAAUAACAGGAGCGAAAAGAUGAAAGAUAUUAAGUGUAAAGACUAAAUUUGUAUUAAAAAGAUUAAUUUCUCAUGAUUUGAAUACAUUAUUGGUUGUAAAUCAGUUUCAUAUAUUUGGAUCACUCUUCAUGCAUUAUUUAAUAAAAAAUAAUAUGGCUCGAUUAUGAUUUUUGACGAAUGAUUUGAAAAAUACUAUCUAAGGUAAUAUCUCAAUUUCUUAAUACUUUUUAAAGAUUAAAAAUUUAUAUUCAAAGAUAUCACUCUUAGAUCCAAAUGAGCAUAUUUUCGAUUAACGAAUGAAAUAUUAUAUUAUUCACUAUAUUCAAAAAGAAUAUAUUUUUUAUAUUACUUGAAGGAUGAGUUCAACGACCAUAAUAGAGUUGAAAAAUUAUUUUUAGUUCGAGGUUUUUCUAACUCAUGACGAAAGUUUCUACUUUGAAGGGGAGAUGGAGAUGCUCUUGUUAUAAAUAAAAAGACAGAGAGAAAUAGGAUGAUACUAAUUGUAAAUCAGUCUUCUUCGAAUAAUGAUAUAAAUCAAAAAAAGAUUAAGUGUUACAAGUGUGGCAAGUCACGUCAUAUUAAGAAAUAUUAUCAUAUUAAGAUUAAAGGAGAAAAUAUUACAAAUAAAGAAGAUUAUUUCAAUGCUACUGAUGAAUAUUAUAGUAAAUAUUUUAUAGCUAAAACUACUAAGGUCUCGACAUUUACCAAUUUUGAACGUGACUGUGUAGUUGAUUCAAGAUGUAAUCAUCAUCUCAUUAGUGAUGAUAUCAUUAGUGAUGAUAUCAAAUUCACCAAUCUUUAUAAGUAAUGAUGUAAUUAUCAUAAUAAAUAAUGUUGUUCACCAAGGAGAGAAGAAAUAUAUCAUCCUAAUCUAAAAUAAAGAUAAUGAUUGUAUAACAUUAAGGAAUAUGUAUCAUUUUUCAAGUAUAAAGAUUUUUUUUUCUAUUUUAAAUGCAGUUGAUGUUGAAAAUUAGAUUCUUUUUUAUCCUAAUAAAGUUAGGUUUCUUCGUAACAUAAAAAAAUAAAUAUAGAUAUAAUACAUAUUGAUAAAAGGGUCAAAUAUUUAUAUAUUCUAUCAGUAUCUAACUCUUACAUUGAUAAAAUAAGUAUAAAUGAUGGUACAUCAAGCAUAUUGGACUUAGUCAUAUAAUUUUUUUAAAAUUAAAUAUUAUGAUGCAAAAAAGUCUUCCUAAUUUUACUAUUGUUAAUAGUAAUAAAGUUUGUGAAGUUUAUUAAUAUGGCAAGGAACACAAAUAACCUUUUCAUGUAUCACUUUUAAGUUACAAUUUUUUUUUAGAACUUAUUCACAACAAUUUAAUGGACUAUACUCAAACUCCAUAUUAUUUAGGUUCUUGUUAUAUUCUUCUUUUAUUAAUGAUUUUACAAGAUUUACCUACGUCUGCUUUGUGAAGAAAAAAAUCAAAAGUUUCUUUAAAAUUUCAAGAGUUUAAAUUAACAAUUGAAGGUAUUCUUGAAACAAAAAUUGAAUGGUUAUGCAUCAAUAACGAUGAGAAGUUUACUUCUAACCAAUUCUUCUCCUUUUGCAAAGAGCAUGACAUCAAGAUAAAACUCACAUGCGCAAAUACACUACAAUAAAAUAAUAUGACAGAAUAAAAGAUUUGAUAUAUAUAGUAGAGACUUAUAAAUGUUGGCUUCAUAUAAAAAAAUUAUCCAAAGCCUUAUCGGUAAAAGGUAUGACAUGUGCAACUUAUAAUAUUAAUCGAAUUUCUCUUGAUCCAAUAAAUUUAAAGUCUUCAUGUGAGCUCAUAUUUAGUUAAAUAUUUUAGAAUAUUUGGUUCUCCAUGUUAUGUUCACAUACUAGAUUCCAAAGAAGUAAGCAUAAAAUUAAGGUUAAGAAAUACAUCUUUAAUGGCUAUGAUGAAAAAUAAAAAUAAAAAUUUAUGGAUCCGUAAAUACAUAAGUAUGUGAUAUCUUGAGAUAUUUUGUUUGAUAAAGUUUCUUUUUAUUAUUCUCCACAAAUGAUUUCUUUUGAAAAUAUCAAUCAUAGUAGUAAAAGUGAUAUAAAGUUUCCUUUGUCAUCUAGUGCUCCUAUGGAUUUAAACUUAUCUUUUUUCCUUAUAUAUAUAUCUACUACUAGUAUUUCUUCAUCAUUAGUGGUGAAGCAAAGUAAUAUGGAGAGUAACGAUGUUCAUGAAGAAAAAAUUCUAAUAUUGAGAAGAUUAAAAAGAAUAAUUAUCAAAUUAGCACGUUAUAGAGAUGGAGAUAGUAUAAGCAUAUGUUAUUAUUAUUUUUCUAACCCGAUUGAUGAUCUUAAGGCUAUUUGUUUUGAUAAAGCUAAGAGUGUUUAGAAGUGAAAGAAUGUCAUGGGUGAAGAAAUAAAGGCUCUUCAUAAAAAUAAAACUUAAGAUCUUGCGUCAAGCCCACAAAUGUGGAUAUAAUUACUUGCAAAUAAGCGUACAAAAUGAAACAUAAGCUAGAUGGAAGUAUAGAUCGUUAUAAGGUAAGACUUUUUGUAGGGAAUUUUUUUCAAAAAAUAAAGAAGAUUUCAACGAAAUUUUAGUUCUAUGGUUAAGAUGACAUCUAUCAAUAUAGUGAUUGCUCUAACAAUUAAUUUUAGAUGAAAGCUUUGGCAAUUUGGUAUGAAGAAUAUCCUUGUAAAAUUGAUAAGAACAUUUAUAUAGAAUAACCACCGGAUUAUACUUCUAUUUCCAAACCAAAUUAUGUUUAUAAGCUCGAGAAGUCUCUCUAUAGGUUAAGGUAAGCUCCCAAAAUAUAAUAUGAAAAAAUUAUUCAGUACUUAUAUUUCUAUGAUUAUUAUUAUUUAUUCAGAUCCUAACUUAUUUAUUAAAAAGUACGAAAGCCUAUAUAUUAUUGUUCUUCUGUACGUGGAUGAUAUGAUCAUUAUUGGUAAUUUCAAAGCUUUAUGGUGAUCUUUCUCUCUAGUCUCAAAUGAAAAUCUCAAGGGAGCAUAAUAAUUUUCUUGGUCUGGAGGUGAUAAAUAUAUAAAAAUAUAUAUAUUUAUCUCUUAAACAAGAUAUGCAAAGAAAAUCUUUGAAAAAAUUAGAAUUAGCAAAAGUAAGAAGAUUUCAACUCAUGCAAAUAUUUAAGUUGUAACGAUGGCAAGGUUCUUUUUGACCUUCGGUCUCUUCAUACUUUUAUUAGUAGUUUCAUUUACUUACUAAUUACAAGACUAUAUAUACAUAUAUAUAUAUAUAUAUAUAUAUAUAUAUAUAUAUAUAUAUAUAUAUAUAUAUAUAUAUAUAUAUAUAUAUCAUAUUUUCAACUAGUUUUGUAAGUUGCUUUAUGUAAUUUUCAAAUCAUACUCUUAUUAGUAGUUUCAUUUACUUAGUAAUUACAAGACUAUAUAUCAUAUUUUCAACUACUUUUGUAAAUUGUUUUAUGUAAUUUUCAAAAAAGUCACAUCUUGAUGCAAUAAUUUUUUUAAAUAUGUGAAUUCUACCUUUAAUAUGGAAUUAUUAUAUAAAAAGAAUAUAUAUCUUGAAUUGUAUAAUUAUAUAGAUGUUGAUUGGAUAAUCGUAAAUUCAUUUUUCUAUAUGAUUUUGCUUAGUCUCUCUUUAUACAACUAAAGCAGAAUAGUAGAUAUAUUUAUCAAAUCUCUUUUUAAAGGAUUGUUUAAACAUCUUUGAAGCAAGUCAGAAUUUAUCUUCAAAAGUAUACUCUCUUGUAGGUUAAAAUUUAAAAUAUAUCUUUUGGAAGAUUUUAUAUUAUUAUCUUUUAUCUUUUUUUUUAAUAAAUUGAUUAGAUCGAGUUAAUAGAUAAGAUUUUCUCAAUUUAAAUUAUUAUAGUACACCUAUAAAUACUAUAUAUAUAGAUCCAUCCAAGUCUAAAUAUUUAUAUCUAUAGGGCUCAAAUUUAAGAGUAAUUUAAUAUCUUUUAAGUAUUUUGUUUUGAGAAGUUCAAUAUAAAUUUGUUUUACUAUUUUGAUCUUAGUUUCUUUUUGUUUGAUCUUGGUCUAAUAGUAUCUUAUUACUAUUAUAUANNNNNNNNNNNNNNNNNNNNNNNNNNNNNNNNNNNNNNNNNNNNNNNNNNNNNNNNNNNNNNNNNNNNNNNNNNNNNNNNNNNNNNNNNNNNNNNNNNNNNNNNNNNNNNNNNNNNNNNNNNNNNNNNNNNNNNNNNNNNNNNNNUAUAUAUAUAUAUAUAUAUAUAUAUAUAUAUAUAUAUAUAUUGUGAAGUAGGUAUGAGAGAGUAAUAUAAUUGAUAUAAUUGUUAUGACAAAUAAUUAAUUUAUCCAUUUUAAUAUAUGAUGAGAAUGUAAAAUAAGCACCAGCAAGGUAGAGAAAUAGAUAUGGGAAUACAUCAGAAUCACUUUCAUUAGGCAAACUAGCAAUACAUACAGCAUCGUCCUAGAUGGACGUAGAUACAUCUUUGACUGAUACCAAAGCCAGAUAUUAGGAGAUAAGUGCGGUCUGAUCGUUCAUUACCUUCAUCCUUGUGAUUCUUUAUACAUAUGCUUCCCACCAUAUAUAUACACUGAAGAUUUGAGACCCUCAGCCUGCCACAUAAAAUGUGAUUUAAACCUCAACUUGCAAUACAAUCUAAGCCUGGAUAUGUAAGACAAUAUUCAACAGGACAAGAAGAACAACUCAAAGAAUAAAGCGGUGCAGGUGAGUGUGACCCCUAAAGCUUCUCGGUCAGCCAUAGCAUUUGACUGCAAAAAGAUAGCUUAUCAAACCCAUUAAGUGAUUCUUUGCAUUUAUAUCAUUAUGGUUCUUCAUCCUUGAAACUUAUGAUUACGAGAACAUCAAACCCAACUUUUAAUGGAUGUCAAUGCAAAGGAUAUGUGUUAAGAAUCUUAAUAUUUGAAGGGAUAUGCAUGCAUGCUAUCUUUAAUUAAAAGUAUGUAUAUAUAUAUGUAUAUAUGUAUAUAUAUUUAUAGAGUAUAUGUUCCCUAGACGGUAAGCAACUUUCAAGCUCAUGUUCUUCGUGAAGGCAUAGGCUAAGAACCAUGCAUGGAGAAUCUACGGUGCAAACAAGAACAGAGGAACGAAGCGAAGAAAAGAACCACCUCUGCUCCUGUCGGCGGUGCCGUUGCGGCGCCAGCUAUUGGAGUUGGGGUAGCUGUAGAUCGGUUCUGUGGUGGAAUCAAUGAGCUUGAUGUCGUUCUCGAGUUCUUCGUAAUGGCGCUUCACUUCCUCCACCGACUUCCCGCCGACGGCCCUGGCCACAUUCUGCCAGCGGUCGGGGGUGUCGUCGUAGCGUGCGAUGGCUAUCUCGAACCGCUUGUUCUCCUCUUCCGUCCAAGGCUGCUCCAACUUGCGGGAGGAGCUCUUUGAGCUGGACGCCAUCUCUGCUGCUGUGAUGGCGGCGAGGGACUCUUGACCAAUACCCGUCAGUGAAGUCUUGAGUGCAUGGGGUAGCAGUUGCCAUGUCUGCUCCUUAUAAACCGGUAAGGAAGUGGGGGUUGUGGGGUAGUGCUGGGCUAUUGGAGGCUAGUUGGCGAAUAGCAUUUGCAAAAGGACCAAAUGAAGGAGCCGGAGAGUGACGCCAAAGAACUUUAAGACGUGCGUAUGUCGGGAAGUUGGAGAAUGCCCUCAGAACUUUCGUCUUCUUACGAUACUUGUGAUCACUACCCUUAAACAGCUGAUUUCAUUUCACGUACUCGCUGUACUAAAAAGGGCUGAGUUCUGCGUUAAACAAAUCAGCAAUCUCGUCUUCUCGUCAAGUGAUGCAUGCAAGUGGGUUGUGAGCUAUAACCUUAGCAGUUCGUGUCUUGGCCAUUCAUCAUUAUUGAUGGUUCCCUAAUAAUUCGAUCCAGAUGGUGAUACCAUGCAGCACCAUGUUACUUGGAUCCAAUGAGCUAAACCUGUGGAUCGAACGAGCGGUGGCUCCACAGGGAAACAUUAGCACACACAGGAAGGAGAAGAAUAUUGGAGUACACGAGCAGCCUACUUUAUAUCUAGAAUGACAAACGAGGCCCAGACUUAAAGAUGGCGAAUAUUUAAGUUCGUGCAUGAGAUAGAUAGAUAGAUCUCCAGGAAUAGUAGAUCCUGCCUAAAGGGAUCCACUCAUGCUGAAGAAUACUGGACGUUCAUGUCUCAGACAGUGGUAGUUCCCUGUAGAUGAAUGGAAAGAACAUAUUGUCGUUAUGCGAGACAAGCAACGUUAUAUUCCAGAUUGACGCAACCGAAACAAACAAAAACAGGUUCUAUAUCCAUAUUCCAAACUGUAAAAUCAUGUAGCCACCCUCUAAUGCUGACGACUUUGUGUGCCAGUUGAACCUCAUCUAUGAUCACUCUCCCAGAUUUGAUUCCAUAUAUACAUAUAUAUGGACAUGGAACAUGGGCUCUGUAAUAUGAUGAAGAACCCUACGGCAGCAGGAAAUGAGCAGCUGCGGCUUGUUGGAGAAGUUGUUUACAUCAGGAGAAUGAUAAGAGCAAGAGAGGAGUCAUCUUUACCUAAAGCUGCGGUCCAUAUACAACACGACUCAGCUUUCAUGGAAUCGUCGCAGGGAAAGAUAGCAGCAAGUUGGUUGGGGCAUGGAGAACCCUCACCUAUUGGGAACCUGUUGAGUUGAGCUUCCUUUUGCCCACUUGAUCUGCAAAAGAAAUUCCAUGACUGUGGCUAAAUUUGCAUGGAAGAGUUCCAAGGAUGCAUGAGUAUUGUACCCUCAAUCGACUGCUGAAACUCGACUACCAAGUCUGUCUUAACGUUCCCAUCAUUGGCAGCAGCUUUCCAUUAACAAUGAGAGACACAGUCGCCACUGGGUUCAAGUUGACAAGAGAUGCUGUUUGCCAGUGGGCAAGGACAAUAAUUGCUACAAAUUCGUUGUAUUUAUUCUUACUGUUCCUCCUCCUGAUUGAGAUAUAUUAAUUACAUCACUGUCAAAUAUAUUUUAAUCCUGCUGUUUGGUGAAUUUGGACUCCUCUAUCUUUGUUAUGUUUAUUAUUGCUAUUCCAUGAAUGAGUCAAAGUGGAAAUUAAGCAUCAUUCUGAUACGACAGCUUAAACUCUACUUAUUUAGACAUGUGGGACAGUUUCAUAAUAUAUCUCCAUCGAUAUCUCACCAACACCCAAAUCUGGAGUUUUUGUGAUCUUAAUAUCAUAUGGUAAUCAUCUCAAUUGUAGCUAUAAAGAUUAAAUUCGAUUUGAACAGGGGAACCAACAUCAUAUAUUAGUCUUCUUCCUUCCGAGAAGGUGUUUAGACGGCACUUAUCUGCUUAAUCAUGUUAUUUCUUCAGCUGCUCAUAUUCCAUAUCGCAUAUGGGGACUUAUAAACUCUGUUUAUAUUCUUUUUGGGGAGUAAUGACCAUAAACUUACGACCUUCUUUUGAUAAGGUUUUGUUUGUGAUUAGAGCUGAAGUAGCAGAGAGUUGCAGUGGCUGCUAAAGAGAAUUAUAUUGAGCUUAAGUUUAAGUACAGUAAACAAGGCAUCUUUGCGUCUGCCUGCGAUGUAUGUACAACACAGAUUCACAGGAAGAGAAACAGAAGUCUUUUGAGCUCAGUGAUGUCUGAUAUUUCUGUCUGGUUCUUCUGGCUGAUGAUAUACGGUAGACUGCUGCCUGUAAUAUUCCAUGCAUAGGUAAUGAAUUCUUUAUACUUCACUCCGGUUGACACUUCAGCCUGCCAAAAAAGGGGAAGAAUUUUUAGAUGAUACAGUUCGAAUUUGCUUGAUGAUAGCUACCGAAUUCCAUUCUAGAGAACUAAGUUCAUGAAGCUUUCACGAGCAGAUUAGAGGUCUUAUUGUCAAAAGGAUAGCAACACUGGAUGGGAGUGAAACGCGUUACUGAGAUGCCAAAAGGCAUCCUAAAGUUCGCUUGGAGAACGGCAGACAACAACCCAUGAUAUCAACAUUUCCUAAAAGUGAAUGCAACCUUAGGAGAACGCAGGAGUAGGAAAGGGUAAGUGAGAAGGAAGAGUACCCCUGUUGCCGGCCGAGUGGUAAUUGGCGCGAGGCAUUUGUCCCGUCUCGAUGCGAAGGAGGUCCUCCACGAGCAGCUGGUAGUGCCGCUUCACUUCCUGCUCGGACUUCCCGCCGACGGCGCGCGCCACCUUGUGCCAGCGGUCGGGCGUGUCCUUGUCGUACUCCACCAGGGCCAUCUCGAACACCUUGUUCUGCUUCGGCGUCCAGGCGGAGCUCAACGAACAGGACGCCAUCUCUAAACAGAACAAUAGAAGUCGGCUCUAAUGCUAAUGGAUCACUUGUCGCCUUCUGAAAACUGUGCUGCUGCUACGGAGAGGAAGUCGUCGUGGUCUGAUCUUUAUAAGCUGUGCUGCGGUGGGGUGUGCACAGUUGUGAAUGAUAUUUCCAUGGGGUAGGAAAUCAAAGGCAGAACAGGCGAUCACUGGAUUGGGGAAGAGAAUAAGGCAGUGAUUUGAUGGGUGGGAGAAUCACACCGUUCUCGUAAAGCCAUGGAGUUAUUUACAAAUCUUUAUCUGAGCCUUCCUCCUCACAAAUCUUCUUUUUCUUAUCCCAUGCCAUAUGCUGAAACAUCUCAGUGGAUAUUCGUUCUUCUACCCGCAAGAACACAUCGACUCCAGAGCACGUAAAGCUGCGAGCCAAAAGCAUAAGAGAGAAACUUUGUUCGUGAGGGUAACAGAUGUGACAACAAUAUCACCAGUCUGGUGAUUCCUCCGUUUGCUUUAGAGCAAGUUGCGUCGGAGAACCUCAAUCUUGGGGAAUUAGGAUGAUGUUUGAUGCUUUCCCUCUGCAAGUUGAUCCAUGUGUGAUACUGUUACAGAUUCAGCAGAGUAGCUCUGCAGGGUGCAGUAGAGCCAAAAGGGAGAGGAACUAUCAGAGAUUCCAAAGGCUUUCUGCCAUUUGCAAAAGCAUGAACCCACUUGGGACAUCAAAAUAAAGGAAACAAAUCUGCUAGUCUCCUGUGACUCCGGAGUGGAGAGGUCAAGCCCACCAUUCGUCGACUCUCACAGUCGCAUCUUGUGACCGUAACAGGACUCCACUCCACCAGGAUCUUAACCUCUACCCAACCCUGCAUUGGUUCUUCAGUUCUUUACUGUGGAAGAUUAAGAUCCAUGAAACCGACAGGUCCCCCCCAUGCAGGAACCCAUACUUCCAGAAAGUGGUCCGGGAGAUACUGAUUCCUGCUGAUAAUAAGAAUAAUAUCACUAUUUUCUAUGAUGCCCACCUCCAGAAAGUAAUGACUGGAUUCCUUCCCUUUCCACGAUCACAGGUUGGUCGGCAUGGAUUUCAGCUAUGGUGCUGCUUGGUUUGCAAGUUGACUGCUUCCAUGGCAAUCUUGGUAUCGAUCUCAGCGGAAUACGUUCACAUCACCAGAUUCCAGGAUUCACAGGCAGGGGAGAAAGCCAGCCAGGCGAAGCUGCUGCAUCACCUCAGGAGGGUGGAAGAUUAAGCGCGGGGAUGAUUAGUUUAUGGAGCCACACGAAGCUCCGGCCGUGAAAGGAAUUCCUGUUGUCUGCUGAAGUAGAAUUCAUCCUCAAGCCCCGCAAAGACCAGCGGUCGAUCAGACGACCUUUUUGAGGGAAUCUCGCGGGAAAGAGGCUUUCCCGGGGUCAAAGAUAUGCCGCUGCUCUCGAGCUUUACACCAGAGAGACUUAAAAGUUCUUCCAUUACCAGGCUGUUCUUUGCUGACAUGAUCACAUUUAACAGAAAAAUCAAAAGAAUAAACAUAUGAAUAAUCAUUUUAUUCCUGAUAAUGCAUUUAUUAACGUAAGAUGAUUAGCUUUUCAUAAUGCUUCCUUUUAUAUAUUUUAGACAGUGAAAGAAAAGCUUUCCAGCUGUUUUACUUGAGAUUUCCGGCUUGCAAAUCUGUGGGUUUGCCAGUGGUUGCAAUCCAAUUUCACGAACGGAUGUUAUUGCAGCUUCAGCAGUAAAGAAUGAAGAGACUCUGACAAAUAUUGGUAGUGCACGCUUUCACCGGUUCCGAAUCAUCACUCCGUCGUUCACGUGGCAGCCAACCUGAUUUAGCACCGACGUGAAGAAGCCGCCUCCGUCGACUCUCGCAUCCAUCGAUGGCGGAGAAAACGGCAGGAUGACGUCCCUGAGCGUCACCAUGCCCUCGAGUCGCCCAGCAUCGCCGUCCAAAAAGCCGCUCUCCCUCAUCGAAGCGGCCAUGAUCUCCAUGGUUUUCUUGAGGCUGUCGGACUUCCGGAGUACUGCUGGGUUGCUCAACCGAAGAAACCUCGCGUUCUUCAUCCUUAGAAGACCAGCUGGGGGAGCCUCCGUUUCUGUGUAUCGAUUUCUGCUCUGUUCACUCGCAGCAUAUCGAACCUUAAUGAAUUCUUCGACUGCAAACGUCCUGCAAGAGUCCUGAACUUUAAUUACCAGCUUUCUUCUUCUGAGCAGUGAACAACUAUUUUGUCUCAGGGGAGAUCAUCAACUUACUUCCUGCGGAUGAACAAGGAAUCGUCCUCCAAAAGGAGAUAAAUAUCCGAUCGCCUCACACAUCCGAGCAGCGUUCCAGACCUUCGAUCCACCACCAGCACUCCAUCAAGUUGCUUAUCCCACAGUACGUGCACGGCAUCUGCUAAACUUUGAUCCGAGAAGACCGAAACGACUCCAGCAGCAUUCAUCAACCUACGACAGCAACAUUAAGUUAGUUCACGUCGCUUUGGUACAUUGCUAUGGUAGCAUUGUGUUGACUACCGGUAUUCUGAGAGGGAUUUCUCUGCAAUCUCAUCAAACCAUUCGAGUCCACUCGACUGAAGAAGCAACUGAAUCACUGCAUGCUAGAAAACAAUGAAUACAUAUUAUUUUCAGAACGCGGAUAUCUGAAACAUAUACUCAACAAGUGUAGUGACUCACAUACGAUUGAUUACCUGAGUAAUAAACCCAACUAUGCUAGAGUUGGAUGACUCGAUGACUGGUAUGACAUUUAACUUGUGAUGCUUUGUGAAAAGCAGCAGCACAUGAAAGAGUGUGUCAUCCUCAUGGGCAGGGAAGAAGGGUUCCCAUAAGAAUGACUUGGUCAGCUCUAUGAUCUGCAUGAAAUAGUUUUUAGGUACACACGCUGCACAUUUGAUGCUCGUUCAAACAAAUAUACACAUAUUUAUCGAAGACAAUUGACUGUCAAGAUUUGUACAAGAGAAUGCUUUGAUUUUUUUUCCUUUAGAGAACAAAAGAAUACCUUAGUCUGUCCGAUCUGAUAGUACUUCUCUAGCGUAUCAAAGAACCCAUGGUUGCCUUCCUUUGAUGCAGCUCUCGCUUUGUCAAUUUCCUGGUAACAUACGCAUGUAUACGAAAGGAACCUAAUAUGUUCUUCUUCCUCUGUGAUUUAGAGGCUCAAAACGACACUACGAUCACUCACCUCAAGCGACCAUAAAACCAUACUCGAGAACUCGAUGAAGCCAAUAUCUCGAUCCAUAGACUUCUUGGACGCAGAAUCCGCAGGAUCAAUGAUCGCUGCGCCGGAUACAUUGUUCUCAUACAGCAACCGGAUUGCAUGCGCCACGCAGUCGUCAAAUUUUACCUCCAAAACUGUGAUAACAUUAACAUACCACACUGGUGAUUCCUCCGACUUAUUCGUCAAACAAAGCUUCAGAAAGAAAGCAGAAACCGGAUCAAUAGCAUCAGCCAUUUUGCUCGGAUUAAGACACGGAUUCUUAGAUGCUGUCAUCUUCCUCUUCUUCAAAUACUAGUGUUUCCAUUAAACAUGUGAAGGAUGCAAGGAAGACGAAGGGCAUGCAAGCGCACCUGGCACGGAACCACGAAUACCAGGGAUGGCAGUGAUAGGAAUGUGAUCGAAAAAGGACUGCAGCACAGAGCCGGAGUCUUCUUUUCGAUCGCUGUCGCCGUCUCCUCUUGCUCCUGGAGGCAUGGCCUCUCCCUUCCUUCCGACCACCGCCGAAGUGCUUCAUGUUAUCACUUCCACAGCCCCUCGGAUCCAAAACACAUCCGUGUGUGCGCGUUGGUGCAGCCCGGCACUAUCGCCGAAGCCAUUAACGUGGCGGGUGGCGCAACAGCAUCAGGUCCUGCACGCAUGCUUCUUCCAACACGUGUCACGAACUCGCGUCUUUGGCUCCCCUUAAAGACCCAAUAUUGACCCAUCCAUUACGAUUUCCAGGACAACUAAUCUCCGCCGUUGAUUUGACUCAAGAUUAGAACUCAUUCCUUCCUCUCUUGUACAAAUCGAAUGAUUUAUUAUUCUAACAGAGAAUUCAGAUGCGGAUGAAAGCAGCGGAUCAAACAAAAGCCGGUCUCAACGCAUGACGUGUGCCCCAGCAGAAGCAGAGGCGGUGGUUGAUGGGAUGGGCGUCUCCUCAUCCUGGCUCAGAGGCGGAGGCCGUCGCCGCGUGGGGCCGUCCGGCUCCUGAUAGGAGGGCCGCUAUCCUAGCGGACUCGAUCAGAUACGCGUCAUCCGCCGUCAUUCGUAUUCCCCUUCUCUCUCCCUCGUUCUCGUGGAAGCUGAGAUCAAGCAGAAGACGAAGAAGAAGAAGAACAAUGCAAGAGAAGGAAGACAUUUUUUAUAUCCUUCUCCGCAGGGGUAAAUCCCGAGCUUAUUUAUUUGAUUUGGUCAUCGGAUCUCGUUUUUCCUUUUUUCUCGUGAUUUGUUUCGGAAGAGGAAUCAUGACAUCUCACUUUGUUCCAAUCGUGUCAUGAUGCCGGAACCUGGGUUUUGUCAGCCCUAAUCGAUCCGACGCUGGCUUCUUUUUUUCGGCAUCGCCCAUUAUUAGAUUGAUUUCGUGUUCAAACUCAAGAAAGAGAUCUUGUUUCGAUGGAUUUGGAUGUGAAUUUGUACGAUUUGAUUUAAGGUUUCCAUCCAUUCUGUCGAAGUUCGCACUGAUUUAGAGGUUUGGGGAUUCUGGUCCCUGAAAUGCUGAAUGCUAUAGCCAUGACGGUGAUUCGUUGACAUCGCGAUGAACUUUCUUGACGCACUUAUUAUUGGAGUGUUUUUAUGUAUUACUCAAGAAAUAGAAUGAUUUAUAAGGCUAGAUGUAUUACUAUUAUUAUAUAGCCAUGUUAGUUUAUAUCUUUUUUCCUACAUAUGCAAUGCAUAUGCUUUAUUCAUUCAUAGGCAUGCCUUUUAAUUCAAUGAGUGAGACAGCUUAAUUUUGUCUCACAUUAGAAGUGAGAGGAUAAGAGUGAUCGCAUCCAAUAUUAAUGAGUCUAUCAUCAUUAAUGUUGCUUAAGCAUUUUGAGCAGCCUUUUAAUUAAUUAGUCCCAUGUGUAUUGGAUAAGUACUCUUAUGAGGUCACUUCAAUGAAACUUGCAUAUUCAUGCAAAUAUUGAUGUUACUUGUGAAGCGCAUUGAGUUGGUAGCUAAGAGCUUAUAGUUCAUUGUAGUUGUCCUUUCUUUUGUUUGUUCUUUCUAUAGAUGAUCCCUACAUUUUAUUCUUACCUUUCCUUUGGAAUCAAUGAAUGUGAUGUCUUGAUUUAGCCUCACUAUGUGGUUGUCUUUUCUUUUGUUUCUUUUUUCUAUGGAUGAUCCCCACAUUUAAUUUUUACUUUGUCUUUGGAAUCAGUGAGUGUGAUAUCUUGAUUUAGUCUCACAUCGAAAGUGAAAAAAUAAAUAUAAUAAUAUCUAAUGCUUCAUCAGCCUACUACCUUAAACUUGUGAUUAAGUAUUUUGGAUCAUUGGUUUAAGUUAACGGUUGGUAAGAGCUGUGACUUCCCCAUGCAAAGAAUCCCAUGUCGAAUUUGCAUUCCUUGAUGACGUGACAAAUUUUUGACAUUUGUUCAAUUUGUUGUCAUGUUGAGAAGAAUGUGAUUUAUAAAGUUAAGCCAAUGAACAAGUGUAUGAGAGUAAUACUUGGUGUCAGAUAUUCUUGCUAUCCAUGGAUUCUACUUAUAAUUACUACUAAAUGACAUUUAUCUGAAAGACAAUUUGAUUGGCUAUAUAUAUUAUGCAUGUUAUUUUUUAAUUCCUCCUGAUGCAUUAACUUUUGUCCGCGACGUGGUUCUGGUAAUCUUUUCCCUGUUAUUCUCCUUUCUACUGAUUUUGUCUUAUUUUUACUAAAUUAUCCUGUGAGUCUUCAAGUCAUCGUUUCUAGCUAUUGUCAUCAUCACAAUUUAUUUUGCCUGCCUAUUCUGUUGCAGCUUCUUAAGAUUCAUCAGAGCUCAUCAUGUCGGACAUGGAUGUCGAUAGACAUAUGAACCAAAAUGCCGAGACUGCCGUGCCAUCAUCUCAGCAGGAGGUGAUAUUUAAACUUAUACUUUUAUUUUAUAAAUUUCUAUUACGUUAAAUGAUGUACGUGACGUUCACACGUGGAUUCGAACUUGAAACCUCCAUAUGUCUCAACAAAGACAACUUGCACCUUUUAUUUAUUCCUUCCUUCCAUUUUAAGCACUCGCUAAUGGUAUUCAAAUUAUAUAUGCACAGCUUUUAAGAAUGUCUUGACGAAGAUUUAUCAGCUCGUGAUUAUGUAUAAUUAACUUGUUGCAGGAGGAAGCAGUCAAGAAAAAAGAUGGAGGAAUUUUACCCAAAAAGACCACCAGUCAUAUCCGAGGUAAUCAGAACCAUUUCUGUUGCAAGUUUCAUUGCUGUUAUAAAUAUUCUUUCUUAAGCGUGCUGAACGUUGUAAAAGUGGAAACAAAUACUACGGUAGGACCAUGAACUGGCUUACUUUGAUUCAGCAGGCUGGGCUUUAGGGAAGGUAUCAUUAUCAGCUCAUACAAAACUAUUUCGAGCUAAGACGCUAUGAGGCCACUUCCUCUGGUUCGACUAGAUUGUGAAAUUACAGCAGGGGGAACUUGCUCAUAAGCCCAAAGAAUCCCUUGAGGCACUCCGACCAAAGUUGCAGGUAUGCCUUCCUCUCCUUGUCCCUGUGUAGUCUCACACCAUUCUGUUAUCUGCUCCCACAUUUGUAUGCCUUCCUCUCCUUGUCCACUUUAUCUUCGCAAGUGCCAUGCAAACCUGCUUUUGUUUGUAAUGUGUUUACAGUGUGCAUACAGUCAAAAAAGUUCCUUCAUAAUUGAUUUUGUGUCUUUUCUUUUUUUUUUUUAGCCCACACCACAUCUGCAAGUACAUUCUCGUCGCACAGCCUAUGCACACUCUGAUAGCAAAGGUACGGUCAGUUGUUUGGCUUCUGUUCUUCAGAAACCAGUUAAUGUCAUCUCUUUCUUUUUCAACCUGUAGAGGGAGGAAGUGCUACUUCAGAGGAUACCUAGGAUGACAAUGUUAACGAUCAGUGAUUUCAAGUUGCCGAUUCCGUCGACCUUGUCUCUGACAGCUACCUUCUUCCUGUAUGAGAAAAGAAGUUUGAGAUCAUUUUCAGAUUCCACAAAUAAAGAACGAGGGUGGUUUUGUAUUUGUACGAAAGGUUACCAUUGUGACAUAAUUUUGUAGUGCACAAAUAGAUGCUUCUUUAUGCUAUAAUUAUCAUCUAUUAUGAUGAUAGAUUUUGAUUGUCCGAUAUAUCAAAGGUUUCAAAACCAAUUUGGUUCAAUAUUCCAAGGUUUCAAAACUAAUUUGGGUUUAAUAUUCGAACAUGAGCUUUGGUGUUCUAAAGUAACUUGACGUUUAGGACUCUUGCAAAAUUAUGUUGGUAUAUACCCAACAAAUGUUCUUUCAUUAAGUGGAUUUUAGAGGUUUGGAAAUAUGUUCCACCAUAAUUUAGUUCGUAUACUCUAAUUGUUGAACUCUUUGGAUUUGGAUUAGGUCGGAAGAUCCUCCCGAAACAAUUUGAGAAUGAGUGAGUAAAUUCAAAAGAGAUUUUUUUUUUCAACCAUGGUCGUGGUCUACGUAUGAUUAUCCUUUCGUAUGAUCCAAAUAUUCUUAUUCUAGCAUCAAUAUGUUAGGGAAUAUCAUGAUUUCUUAUACUAGAAUAGUGAAGGAUUCGAAAAAUUAAGGACUAUUUUAAAAUAAUUUUUGACAAAGUAACGUAGCUAAGAGGAUCUUAUAGUAAUUUUUGGUAACUAACUAGAAUAAAUGGACACUAAUUCAUUGGGCAAAUACACAAAAUCAUCAAACGUCACUCGGAUCUAAAAAGUCAAUCGAAACAUUCAAGCAGUGUGUUGGGUUAAUAAAAUAGGUAUUGUAUCAAGUUGAUUAGGAAGAGCCAUUGGAUCAUCCACAUGCUCAAUUGUGGGGUAUAUACGUAUGUUGGUAGUGUAGUACUGCUUACAACAUCAACUAAUUUGUCCCCGUCGUUCUCUUUUCUCCCAAACACUUUUUGACUUCCGUAAAUGCAAUUAGCUUCGAAUGGAAUUGCACAAGCAUUCACAUGGACUACCACUCCAACAGAAAUCCAAUCCACACAUCAUUCCCCAUGCAACAAGUCACGUCAGCAGCAAACUCCUUAGCUAAAAAGCAGCAAGUUCUUCAUCCAUAGAUACGAUAUACAUCGAGACGUAUUCCAAUUUUGAUAUGUACUGAUGGUACAAUAAAAUUAUCAAAAAUAACUUCAUUUUUUUAAAAAAAUAAAAAAAUUGAAUCAGAGUUUUUAAAUUAAAAAUAAAUAUAAAUUUAGUAUGAUUUUAAUAAAAAUAAUCUAAAUUAAAAAAAUAAUGACACAUCAUUUUCAAGUUUUGCGAGAGUACUUUUAUAAUAUGUUCCGGAUCUUCUUUCGAUUAAUAUUAAAUUAUUUUUAAAAUUAUUUUUAAAAUAAUUUAAAUAAUCAAUCGAUGGAUAUAUCUAAUUUUAUCAUUAAAAAAUGAUGAGACUCUACAAGCGAUGGAUUGAGAUCCUUCAUUCUAAAUAUCUAUAUAUCAGUUUGAUAUAUUUAUCGGAUCCAAUCCUAAAAAUUAUCUCAUGACAUAAUAUACUAAUAUACCAUAUGUCUUUGGUGCAUUGAUGUGAUGAUGAUCAUAGUUUGAUCGUUGUGAAUCACAUGUUCGAGAUGAUUGGUGAUGCAAGGACGAUUAUGACAUAUAUUAGUGCGAAGCAUGAAGAAUGUCAAACCUUCUAUUUUCAUCAUUAAUUUACUUCUUUGUAUCAUAAGAUUGAUCGCUAUACUACUAUUGAUCGUAAGAUUCUUCAUAAUAUGACAGUUGUGAAUACGAUAAGCUUCACUCUAUGUCUAUGUCAUGUAAGCUCUGUUGCAUCUGCUCAAAAUCAUUCAUUAUUUUCUCCUUCCUUUUUUGUGUAUAAACUUUUGACUAAUACCUCAUUAAACUCUAUAAUCUAAAUCUUGAGUGACAUGUGUAAAAUACUAUUCCUCGAUCCACACACCACCCUCUGCUCAAAAUCAUUCAUUAUUUUCUCCUUCCUUUUUUGUGUAUAAACUUUUGACUAAUACCUCAUUAAACUCUAUAAUCUAAAUCUUGAGUGACAUGUGUAAAAUACUAUUCCUCGAUCCACACACCACCCUCAAAAUUAUGUAGACAAGACCAUCAACUCCUUGGUGUCAUCGCUAUCGAUCAAACCACUACUAUCCAUAUUAUUGUUAUAUCUCUAGACCAAGCGAGCCGUUAAAUAUGAUUAAGAAGAUAUCUCAUCGCUCGACUGAUUGUUUGUUCGAGCCGUUAAAUAUGACCAUGGCAAAUUCAAACGAUCAAAUUGAUUGUUUGAAAUAAAGUAAUCUGAACUCUUGAUAAAUUAAUAGAUAUCACGUGGCAGAGGAUGGUCCACAUGCUAAUCCCCUUUCGGAUCGGAUCAGUUGGUAUCAUUUGUGCCAAAUGGUACAGUUCAAUACGACGAACCGUGCUUACAAUCUAAGUCAAAGAGCAAACCAGUGAACAUAAACAAGCAUUGUCUCAUAGCUAUAACGGAGAUUAAAAUAUUCAGGCAUAAGCGUACCAUCCAAGUAGAGCAAAAAGUGAAGAAGAAUUUUAACAGAGAAAAAAAAAAUGGCAACCGUACCAAAGAAUUAGCAACCUUUGAAGAGCAAUCGGAGCAUAAUCAUCACAUUCCCUAUCGAUGAUGCAUCAUUACAGUAUCAGACUAAAAGAUGCAAAGGUCAGAUGAUGCACACUAUACCAACAGCAAGCAGCAGGGCAAACAAUCGGGUUGCAGCAGCACUACCUACUCCACAAGUUAAAAUAGCUGGAACAGUGUAUUAGAGUGAAUAACAUUGAAAUAUCCUCUCUUUCUUGGGAAGGACCAGUGAGAAGAUAAUACGCCAAUCUUCACCUUGGAGAAUAGGAAAUGACAAAAGUAUCAUGUAAUCUUGUCUGAUGUGAACUUGUAAAUUAUCAGACAAACCAGCUUAACGAGAGUAUCAUCACUCCAUAUAGUGCUCUUUUAAACAUCACAUACUAUAUAUAUCAGACAAUGUUUAACACGGUCAACCAUAAAAGCUGGUUAAAUCAACAAAGUUUCUUCAAACAACUACAGUUCACUAAAGCUAAUCAAAUAAAGGAAUUGUGCAUGUGUUAUUGAUCCUUGGAGCAAAAUGAAAGUUUUAUUCGAUGCAAAAAGCCAGUUGUGUUCAUAAUGUCAUUAAUUGCAUGUAGUGAUGUCUAUAACGAAGCAAUGAUUUUAACAAUAAGUAUAUCCUGCUGCUUAGUUUCUCCAUUUACCACUCCAAAUGUCGAGAGGAAACAUAUAAGAACAGAAGAAAAAAUAAGAUACAAAAAACAAAUAAUAAAUGCCAGGUAAUAGAAAUGCCAAAUCCACUUUGUUUUACAAACAAAUGGAAAAAUUCAGAUUGUGGAAUCCUCAAACCGAGACAAAUAUUUUUUUAGUUGUGGCAACUAAACCAUGAUACUGUGAUUUGUACUAUAUUCUAAUAUGGUAAACAUUGUCUAUUCAAAGGAUUUCAAGUGUUACUCAGUAUUGAACAUUGUCUCAUCAUUGCGGGUCAUAAAAAGAUGAGGAUAUUGUGGACGAUAAACAUUGUCUAUUCAAAGGAUUUCAAGUGUUACUCAGUAUUGAACAUUGUCUCAUCAUUGCGAGUCAUAAAAAGAUGAGGAUAUUGUGGACGAUGAACAAAAUAAAGGUUUGACUUAUGUUUGUACAUAACUUCUUUGGUUAAAUUAUAAAUAAAAUCUAAAACUGAAAACACAUAUAUAGCUAGGUUUCGCUUUGGCCGCAAAAAGGUACAGAAUCAAACCAAACUGCAACCAUCUUUUUUGAAUUUCCACAGACCAAACUGUCUUUCUUAAGGUCAAAAACAAAUCCAAACAGCAUUUUUAAAUUUGCUUUGGUUUGGUAGGUUAGACCAUGAGAUGAAAUAAUAUGUUGUAUCGAGGGGGAAUCUAGCGAGAAGUAUUGGCAAUCUGCUGUACACACUCUUCUUCAAAAUGGAGAUAAGAACUUCUAAUAUAACCUUAACUGGGUAUUCCAAAUUACAAAGAAAAUGAAAAAGAAGCAAACAAUUUUUCUUACCUAAAGCAUACGGUUUGAUCAAACAAAUUUAGCUGGCUUCCUUAAGAGACUAAAAUAGCAAGAAGUUAAUUCAUUAUAUCCAGGACUUAUAUCCCAACUCAAACAGGACACCGAACACAUUGUCCGUUACUCUUUUAUCAGCAAAAGGAACAGCUAUAAUGUUUAAGUCCUUCAAAAGUCCUUAAACAGAACAUGAUGAUCACCCCAAUAAAACAAAUAUGGUUAUCAAGAUCUCUAAUAAAAAAGAUAACAAGAAGAUCUCCCCAACAAUUGUUAGAAUAACAACAUUAAACUAGUGAAAUCAUAUCUCACAAAUCAUAUAUUUCAUUGUGAUUUACACAUCAUCUUCAUGAAGUUCAAAAAAAAGAUGCAUCAUGUGGGAGAUGUGUGAGAAGAAAAGUAAUCAGACCAUAAAUGUACCAAUAAUCAGGCUGACUCAAAGUUAAUCCAAACUUAUCAGUUUUAGAAUAGCAAUGUGUACAAGAACCAACAAAUACAUGCCACAAGCAAUGACAGCAGACAUCCGUUUGUAUAUCGAAUUAUUGAAAAUAAGCUUGAUAUAACAGCAAAUGUUCAGUCAACGAUAGAACAAACAAGCAUUCUGGCCAAAAAUUAUCCAUAAUGUAAACAACAACACUUCUUAAACCUUUCAGCCUACUAAUCAAGCAUGCAAAAAAGAAAAAAUCUCACAAGUUCAAAUUUUGAAGAUAGAGAACAACAUAGUCCUCAUGAUCUAAUUGUUAUUUAUGACAAAGAUGAAAAAUAUAGAUGAAGAAUGCAAGUACCCUUCAGACCACAGAAGCAUCAGUAUCCUUCUCACCCUCUGCUGCUCCAGCUGCAGCAUUGGCCUCUGCUUCCGCUACUUCAUCGACAGCAUUUGCUGUGGCAUCUUUCUCCGCAGGUGGCUGCACCUGCUCCUCCUCUGGCAGUGGCUCCUCCACAUAUUCAUUCUCAAAUGCAUCCGGCGGCACCUCAUAUAUCCUUACCUGAGGCUUUGCUGGAUCCUUCACAAGCACAUAUUUUCCCUCGUUAAGCUUCAUGCAAAGGUCCACGAUCGAUUUCACAAUCCCCCACAUGUUAGAGGUAUUAAGGUUGAUCUGAGCAGCAAAAUCUUUCAGCUUGUAGCCAAUGACACUCAAAAUAACAUGGUUGAAGUGAUCCCGGGGAUGGACUCUGGAGACAUAGCCCAGUUUCAUCAAAUCAGCGCCCGCAAGGAGGGCUUGAGCUGUCCACUUGGCCAGCUUGUUGGCGUUGUUUUUGAGUUCGGUAGCAAGAACUGCUCCCCUCUGCGUCUCAAGUUUCUGCCUCCAGUCUACCCCAGAAUAUUUUGGAUCGAACUCGUUGAGGGCGUUAAGGGUCAUGAAGGUUUGCUGUCCCUUGACCUCAGUCACACUGUGCACCUCACAUCUUGCAACGAGAUGAGUGUUCUCGUCCAGCUUCCAACGGCGGUAUCGGUAGGCAACGGAGGCGACCUCCUCGCCUUCAGAAGCAAACGGGUUGGGCUCAUCAAAGGUAACCUUGUUGCCAUCACGUACAAGGACCUGCUGGGAGAAGUUCUGGUUGAUGUAAGUGGCCUCCAUGGCGAGGGAGUACGCCGAGUUUAUGUCCUCCUUGGCCUCGGGUAGCGGAUCCUGCGAGGUCUCGUUGACGGAGAGGAGGUCGAGUUGAGACCCGUCGCGCUUGUCAAAGAAAAGCUUGUUGCCAACCCGCUGGAUGACAAUGUCCCAAGAGGACACGGAACGCGGGGCGCACAUGAGGGCAGAGAGGAUGGCGUCGGUGGCGAAAACGGUGGCCUUGUCGUCGGCGGCGAGGCGGCGGAUGACCGGGUCGUCGGUGGUGGUGAUCUUGAAGAAGUUGCGGGACUUGAAGCGCUCCAGACGGCGCUCGUUCUUGGGGUUAACGCGAUCGAAGUUGCGGUCGUAGAAUUCGAGCGCGCCACAGAUGAGGAGGUCCUCCGGCGGAUCUGGAACAGCGAAGGAAAGCUUGGAGAAGGUGGAGAAGGGGAUCUGGUCGAGCAUGGUCCAUUCCGGCUGGAUAUCGACGGAGGACUUUUGGUUGGGGGUGUCGCGACGAGAGCCGGCAAAGCCGGGACCGCCGGCAUACGCGGAGCGGCGGUGCAUAUUGUAGAGACGGUCGCGGCGGGCGCGCUCCUUCUCGGCCUCGCGCUUCUUGGCCUCGACCUCCUCGUCGCGACGCUGCGGCAGCUGUGGGCGCUGCUGGAAGCGCCAGCGGGGGCCGAACUUGGGGCGAGGAGGAGGCUUGCCGUCUACGAGGCGGAAGGAGGAGUCAUCUGCGGCGGCGCCGGAAAGGGCGGACGACUCAUCGAGCGCGAAGUCGAAGACGGCGUCGCGGGUGCCACCGGCAGAUCGGGAGGCGUUCGCGCUAAAGUUGGGGUUACGGCUCCAGUCGGCAACGCGGCCGAGCUUCUCGGAGCGUGAGAAAGGGGCGAAGGGUAUGUUAGCCGGGUGGGCGGCGCCGUCCUGCUUGACGAGGAGAGGCCCGACGGGCGUCUCCGGCGGACCCCAGCCGUCAGGGUUGAAGGGUACAUUCCCCACGUCGAAGCCCAUCUACACUCUAGGGUUUCCGAUGCGAUCCGCGGUGGUGAGCCGAACAAGACAACACAAGGUUGCUUGUUUAGGUUCCCUAUUCACGGCCUUAUAAAGGCAUCGCUUUAGCGAUCGGGAUUAUCUGAUGGUUUCGGAUUCAGCGUCCGUUGGUGACGGUUUGAUCUUAAUCCAACGGUCGGAUGGCCACCCGCAAAACGUAAACAGCCCAUUGGGCCGGUCUAAGUGCUCCUAUGGGCCGGCCGAAAUCAAACCAGUUGUAGGUUUUACUUGCAGUCGCAUAUUGUCAGGUCUACAAGUUCUGCAAACAGUUCUUUAGCGGAAGAUGAUGCAGUUGCAUCUUUGUUUAACUUAAUUAAUGCACAUAUCAAGUAUUCAACUUGACCUUUGUUAAAGAUCGUUGGUGCAGAAAAUCCAGCUCUUGUAUCAGCAGCAGAGCAAAUUUUUGGUGCUGGUGGAAAGAGGCUGCCACCAGCUUUAGUUUUCCUGGUGUCAAGGGCCACUGCUCAAAUAUUUGGUGUUAAGUCAUCUCAUUUGCCUUCUGCAGUAAUCUAUGGUUGGAACACCAUGGAAGAUUUAUUGAUUUAAUGCUUAAAACAGGGAACUGACUGUAGAACACCGACGUUUAGCAGAGAUAAUCGAGAUGAUUCAUACUGCAAGUUUAAUCCAUGAUGAUGUGCUAGAUGACAGUGGGAUGCCACGAAGUAGAAAUCUUAGAUAGUGAUCGGGAAAAUAUCGCAGUGGGAUGCCACGAGGUAGAAAUCUUACAUAGUGAUCGGGAAAAUAUAGGGGAUCACCGGUUAUUUGAUAUGUAGCACGGUUAUAAGCUAUUCUCUCUCUGUUUAGACAAGAGAAAGUUUUCGACUUUUCCCUUAAAAAAUAUUUCAUAGAAUAUUCUCACCUUAUCUCAUACAAAAAAUUAUUUCUAACACAAUAAUCAAGAUCAAUAUAUACAUAUAUAUAUAUAUAUAUAUAUAUAUAUAUAUAUAUAUAUAUAUAUAUACUAUUUUUGUCUGAGACAUUAGGUUAAAAAGGUUGGGUCAGAAAACCCUCUCUAAGUUAACGCUUCCAUCUUAGGGAUACUUCUUUCCGUUGCAACCCACGUGAGAUAUCUCCAUCAUCAUUCGUAAAAAAAAAAAUGAUACCUCAGUCUUAUGAAUCAAGAGGAUUAGAAUAACAAUUAUGGUUCAUGUGAUAAUUUCUUUUCAGAAACAUAAAAUGAGACGCGAGUGGCUGUAACAGCGGGAGAUUUCUUGUUUGCACAAUCUAGAGAAAAUGGAAGUUAUAAAGCUCACAAGUAUGCCAGGCAGAUUUCACUAAUUAUUUGUUAGCUACGAACAAAUAUCAUGAUUUCUUGGGAAGUUGCUAUCUCGCCGCAGGCUAUCUAGGAUUCGGCCGACUAUGAGAUUAAGCAAGCAUCAAGGCUCUUCAACAGUGACCUUAUUCUUAAGUAUUUGCAGCUUUAACCGCCGCAAGCUCAAGGUCUAGGUGAACAAAUGUUUUGAGUAGGGAAGAACAUCGGCAUCUAUUUCCAGGUAGUUGAUGAAGAGAAAUUAUUAUCUAAUCCAAGUUCAGCCAAGAUAGUUUGUUGGCCACCACGAUUGAAUCAACUCUCAAGUGUGCCGAGGGCUCCAUAGAGCCAGAGGGCAGAGAUGGCCAUCGAGAAGCAGAUAUGCCUACCUGAGAGACUGAAGACUCGAUAUGCAUGUAUUCUUUGAUCAAUAAAACAUUAUUAUUAUUAUUCGACAUGCUGUUGAAGACGAGAGAGAAGGCAACAAUAAAACAAGAAAAGAAAACCAGAAACCCUGUAAGAACUGGACUCCAAGAAAGGUACCACUAGGAAGCAAACCAAUAACAAGGAAACAAUCCAAGGGAAGAACAAUGACGACCAAAUUCCUAUAUGACCAUAUCGAGGUACAAAAGAAUUCAUACAAAAAAGGCACGUCCAGGCCAAAGAUCUAGGACUUCAGUCUCAAAAAUCCACAUCCUCAUACAACGUUAUGAAACAGAUCAAAAUUGAUUUGAUGGUAAAACAAAACAGUGGCGACUGACAACAGCAUAAAAAUGGCAUUUAUCAAGUAACAAGCACAUUAAAUUGAUAAUUAGAUGUAGGCACGUGCAUUUGCCAUUAACCACAAGAGAAGGUAAAUGGAACUUAAUGCAAACAGCAUAAUGCCAAUAGAUUUAGGCAACAGGGAAAAAAAGGAAACCAAACAAGUCUUGGUAACCUCGGCAAAGUUGCCCUACAAAACUGAAUCAGUAGUUUCUUUACGAUUAUAUUCAUUAAAUGUAAGCGAUGUGGUUUGGCCAUAACUGGAAAUCAGUCAGUUAAAUUUGCAAGAUAAAACUAGCAAACUGAAUUCUAAAAUAUGAAGUUUCCAAUAGUAGUAAUGCAAACCCAAAUAUUGAAGCACAAAAUUAUAGUCAAUGAAUAAAAAUACAAUUAAAAUAGGUGUUCUAAAGCAACCAUACAGAAGGAAAUAAAAUAAUACAAAAGUAUAAGAUAUUUACAGCACAGAUAAAGGGAAGACAACAAACAGUUUGACAGCAUUCACAAUGUUAAAUUUCUAGCAGUUCUCGAAACCAUCAUAUAAUCAUACAUUAGUAUGCUAGAAAAAGCUCAAAAGUAAUUCCCAGAGCAGGGGCUACCAGAGUACCAUGCAAACAGUUCAGCCUAACUAUAGAUUUUAAUUAAAUAAUAAUAAAUCAGUUCAAACUUCACCGAAAGAUACAUAUGUUGAUUUGCAAUCCAGGAUAAAAACAAUAAUUCAGGAAAUCCUCAAUGGAAGGAGCUUGUGUCAUGCAAUAUAAAAGAUCAAACAGAGCAGAUGUUCUUGGGAAGUGCUCAAUGUAAAAACAAAGACAUUUAUUGAAGAACACCUCACUAAACCACCAAAUGAUCAGCUACUCUGUUUGCUCAGCAAACAUCAUAAUACAAAUAUGCACUUUGCAGUACCACUUUAUCAAACAUGUUUCUCAUUCAAAGUUUAGUCUACAUCCUUGUGCUCAUAACCUCAACUUUUUCAAUCAUCCAUUUACUAAAACUAAUACACCAUCCAUCAAAUUCAGUUGAUGUAAAACAUAUCAAAAAGCGCAUGUAGCAAUCUCAAACAGUUCAGUGAGUGGCUAUGAAAAGCACCAUUAAAUGCAACAUUGAAAUCAUGUAAGCUUCCACAUCUUAUGCUACUAGAGAUUCAAAAAUAAGCAAACGCCGAAUGAAGCUACAUAAAUAAGUUUGGCCUCGAUGCCUUAUAUGUGGUUUUCAACUUCCUGGUUGGAGGCCUAACCUUCUUAAACACCAGAGGAAACUUGAUUUUUGAGUCAUGGAACUGCUUAGUACUCUCCCUCUUGCAAAGCUUAGACGGAAUUGUAGCUGUUUUAAUUAUUUGAAUACAGUGAUGCCUUACUCGAUGACGAGAGGCCAUCUCAUUAUACAUCUGCUCGACAGCACCAUUGAGAGUAGUAUCACGGUAUUCCUUGUACAUGUUGUGAUAGCCUGUUCUGCUCUGGUAUCGUAACCAGAUGCCAUAAUUCUUGAUCUUGGUGGGUUUACGCUCAAAGAUCUGAAUUUGCAUAGGUACACCAGUAAAGAGUAGGAAACAAUAAUGAUUAAAUAAUUAGCCAACACUGAAAGACAAGCAACAUAUAAAGUCACCAAACUAAAUUUCUUGCUCAAAAACCCUAUAAUCAAGAAAUUUACUAAGGCUUAUACAAGCAGAUAAAUGGCGAACAACAAGGAUUUGACCUAAUAGCUUAAUAUAGCAUGCAAAUUUCCAGUAAUUAACAAUUUUGCUUAUUAGUAAGGUAGGACACAUGAGACAAGGAGCCACUUGACAAGGCAACAUGUCAUAUUAAAUGUAAAAAAUUUGGGUUUAGCUUAUGCUUUCAAGCUUUUAAAUCUAGAUAACAAAUACAAUAGCAACACGAACAAACUGGCAAUGUGGCAUCUUCCUUAUCUAAAUAUACAAAAUACAUAUGCAUCUGUACUCAUGCCAAACGUUCAAAUAAACAAAGAAUCACUAAUAUCUCAAAGCAGACAAAUUCUAGUAUCAACUAUACUGACUGAAGGGUAGAAAAGACCAGUACCCACAUAACUGACUGUUAAAGAACUUUUUCUCUCUCCAAAGCCCUCUGCAUCCAUGGGAAUAGACUGAUAUCCAAGAGAGAAGUAUUUAUGUACUUAUAUCCUCUGAUAAAUCUUUACUACCUUGUAAGGCAUUUUGGUUCUCUACUCGCUGAUUCUCGCAUAACAAUGAUGAAGUAAAUAUUUCAUCUCGCCAUACCCCCAAUAGUAGAAAAGGAGCAGAUUUCACACAAAGGACAAAAUCUCAUACAAAAUCAGCAUCAAUAUAAGGAGCACUAUACAUUCAAGGAAAGAACUGAGAAAAGACAAAAUAAAUGAAACCUCGUUGAUUGCCAGCACUUGUCCAUUGCUCUUCUUAACCUUCUUAAGCUUCCUCAAGAAGUACCUACAUUACAUGGAAGUAGCUACAAUAUGAGAAAAAUGCUGCUCGAUAAAUCGAAAAAUGUUUGGAUCUACAGCAGGUAUAAACUUCGUGUCCCACCAAAACUUGGAUUUGGCGCGGACCUCGUUCGUUGCCCACAGUUUCAUCCGGUAGAUCUUCGGGUGCUCAUCGGCGGCCGUAGGGAGCGCCCUCCCGACCACUUGAUACUGAUGGAACUGCAAACAACCAUCAAAUAGACGAUCAAACAAAGAAUCCCACCCAAUUAUCAGAUCCACGACACUCGAAACGCCAAGAACGUAACAGGCAUCGACGAGGAGGAAAAGAUGAGAAUCAAGCAUAAAGAGACUCGGAUCGAAGAGCAAUGUAUACCGAACAGAGGAUUCGAAGACUCACCCUAAAGGCUACCAUGUCGAAGCGCCGGCGGCUGAAUAGCUUCAUCAACGAAAGUAAAAGGCUUAUUUAUAGAGAUCCACUGAACCCUAACGAACUGGGCGACCAUUGACCUGGACGAGUUAGUUUUGGGGCUCUUGUUAGCUAAACUGGGCCGGACCAACUAGUUUUGGGCCUACUCUAUCAUAAUAAUCGGUACGAACAACUCGAGAAUAUACAAAAUAGAAAAUUAAAAUAAAUAAAUUCAAAAUAAAAUAAAAUAAACGAUUAAUAUAAUACUUUUGUGAAUGAUGAAAUAAAUAAUAGUUUGGCCAAUUUACAUUUAACAGCCCGACGACGUUCGAGUGAUGCAGUCUGCCGACUUUGAGGUUUAGGUUUAGGAGGGUAAAUACGUUACAUCCUUACCUGUUCUCACUCCGAGGUGCGAGAGACGACCGAGCGAACCGUUAACGGUAGAAACAUCGGAUGGGCGGCGGCGGAGCAUCGGCCGAGACGGCGAACCCCAAGCCCUCGCCCCUCAACCCCAACUGGGCGCAGCUUCAGCAGAAGCUCAAGUCCCGCCGUCCCCCUAAACCCUCCCAUUCCGCCGACCCCGGCGCCAGAACCCUAGCGCCAUCCGUGUUGGGAAAGCGCAAGGAGAGAGCAGAGCCCUCGCCGGAGGCAUCUCCAUCCGCUUUUCUCUCUCCGACCUCCACUGACUGCAGGUUUUGUUCCUCCUGUCGCUGUUCGAAGAAACAUGGUGGCUUUUGCUCUUGCUCUCGGAAUUGUUUGUUACGUCCGCUUCCUCGAAUUACAGCCUGACGGAUGCACUGGCUAUGGACUGUGAGAUGGUCGGCGUGAGCAUCGAGGGGAGUAAGAGCGCUGUUGGAAGGGUCACGCUGGUGCUUAAUCUUUACUCUUUGCUUUCUGUCCAUUUUUUUUCCUAUUUUUGUUUGAUUGCUUAGAUGACUCCGCCUAGAAGUUCCAUGAAUUUGAUAUUAAAUAAGGAAUCGUGACUUGCAGAUAAUGACAUCAUGAUGAGUUGAUAAACAAAAUGUAGAUCAGAAAUAACUAAGUAAUUCUGUAGGAUUUCAUAUCUCAAACAACAAUCAAGUUCAUUUGACCUGAUUCUUCAAAUUAUUUAUGACAUAACUCAAUGAAAGAAUGACUAUAUAUUGCUCUUUCUACUUACAAAGAUGAUCUUCGGUGAGCAAGUAAGCAUAGGAGAGCUCAAACUUUUCCAAUGGUCAAAUUAAUACCAUAAUACUAAAACACAAGCAAGAGCUAUCAAACAUAAAAUAUAUACAACAAGAUCAACAUUAUGUUUUCCCUAGUUACUUCAGUAGGCUAUAUGGAAUCUUGUUGAACUUUGACAAGGUCAGUGUCACUGGAUAAUUUCCUCCCUUGGCAAAUAUAAUCUUAUUUGAUCUAACUUGCAUCCUGGUACAUUUAUAAAUUUACUGAUAAAGAUAUAAGUUCAAAAGUUUAGUGAAAAUUGCAGAUUACCCACUUGUUUUUGAGCUUUAUUUGCAAUCUGCUUGUUGUUUGAGAAGCAUCACUUGGUUCACUAGAGUCUCCUUCCAUUUGUUAUUCAACCUUGCCAUUACCCACCUCACAAAAAAAGAAAAAACAAAACAAAAGACAAAAAUAUACUCUCCAUGUUUUCUGGAAACUUUGCCCUUUUAAAACAAGAGUAUGUUUAUCCUUGUUGACAUACAUUUAGUAAUAAGACGUGUGAAAAAACAAAUGAAUAGGUGGACAAAGUGAUACAUUUCUGUGGGUAAAGUGCAGACGUACCUAAGCAUAGGUGAGUAAUAUGUGAUUUUCCAAGAAAAAUUAUGUCACACCAAUGUACAGUUGUACAUAAGUGCUGUGUUGAAUAUACCACUUUUUCUACAUGGAUUUUUGAUCUGCCAUUAUAGUCUCAGAAUUGUAUUUCAUAUAUAAUUAUUCUGCUCUGUUCUGUGAUAGGUGAAUUCAUGGGGUAAUGUAGUAUAUGAUGAAUAUGUUCGUCCAAUAGAGCGUAUUGUUGACUUCCGUACCAAGAUCAGUGGCAUCCGGCCCAGAAACAUGAGAAAAGGUUUGUGUCUAACUAUUAUGUCUAUUUGCAUAGCUGUUCUGGAAGUGGAUGAAACUGUCAUUCCCUAACAUUAUUUUUUGUUUAAUUAUGGCAGCAAAGGAGUUUUGGGCUGUUCAAAAACAAGUGGCUGAAUUGAUUAAAGGACGAAUACUCGUGGGUCAUGCUUUGCACAAUGACCUUAAGGUUGUGAACAAUGUAGACUUGUAAUUGUCUAUAUUAAUGUCAUAUUGUAGAAGGUGACAAUCAUAUAUAUAUUUUCUUUUACAGGUGUUGUUAUUGAGUCACCCAAAGAAGGACAUAAGGGAUACCUCAGAAUACGAGCCCUUAAGAAGGUUUGGCUUAUUUUGACUUCACAAACAUUAUCAUUAUGGAAAAGUACUUUGCAAUUAUAUUUCCAAUAAUCUCUUCUCUGAAAGAAGAAUUAUUAUAUUAGGGGUGGUCAAAAGAGGGCACUGAAGCAUCUAGCAGCUGAAAUUCUUGGUGCUAAGAUCCAGGAAAAUGAGCACUGUCCUGUGAGUAUCAACUAUGUUGAUAGUUUUUGUAGUGUUUCAGUUUUAUCAAGUUGAAAUGAUUUUUAUUCUUCACAAGCUUGGUAUAGUUCUAGUAGUUACAUUCAUCUGUUUAAUUGUUUCUAGCUCACUCCGCUUGCCUCAGUGCUUGCAGUCAUGCAUUGUUGCAUCUCUUAGCUUAUUGCUUUCAUGUACAGUUUCCUGCACCGCUGCAUGAGAUGAUUUGGAAUCAGUGCUUGCAAUCAGCUUCUGUUGCUGCAAAUUUUGAUGAUUUGGAUUUUUUUGCUGAUAUCAACAUACCAUAGGAUCACAUUAGCUGUUAUAAGUAUCUGAACAUUUAGAUUGGUUACCAUACCUCUGAUACUAUGAAUUGCACGUUUGAGUAAAGCUAGUCACUUUAGGUAUGAAUUUCCGAAACAGGAACCAUUAAGCUAUGAGGUUGGGAAUAGAUCUUCCACUCAAUAAUUUUAGUCGAAAUGGUUUUGGAUGCAAGUUUGUUUAUAUCCUCAUACCGAAAAUUAGAUAUAAGAUUUUUCUUUAUAUGGUGUACUUCAUAUAUUAAAAUAUGAGUUUGUGAUGUUUGUCUGAUAUCUAUGAUAGCUAAAAUUUCAUUUAUAGUUGAAAUGCAUUAAAGCAAGAUUCUUGUCUUGUACAACUAACAUCUAUGUUGUUCCCAAGCCAGAUAUUAAUAUUACAAUCCAAAAAGACAAAAUUGGUAAUGGAUCUAGUUCGUCUUAUCUGAUUGAGACUUGAUCAAAAGUAAAAUCUUAUCUGAAUCUGGCUCGAUAUACCCCUAUGAAUUAUUGAUCUAGCUACUUUCUUGACAUUAUUGUUUGCUUUGGGAUCCCUCCCUGUCCUAGGAUCUCAGACGUAUUGUACAAUCUUGCGUCGAUUACUCCAGUUCCAGUUGGCUGUACCUGGUCUUUUGCUGGGAUAGGCGAAUGGUGCUUAAAGAUCACCAUGGUGUUGAAUCCUAGCUUUCUAGAUGGCAGCUAGACAGUAUGUCUAUAAUCAAACCUUGUUGACUGUUUUUUAACUUUUCACAAAGAUGUUGAAUCUAUCUAUUUGCUAGAUUCGUGCAUUUUUUUAUCUGUUAUUAUGAAUUACCAUUGUGGCUCCACUAAGAGCUCGUUAACAUUCUGAGGACUAGGUUAUUGUCAUUCCCUUAUGACACUCUUGGUAAGUUGAUGAACAAUCUUCGAUGAGAUUUCUAUGUUAGCCUACGACGCAUUUAUGUACCUGAAAAUUUGAGGCUUUUGUAAACUUAACUAAUUUGAACUUUGUGAACUUUAACUAGAUUGAGGAUGCCCGAGCUGCAAUGUUUAUCUAUAACAAAUACAAGAAAGCCUGGGAGAAGAGCAUGAAGAAAAAUUUCAUGUUCAAAGAAAAGCUCAACAAACGGAAGAAGAAACAGAUGGAGGCAAAAAAAAACUGAUGUUCCAACAACCAUUUAAUGGAAAGAGAAUUUGUUUUCUGCUCAUCGGAGUCUCCACACCUGGCCUUAUUCACAUUCGAGCAUGAUCCUGAGCGCCAUAUAGUGCAGAAUCAGUGAUUGUAAUUAACUAGAUCUCAAACUUCAGAGUUUUGGUGAGAGUCUUGGAAUCAUAUAAAAAUGUGAAUACCUGGAGAUACAUGUAGGUGAAUCUGAGAAGAAAUAGUUCUUCAAAGUGGAUUUGUUGAGUACGUAUGGCCAGUCUUCUUUUUUCACCUAUUUGAAGUAGAGUGAAUUAUGUUUGUUGUGGUUGCCGCAGGCAACUCAUCGAGUUCUUUUCAUUUUAUUACUUGUUUAUUAUUUUGUUGAGUAUGUAUCAUCGAUCAACAUCACCAACUCAUCGAAAUUAUGUCAGGGCAUCCAUCAUUUUUGUUGAGUCGUCAACGUGAUGCAUUUGAAGCUGACACAGCAGCUACAAAGAAAGCAACUGUGCACCAACAGCUGCCUCUUAGAUUUUAUUCCUUCCAAUACUUUCCCCCAACUGACAUAAUUUGUUGAUAUCGGAAUUAAAAAAAUCACCGUAUUUUAAAAGGUUUGAUAAACAACCAAAUUGUGUGUAAGAUAAUAAACUUCUGAUAAAAAUUGUGACUACUUACAAAUAAAUAUAAAAGCGUAAAUAUUCUGUUUUAAUGAUUGAUUGCGUUUCGGCUGUUGUCAUUAUAUGAAAUACUCAGCCAAAUAACGUCCGACAAGUUCUAAACAUGGGUUGGUUAGGCGUUAUUUCGUUGAAAUAGUUCUCGAUAAUUUACUACACAAUAGCACAAAACAAAACUUAGCCAAGACUUACCUGAGACAUUGUGUUCCAUUGCAUGAUUGUUCAUUGGAUUUACAAGUAGUAGUCAGAAUUAGUCUCAGGAAUAAUACAGCGGACGAAACAAGAACAGCAUCAAGCACUAGAUCACAAAAACAGAGAAGAAACCAUAAGAAAAAAGUGAAAGGAAGAUGUGGUGCAGGUACGUACAGUAACACCCGCUCAUGGCACAGUGAGGGAAGAGCAAGAACGAAUGGUUGGAAUAGAUGUAACAGAGCACUCUUACCACGUCCAAUUCCACCUCAGAAUAGAUAACCGGCAAUGGCUACAAGCCCUCCGCCCACAAGGAGGCUCCAUCCGACACCCCUCCCAUGCAAGCCAGCUCCGCUGGUCCCUUCCUCCGCGGCUGUCGAAUUCCCAGACGGGCUCUUCCCACCGGCCGUCGAGGGCACCGACGCCGGCGGCUUUGGCCCGAAGAGGUCGUACGGCAACAGCACCUUGUCCAGCGAGUACACCGCCAGCUGCUGGGAGUCGUCGAAGAUCUUUUUGGCGAUGCGGGUGUGGACGAUUCCCGUGGAGAUGUUCACCUGCAUGUUGCUGUCGGUGGUGACGUUGAUGGUGUACGCCCCGUGGUUGCCGGACGCCUGGGUGCGCACCGGGUUGCUCGCCGUCUCGAACAUGUCCAGGCUGUAGUAGCGCGGCAGGAUGUGGUAGAGCACUAGCCCCACCUGGUCCUGCUGGACGAGGGUGUUGAGGGUGCCGGACUUGAGGCUCUUGAAGGCGGCGUCAGUGGGGGCGAAGAUGGUGAAGGCGUUGGCCAGGUCGUUGAGCUCCUCGUUGAUCUGGAUGUCUACCUGGGUUUCGCGGAGGAGGUGGAUGAAGGUGUUGUAGUUGGUGCCGUUGACGAGGAUGGCGGUGAUGUUGAGAGGCUCGGGUGCCGGCUCGGGGGCGGCCGGUUGGGCUCCGUCGAGGGGGGUGGUGAGGGCGAGCAAUGCGGCUAAAGUCAUCACCAUGAGAAGCGGGCAAGUGGCCAUGGCGGUGGUGAUGUUGAUGGUGGCGGUGGUGGAGGUGGAGGAGGAAGACCUUGCUUAUUUAUGGCUGGAAGCAAGAGUGCGGAAGGUGGUUGGAAUGAGCUGGCUUUUGGAAUCCAGUGGAGGAGGGAGUUCUGUAGUUCUCCAACCAUUUAGAUGUGCCAUUUAGAUGUAUUGGAGGUAGAAAUGGGUCCCUUUAGGGCCCCCCAAUGAAUCAUCAUGCUAUUCAUACAUAUGGAUAAGCAAUAACCGGUAGGAAAGGCGUCGUUCUCAUUAUAUUUUCAUUAUAUAUGUAUAUAUAUAUAUAUAUAUAUAUAUAUAUGUGUGUGUGUGAAAUUAAAUGUUGUAUAUGAAAGUUUACCAUUAGUAAAAUGUCUUAUAUAAGUAAAAAAAAUAUAGUAUAUGACUCGUUUAUGUAGUAUCAAUUCUACCACAAAAAUAUGCUCAAAUUAAAUGAUACAAGUUAUGUCAAAAGGAUUAAUAGAAAGAAUAUUACAUUUAAACAUUAAAUAUAAAAUAAUUAUGACUCAAACUCUAAUAUCCAAAUGGUACGGCUCAAGCUUAAUAGGUUAACUAAUUCAUCAACUUUGACUUAAAUCAUCAAUUAAAAUACUUAAUUUAAAAUUAAUAAUAAUAUAUUCACCGUAUCUUUAUAAGUUAAUUCUAAUAUUACUUAGUUUUGAUGUUGAACUAAUCGAAAUAUUAUAAUUUUGCUCACUCAAUGACUUGACGUCAUCAUCAAAGCCCAACAUAAUCUGGGUUCAAACCUUAGUACAGGCAUAGCCCAAUGGUAAUUUCAUAUCAUGACGAGUCAUCUGAUUCUAUGAGUAACUCUUUCCUAUUCGAGCCAUUUCACUAUGCCCAAAUACUAGAUCAAAUCCAAUAUCAAAUGUUAUGGCUUAAGCAUAAUAGACUAAUUUGUAUUAAAAGGAAGACCUUUGCUUGAGGGUUGGGAAACCCAACACUCACUUUGUCGAGGCGUGGAAGUUGAGAAACUUAACCCUCACUUUACGUUAAGGCACAAAGAUCAAGAAGUCCGACCCUCACCUUUGUUAAAGAUGAGGUGACACCCAUCAUGGGGGUUGAACCCACGACCACUCGAGGAGGGUGUAAAACUCGAUUCCCACCUUAUGUUGAGGCACGAAGGUCAGGAAGCCCGACCCCCACCUUUGUUUGAAGUGUGGAGGCACCCAUGACCACCUGAGAAUGUCUGGAAACCCGACUCUCACCUUCACCCGAGGCAUGGAGGUUAAGAAAUUUAACCUUAUCAAAUCAAGAUACGUCUCUUGAAAAUAUGAGGAGAUGGUCGACGAUGAAUUCCCAUCAACAUCACUCGAGCAUGAUGAACUAGAUGUGUUAAACGAACUAGACGUGCCACUAGAUUGCCGAUAAAUCGAAGAGAUGUAAGCUUUUGAUGUGUCAAAUGAACUAGAAGCCGCAUUUCAAACCUCUCUCACAAAGAGUCCCAAAGCAUAUCUUGGGACAAGACAAAUGAUAAGAAAUACACUAUUAUGUUAGCCAAUCUUUAUUCAAUAUAUGAUCACCAUGUAGUGUCUAGAGUGAAAGAAGAAGACGAAGGCCACCCUCCACUUGUCUGCCCACUUAGGCAAGGGUUCAAGACAAGCGGUUAUAGGUUGCUCUCUUUUUAUUGCCCACAUGGACAAGAGAUUAAGGGAAAGAAGUUGGAGGUGGUUAGAGGUUGUCUCCUUAUAAAAUAUUUUUUAGAAUAUUCUGUCCAUUUACAAUGAGGUAUAAAAGCUUGUUUUUAACAUAAUGAGAAAGAUGACUUAUCUUUUUUUAACAACUCACGUUUGUAUUUAUAUAUCUCGAGUUACUAACUGGACAUUAAAUGAAUCAUCGGGUCAAAAACUUGACCUUAGUGUUCGUGGAGAUCACACCUCGGAUAACCCUAUACCUAUACAUAUGGAUCCGAAUUAUAUCGAUCUAAUCAAAAUGUUAACUGCUUCUUUUCCUAGGUAACAGAUGUUAAAUCUUACCCGAGCAUGCAUCUAAUAUCAAUUAUCAACCCAAGUCAUCAAACCAACUUUUACUUGCCACAUGGACAUAUACUAGAUUAAUUGAUGCAGAUCGGUCAGAUCAGAUUCACUAUAGAUUCCAUUCCAUUAACCUACAAGAAUCAUCAUCCGGGUUAGGAUGCCAACGAAGAUGGUACUAUAGUCAUUAAUUUUUUUCCUUUUAAAUAACAGGAAAAACCCCAUAAAUUGUACCAUAUUUAUAUUUUAUGUUGAAUUAUGCACUUUGGUUAUUAAUAUUGUAUAUAUAAAUCCGUAUGGUACGUUCGGUCACAUGUCAGCCAUCAGAAUAAAUUGGUUUUAAAUCUAUGAUUUGAUGCUAUAAAUUAGACAGAACUCGGCCCCCUUUUUUGUUAUGUCUCCUUUGCACAAGACAUAUUGAAGCCCGAAUUAGCUACUGAUGAUGUUCAUUUGUAUUGGAAAAAGGCUUUAUGUGGGCUGGUAAUGGGCCCAAUUAUAGUGCAUACGAAGGCUUCGGUAAAGGGCACGAGAAGGAUUGCUAGCUGGUAUAUUAUAUAUAACGGCUGUUAAAGUGACACGGGACGAAUUGGCUGGUAUAUAAUAUAUAACGGGAGUUAUAACGUGUUACUGGCCGAGGUAACCGCCCUAAGCGUGAAAAGAACGCGACCGUAAAGUGAUAUUACCGCUACAACAAGACUUGACCGUCAUAUUUAAAACAUCACGCCGUCUUCACGGUCCCUCCAUCACCUCCGUCUUCUUCCUCCCGAAGAAAAGCAGCAGCGACAUAGUGAGAGAGAGAGAGAGAGAGAGAGAGAGAGAGAACGCAGAGCGGAGGGCGAAAGAAGAAAAUGAUGCAGUUGCUCGGCUUCCGCGGGGGAUCCGCAGCAUCCUCCCCUUCGUCGUCGACGGGAAAGGAGAUGGAGCCGUCGCCCACAUCGGACCCACGAGGCCCUAGCUCGAGUGUCGCUGUCGCCUCGCCGGAGCCCGGACGCCCUCUCCGCCUUGUCUACUGCGAUGACAAAGGCAAGUUCCGGAUGGACCCGGAGGCUGUCGCCGCCCUUCAGCUCGUCAAGGGCCCUAUUGGCGUUGUCUCCGUUUGCGGCCGCGCCCGCCAAGGCAAGAGCUUCAUCCUCAACCAGGUGUUCCCUCUGCCCCUCUUGUAGAUUGUUGGCUCCUUUGGUUCUUUCCCUUGAUGAAUUAUUUUUUUUCUUCUUUCCUUCCUGAGUCGAUUUAGAUGGCUAUUCGCUCAAUAAACGUUGGUAACUUUGAUCUAUAAGUGCAAAGUUAUCCCGGGAUUGUUCACUUUUUACGGGUUACAGGAGUAGUGACCUAUUUAUAUGUCUCAUGUGCAAGCUAGGGUUUGCUAGGGAAAUGAAAAACCCUAAUUUAAGGGUUGAAGGGGCGUUUUAAAUUCUUCGAGCGUCAUUCGGAUUAUUCUUUCAGGUCAUAUGAAGUCUGUAUAUGUGAUGAACCUGAACAAAUCCGAUGUUAUUUCAGAUAGGUAGACCUGUAAAUAAGAAGGUACUGGGCAUUAUAAUAGCCAAAAAGGAGGCUCAUGAAGACUGUUCAAGCCUCUUCAGAUAAUCAAUUGAAUAAAACUGCUGGAUGAAAAAGUAAGUUGACCAAGCCAAAGUGGUUUUGUCCCUUGAAGAGCUUUUUCACGCUAAAGAUGGCCAUUUGGGAGCAUAGAGAAUGGACUUGGGUAUUCCAUGUUGAUAUGGUAUAUUAUUCUGUGAGCAACCAUAAAUUAAAAUAAAGCUAGUAAGAGUCAGCAAGCUUAGCUGGUAAGGAUUUUGUCAAAAAGAAAUGCUGACAGAGACUGGGAUGAACAUUGAAGUGUAACAAUAACAUCCGAAAAGCAAGUGCUUGUGUUGUAUGAUGCCAUACCUAUAUAGGCAGCUUCUUAACGUGCAGUAUAAACUCUAAAUACACAUUUAUAUAAUUUCUAUGUAUGAGUUGAUUUAGAUUAUUACUCUCUAUAUAGCCUAGUAUUAUGCUGAAAUAUUGGUGGAGCUUUAGAUUUGUUACAUGAAAAAUUUGAGGGCUUGUCUGUGAAACAGAAGAUAGUGUAUACUUAAGUUGUUUUAGGUUGUGAGUUCUCUGGGAGAAAGCUGGAAUAAGUUUCUUGGGGAUCUGUCAUAAUCUGUGUACAUAUCUAUUAAAGGCAUAGCCUUUAGGCAAUUAGAGGAAGGUUCCAGUGGAGGUGGAUUAAAGAGACAGACUUGGUCAAUGAUGUUUGAUUUUGCAAUUCCCGUAUAUUGUUGUUUUCAUAACUCAUCUUCGUUGAAGUUUCUGGUUGAAUUUGCAUGAUUCUAAAUAUGCAAGGUUAUCAAAUUUUGGAUCUUUUUAACUUGCUAUUACUCAUUGUAUAUCAACCAAAAGAUGAAGAGUUGUCAUUGAUUCGUGACUGACAUGCAUACUUGAUCUUGUGGACCAGCAUGGUAAUAAUUUUAAAUGAAAGAAUGCAAAGAUUAAAUAUGAUGAAAUUUAUAGUUUAUAGCAACGUUCGUAAUUUCGUACUGUACCGGAGUAUCGAGCUCAGCUCGGUGUGUGUAUAUAUAUAUAUAUAAAGACGACGUCGUCUCAUUUUUCUGUCCGCGUGGGGAGAAGAAACCGCAAAAAAGGACGACGAGGAGAUGUCGUCGCCUCGUUUCUUCUGCCCGCAUGGGGAGAAGAAACGUUGCCUCGACGACACUCGGUUUCUUCUCCCCGCGACGUCACCGAGGCUUCUUCUCCCCGCGCGAAUGAGGAGAAGUCGCCGACGACGUUGAGGCCUCGUCGCCUCAGAUGAGGAGACGACAUCUCAUCUGUGGCAUUCGGCGAGGGAGCGCGACGACGGAUCGGGAUCGUUGACGGAGAGUGGUGUUGGAUCUCCAGGUUCUCUCUUUUCUUCUCCCCUUUCUUUCUUCUCCCUCGGGUAAUACCACCCGGUAGUGGGGCGGAAACAGCCCUAAUCGGCAGUACUGCCCGGUAGCGGGCGGUCCGUGUACCAGUCUCCUGGCGGACCGGUACGUACCGCCCAGUACAGGUGGUAUUAUUCAAAAUUAAAAUCAUUGGUUUAUAGUACAUGUGAUGAUGGUGACCUCGAAGAACCACGAUUGAAGUUAGCUAAUAUUCUUGAGGCUGUGUUAUUUGCUUAUGCUAUAGGGAAUUUGUAGGAAAAUAUCAUCUUAACUUGGCCUUCAACUUUGGGUAUAAUUAUGAUAUUACUUUCAGUUUUUCUGCUUCAACUCAGUACAGCUAGUUACAAAGUUGUUAAUAUGUCUGCCCCCCCUACUCAGUGAAAUAGACCUUUAAUGCGUUAUUUGAUGCUUAAGGGCAGAAUUCAUAGGUUCCAUUGCUCAAGGAAAUUUGACCUAUUCUUUUUCUUGAUAAACUUAGGAUUCUCUUCUUGAAAAAAUUAUCAAUUAUAAAUAAUUGGAAAAUGGUUAAUUGUUAUGCGCUCUAGUUUUGGGUGGGUGUGCUGGUUGCCUUGAGAAAUAUAGGACAUGGAUCUGGAUUCUGAAAUACAAAUUUUAUGCAGACCACUGAGAGAUGUUUGUUAUUGAUUAGAUUGGAUGUUCUGAAGUUAAUAACUUAAUGUUCCUUACCUUGCAAUAACACUACAAGGACAAUGGCUUUAAGGAACUUUGUUUUUCCUCAGUUCUACUCUUUUGUUUAUCCUAUCAUAUAAAAUUCUUAUUGUUUUGUGUUGUAAUAUGAGCCAUCCUCUUCAUAUUUUAUAUUACAAUGACGGGAUUGUUAGUACUCUAUACCUUGGAUACAUUCUGCAGGAUAUAUUCAAUUCAUAUAGUUUGCUUAUAACUAUAUUUUAUGCAGGAUACAUUCUGCAGGAUAUAUUUUAUAUUACUUGUUUUAUGCUUAUAACUAAGCAGCUAAAAUAAUUCUAUCUAAUGCCCUAGGCUUUUUGCUAAUGCUAAUUUAGUUUUUUAUAAUUCAUUUACAUUUACAAGGCACCAUGUAAGAGUCAUGCAUAAUAAAUGAAUGAACUGUUUGUUUUUAUUUUUGUUGUCUUCUUUUAGUUAAUUAAUUCUGUUGAUGUUUAAAUUGAUUGUGGUUGCUUCCAUUUUUUUUGGUUUAAAUAUAUAACUUGCAUUCGUUUUUGUAAAGAAUUAACUUCUCUUUCUUGUGGUAGCUUUUGGGCAGAAGUAGUGGAUUUCAAGUAGCUUCAACUCAUCGACCGUGCACUAAAGGGCUUUGGAUGUGGAGCACACCAUUAAAGCGAACUGCUCUUGAUGGAACCGAGUACAAUCUUUUGCUACUGGACAGUGAAGGAAUUGAUGCCUAUGACCAGACAGUUAGAUUUGCUCUUCUUAUCUUUUUCUAUUGGUUAUUUUUUAUUCUAGUUUAACUGUACUGAAUUCCUAUAAGGAAUACAAAAUAAAACUUGAUUAUAAUGUCUAAUUUUGACCUUAAUCCACUACAGUUUUUUAAAGGGUCUUUGCUUGCAGAUACCUCUUUCUAAUUGGUUAAUGACAUAUUUGCUUCUCCAAUACAUGUACAUACAUUCUCAGAGAACUUAACUUAUUUACCUUAGUUCCCUUUAAUAGAAACUGUUAACCAUGGUUCAUUGGAUUAGGUGAUUAGAUCAGUAUUGGCCAAAGCGUAUUUCAUGCUAGUCACUUUCUCGGUCUUAUUGCUAGAAAUUGGUCAGAACUGCAGAUAUUAGCUGGUUGUAGCUGACUUGUUUAUUUCAGAAAGAAAAAAUAGAAAAGGACAUCCUCUCUUCUAUAUCUCCACCUCCUUUCUUAACAUUCUAGCAAGGAAAUUUUAAAAGGGGCAUAUUGGUUAUCUUGAUGACAAUUGAUUAAAAUAAUAAAUAGUUUAUGAAAGGUAGCUAACCUCAAGGACAUAUCCAUUACUUUCAGGUAUCAGUUGAAAAUAGAGAGCAAGGCUUGAAAUUUCUGUUGGGUACUGACUCUAUUUAUUGGUCUGACUAACAUGAUAUUGCUAUUGAUCCAUAUCGAGAUUCAGUAUGGUUUGAUACAGAUUGUUAUGGAUCAGACCCUGCCCAGUAUCUACACUGGCAUGUUUCUUUUUUUGUCUUAGUUUUUAUUUAUUUGUUUUGAAGAUCCAUAAUGGUUCAUAUAUCAUCUGAACCUAAGUAUAGUUUCUAAAACGUAAACAAUGAUGCUAAUUAUGUGCAAUAUCAAUAUUUGAACCUGAUUAUGCAAAUCUGAUGUAGAUCCAAUACAAAGGUUGAUCCAGAUCCAGGGCUUUAUGGUUUUGGUAGAUGUUGGACUUGGACUUGGUCUAAGAAGCUACCCUUUUUAUUUACAUCAUCUUUUACCUUUUUAUAAACUUGUGUUUGUAUUUCUAGUGACGUCUCUUUAAUUUUUGUGGGAUACCAAGUGAUGAUGUCAUAUUUGAUAGUCUUUUUAUGUGGGGUAAUAGGAUUUGACCUAGGCCUUUCCUGCACAAAUGAACAACGUGUCACGAGAAGUCCCUUGUUGAGGGUCUGUGGUCAGAGGGUCUGACCAGAGUCCUCUCACCUCGUAAGGCUUUAAAAGUGGUAGGAUCAUCGAAAAUGUAAUGGGAGGGUUUUUCUCUGACAGCCAUGUCAAUAUCUGAUCUAAAGUUACUCUAGAGAGGGUUUUUAAUUACUUAGAGAGAGGAUAAAUAUGCAGACAAAAAGAAAUAGAGCUUCUUUAACUGUGAGGUCCCCUUUUAUAGCUUGUCUUGGCUUGGGUUAGUGUUCCGUUGGGCAAAGAGUUGGUGAACUACAAUGGGACACCACACUAGGACAGGGCAUAUUUCCCUUGUGGCAAACUGAUGCCAGUAGUGUAAGGCUGAUCCAUGGGCCAGCCUCAACCAUUUUCAUUGGAUUCUGAUGUGCCUAGUAUGGUAGCUGUCACCAAGUUUCUCAUAUUUCAGUUGCUGUUUAUCAGAUGACUUUUCUUUUUUCUUGAUUUUUAAUGAUAUUUUCAUUGUCAAUUAUUAGUUGUUUCAUGUUCUUUUCCUAUAGACACGGACCUUGUAUAAGUAACAAAUAUAUCAAUUAUUUAAUUGUUCUGCUCUCAUAAUUUGAACAUAUUUGGCCUAUGCUGAACCUGAGAUCUGAUCCAGACCAAUAUCUUGUGCCUGAUCUAGAUCAUGAUUUGACCUUAAUGGAUACAGUUAGGUCCAAUUGCCUACUUGCCAGGAUUGGGUUUAAAUUUGUGGUAGCUGAUUUUUGACCUGAAUGAUGCUUGUUAUGUAGCAUAGAGUUACAUCAUAAAAAAUGAAGGGUAAAAAGAUCCUCUUGUAAAUUGGCCAGGAAUUAACCUAGGUUUUGACUAGUAUUACACAUAUGGAUGGAUUGUGACAAUGAAGGCACAGGCACAUAUGAAUCCAGUUUGUUGUUGGAAUAUAUAUGCAAAUUGGUAUUUUUGAGGGUUAAAUAUUGUAUUUAAGAGCAUAUGUUUGGAAGAAAAAAAAUCCUAUACCGGAUUCUCUUUGGUGGAUGCCAUUUGCAUUUGGAGUAUCUUCUUGGGACUCAGAGAAACAAACUUGUGGCAUAAUCUUGAUUUUAUACAUGUAGUGUUGGUUUGACUUAAGGCAUCAAAUGGGAAGACCCUUACCUGUAAAGCUCAUAUGCAUUUCUUUUCAGUUAUAUGUGCUUCCUCUUCCUUGUUAUGUUCGCUAAAAAAAUUAUUUUUUUAUAUCUACAACUUGUCAUAUGAAUUAUUUUCUUUUUGGCAGGGCUCAUACAGUACAAAGAUAUUCUCUUUAGCUGUUCUGUUGUCAAGCCUGUUCAUCUACAACCAGGUAAAAAUUGUGUUGCGUUGAGCUGUUACUGAUUCUUUGCAAUGGAAUUGGGAAUUAGAAAUCUUCUUAAGCUUUACAUUUGGGCUUGCAUAAACUUGUUGUAGUACCUAAUGCCGUCUUAUUAAUUGUUGACCAAAUAUAUAUUUUAUAACACCUGUCCUUUUGUUUUUCUUUUGGUUUCUUUAGAUGGGUGGUAUUGAUGAAGCUGCACUUGAUCGUCUAUCUCUUGUCACUGAAAUGACUAAACAUAUUCGUGUUAGAGCAUCUGGUGGAAGAUCCACGGUAUCUGAGCUUGGACAAUUUUCUCCAGUAUUUGUGUGGUUAUUGAGGGUAAUUACAUCGGUAGAUGGCUUUUUUUGUUGUUUCUGUUACUUAGUUUCACCUGUUCUGCUAAUUGAUUAUAAAUAAAUAUUCUGCAGGACUUCUAUUUAGAUCUUGUAGAGGAUAACAGAAAGAUCACCCCUCGUGAGUAUCUAGAAUUAGCCUUAAGGUCUGUGCAAGGUGGUGGGAGAGAUAUAUCAGCUAAGAAUGAGGUUCAUUGCAAUCUCUGACAUGUAAUCUAAUUAUAUUGAUUCACAACAUCUUGUAACAUUCAUUGAUAAUAAGCAACUAAUCAUUUUGAUUAAUAGAUUCGGGAGUCUAUUCGCACUUUAUUCCCUGAUAGGGAAUGCUUUACGCUUGUGCGGCCACUGAACAAUGAAAACGACCUUCAACGUCUUGAUCAAAUUCCUGUGAGUAUUCCUUCCACUUUUUUUUGGACAAUUUCAAUCUAUUUAAAAUUCUGAUAUUGUCUGUUGUGCAGUUAGAUAGAUUAAGACCUGAAUUUAGAUCAGGUUUGGAUGCAUUGUUGAAGUACAUUUUCAUGCGAACCAGACCAAAACAAGUAGGUGCAACUGUAAUGACAGGCCCCAUUCUUGCUGGUAUUACACAGUCAUUCUUGGAUGCCAUUAACAGUGGUGCUGUGCCUACAAUAUCUUCUUCAUGGCAGGUCAGUUGUUUUGAAUAUUUAGUGUUUUCCAAGUUUCUAGUUACAAUAUCGCUCGUUUAAAAACGAUGAUUACUAAAAGUCAAGUUUUUCUGGGUACUUUUGAAUGUGAAAGACUAUAUUGACUUGUUUCUUUUUAAGUAUUGGGUUCAUUGGAACAGCAUUAGUGUUGGAUUAUUCCUUUGCUACAAUGGCUAUUUCAAAAUUUCAAUAUUUACAUAUGAAAAAAUUUUAAUUGAUUAUACAUUUUGUAUUUUUAGGUGUCUUUCUUUGUUAUAUAGUGUGAUGACUUUUCCUUGGAAAUUUUUUGGCUUUCUUUAGGAUCUUUGCUUCUAUUGUCCUGCAUUGUCACUAGGAAAAUCGAUAUCUCCUCCUAAUCUUAGCUGAUACAGUACUAGCUGUCUUAGUUGUGAAUAUUACUAUUUGUAUCAGCCUAUUGAUUAUUUAAUGCAGUCACCUAUAAUGCAGACAUUUAAAUGUAGGGAAGGAUUAGAGAAUCUCGCUUCUAAUUAUCCUUUUGUCUUAAAUGUUAUGAGUUGAAAAUCCAGCUAAUUUGAUGACUUAUCCGGCUCUUAAGGCAUUAUGUUCAGGGCUUAACAACUUUAGUGCGUGCAGUCCUUUAUCUGCAAUCUAGAUGAUUUGUUGAUCUUUGUUAGCUGGCAUUUUGGCUUUUGGCAGUAUCAUUAAAUGAUCUUAAUUUUUCACCCACUUUGGGGCUUUCUAGUGUUAUAAUAUGAUUAAAUGUUUGAUAAUAUAAUGAUUACAAUGAUUCAAUUGAUAUGCUGCUUUGAUAAGAUGUCCAUUAAUACUGUCUUUCAGAGUGUUGAAGAAGCAGAGUGUCGGAAAGCUUACGAUUCUGCUGCUGAGAUUUAUAUGUCCUCCUUUGAUCGCUCAAAACCGCCAGAUGAGGUAUAGGUCAAUAUUUUUUUUAGUUGUUGUCACAUACCACUUCAUUUUAGUUUCAGUUGCACUGAUUCAUAAUUACUUUAGACUGUUCUAAGAGAAACACAUCAAGAAGCUGUUGAAAAGGCUCUCAAUGCAUUCAAUUCUGGUGCUAUUGGGAGUGGAUUAGCGCGUCAGAAUUAUGAGAAGCUUCUCCAGAAUUUCUUUAAAAAGGCCUUUGAGGUGAGCUCUAAUUUCACAUUUUGGAAAUUGUUGGUUCCUAAAUAGAUUACUGUCACAACUAUCACUAUUAUCAUCCUAUAUUUCAUUUUUAUUUUCAAUGUAUUUCUCAUCCAGAGUUUUUCUUUUUGCUAGUUCUGCAUGUUCCAUGACAUGUGCCUGCUUGAAAUUUCCUCUUUUUUAUUUGGCUUGAACUUACGACCGAGUAAUAUUCAGAAAUAGAUCAAAAUUUUUUCAUGAAGUUAUGAUCUUGUACUAAAAUAAACUUGUUACUGGUGCUACUCUCUAGUCUGUGGGAAUGGUAUGAAGUUCAAUUGGAUUAUUAUGUAGCGUCACCAUGUGUAGCUCAUGAAUUGGCAAUACAUUCAGAGUAAAAGGAAGAAAUGCAUCAAACAGUCAUUCCCAACUGCCAUCUCAUUUCUUUUCUCCUAUUCUUUGUCGUAAUGCUUCAUGGUCUGAGGAGCUAAUGUGAAAAUUACAAGUAUAUGUUGACGUUAAUCUAUCCCUGCUGAUUUAGUCAUGAUGGAUGGGAUAUCCUGUUAAUUGAUCGUCACAAGGGAAAUUUUGCAUCCAACUGCAGCUUACAUUUUUAAGCAAUCAGAGCAUUUAAAGUUUCAUUUUAUUUGUUGUUUAGUUUAGAGCUUGCAAGGAUGACUUCUGCUCAUGAUAAUAAUGCCAAUCUUGGGAAGCUUUCAAGUGGAUGUUUUGCACAAGUAACUUUUGGGCUGUCCGAUAACUGUGUAGCCUAGGAUAUUGCUGAUUGUAUCUAUACUGCUUGCGCAGGACUACAAAAGAACAGCUCUUUUGGAGGCAGAUUUGCAUUGCUCUAAAGUAAUCCAGGGCAUGGAGACGAAGUUGCGAGCAGCUUGUCAUGCUCCUGAUGCAAAACUUGAUGAUGUGAUUCAGGUAAGGCACUGUUUGUCAGAGAACAUGUAUAGGCUUAUGAUGCUGAAGCAAGGGACAGCAUACCAAAACAUGUAGAGUGCAUUGCAGCAUGGCUUAAAUCAUUACAUGUGUUUUAUCAUCGGCAUAAUCACUAUUCUUUCCGUUAUCAUUGCCUGUCAUUACUGUGUCAGUGGUUUUGUUGGACAUGUAGACCUUUUGCCCCUUUUCUAUUCAGUUUUAUCUAUGCAUUUGGGUUUAUCUGCUGGUACACAGGUCCUCUUUUUUGCACCAGCUAUUAGUCUGGGUUAUUGGCUUUGUGGAUAAUGAAUACUUAUUGUCAUGCUUGUUCAAUCUCUUGAUGGCUCUCACAUUGAUAAUAGUUGAGGUCAUCACUUGUGAAGUUCUAUCUAUGCAUUUGGAUAUAUCUGCUGGAACACAGGUGUUCUCUUUUUUGUACCAGCUAUUAGUCUGGGUUAUUGGCUCUGUUGGUGGUGAAUACUUGUUGUCAUGCUUGUUCAAUCUCUUGAUAACUCUUGCAUUGAUAAUAGUUGAGGUCAUCACUUGUGAAGUUUAUGCUGGAAUCUUUCACUAUGUAUGGUUGCCGAUUCUACUGAUCUGGCAUCUUUCUUUUGGUAUUCAUUGUAGUUUUAUGUUGGCUUAUAUGUACUUUUCUUUGAAUCUUGUCAUUUAGAAGAUAUGGACAUGAGACUCGGUUGCAUGUAGUUUAUCCAUGUCCAAACAUGUUUUUUACGUAAAUGCAAACCAUCAAUAAGUCGUGGCUCCAUGGAGUUUUUUAUUUUCUUUGUUUUUUAUUUGCUUAAUAACUUGUUUCAUUAUUUGACUAGAGGCCCAUUAUUGGUCUUAAUUAUAUCAACAAACUUUUGCAAAACACAAAUGCUUCAGAUUGUUAGUCCUAUUAGUAUUAGACAUGUCAGCUAAUAUACCUGGAAGAAGCUUCUUCGAAAUGUGUUGGAUACUUUCAAGAAAUAUCUAUUUUUUAAGAAAUAUUAAAUGUUUUUAGUAUAGAAUCUUGAACCUCCAACAGCAAGAAUUUUAGCGUGUGAACUCUCUCUCUCUCUCUCUCUUUUGCCUUAUUUUAAGUAUUUCUAUUCUGGUGGUUUUUCAAAAAUAUAUGUUGAUGCAUCCAUAUUGUGUCAUAUUCAGUAUCCAUGAUCAUGCUUCAAAGGCUUUAAACAUGCUCUGGAUUGAUGCCUUUCUUAUUGCUUAACUUUCCUUUUAUCUUUAAACAUAAUAUGAGAUGAGAGGCUUGAAUGUCACUGCAGCUCUUGGGCAGUUUGCUAGUUGGCUUCGAGUCAUCUACUCAUGGUCCAGGGAAGUGGAAAAAGUUGGCUGCCAUCCUGCAACAAAGGUUUGUCUUUUUCUCUGUUUCUCUUACAGUUAGGUAGGUACCAAAAAUCUGAUUCCAUCAGGCUGCUGAACCAAUGUUUUCUUACUUUUAAUUGUAUGAAUAUCUUUUGAGGUCCGCAUAUAAUGACCUUGACAUGAUUUAUUAUCUUCUGGUUGAUCAAAGUUCCAAGAUUGUUUCAGAUUAUCGGUGCUAAAAGAGAAAAAAAAAAACUAUUCUGUCAUUGAACCUUUUUUCUUUCUGCAGUUUGCAGGGACCAAUUUUGGACUUAUUCAGAAGGCAAUUAAAUUGUGUUGAAUCAGAAAGGAACUCACUGAAGUCUAGAUGCAGCUUAAGUGAGGACAAACUGGAUUUGCUUAAGAAGCAACUUGAGGCAAAUGAAAAGCACAGAUCUGAAUAUUUAAAACGCUAUGAGGAAGCUAUCAGUGACAAGGAAAAAAUAUCCAAAGAUUACACUGGUCGGAUUGCUGAUCUGCAGAGCAAAUAUAGCAAAUUAGAGGAACGCUGCUUGAGUUUGUCAAAUGCUUUGGAACUUGCUAGACGUGAAUCCUCUGAUUGGAAAAAUAAAUACAAUGGGAGCAGCAUAGAGCUAAAGGCUGAGGAAGACAAGUUCAAAGCUCAAGUUGCAGCUUUGCAGGCCAGAAUAGGUGCUGCUGAAGGAAGGUUAACUGCUGUUCGUGAACAGGCAGCAUCUGCUCAGGAAGAGGCAUUAGAGUGGAAGCGGAAAUAUGAUGUAGCAGUUGGAGAUGCUAAAACUGCUUUGGAGAGGGCAGCAGUUGCACAGGAACGCACAAAUAAGAAGGUACAAGCCAGAGAAGAUACUUUAAGAGCAGAAUUUGCUGAGCAACUAGCAAAGAAGGUAAACUGUCUCUUUGCUUAUGUACAUAUAUGUCUUCCAGUAGGUAUAUGUAACAUGUAUCCAUAAGGUUUUCAUCUGUAUGUUAUGUAUUCACAAAUACCUUUUUGUUGACUAAACAGGAUGAAGAAAUCAGAAACUUGACUGCAAAGAUCGACCAUUCUGAGAAGCAAGCAAAUACUUUGGUCCUGAGAACAGAGGUAUCACCUAAGAGUACUUUGAAAAAUUCUGAUAGAUGCUAGAACAUUGUGAUUGUGCUGUGCUAAAGGAAGGUCAUUUUUAAUUGCAGGCUGCCGAGGCAGAACUGAAAAGCCGUGAAUCAGAGUCCUCGGUUUUGAAAGAAGAAAUCCGACAUUUACUUGAAAAUUUAGAGUCUGUUAAAACCAUGGCUCAGUCACAUGAGAGACAAGUCAAAAUUCUAGAACAAGAAAAGAACCAUCUUCAGGAGAAAUAUCUCACUGAAUGUAAGAAAUUUGAUGAAACAGAUAAGAGGUGCAAGGAUGCUGAAAGGGAUGCAAGGAAAGCAACUGAGUUGGCUGAUGUAGCUCAUGCAGAGGUCGUGGCAGCUCAGAAAGAAAAGAGUGAAUUUCAAAGGUUGGCAAUGGAAAGAUUGGCACUAAUUGAAAAAGCUGAGAGACAGGUUGAGAACCUGGAAAGAGACAGGAACAAGCUGAUUGAUGAAAUUGAGGGGCUUCGUCAAUCAGAAAUUUAUGCGAUUGACAAGGCUGCGUUACUUGAGUCAAGAGUCCAAGAGCGAGAAAAAGAAAUAGAGGAGAUGUUGAGUCAGAGCAAUGAGCAGAGGUCCAACACAGUCCAGGUUCUUGAGAGUCUUCUGGCAACCGAGCGAGCAGCUCGUGCAGAGGCUAAUAACAGGGCGGAGUCCUUAUCCUUGCAGCUACAAGUAACUCAAGGCAAACUAGAUUCUCUCCAACAGGAGUUGACAUCUGUUCGGCUCAAUGAAACUGCACUUGAUACCAAGUUGAGGAAUUCUCGGGGGAAACGCCCGAGAGUGGAUGACAACAUUGGUACGGAGUCGGUCCAUGAUAUGGACAUCGACGAAGAGGUUGCCAAGGGUAGAAAGCGGUCCAAGAGUACCACAAGCCCGUUCAACUAUGCUCGGUCCGAAGAUGGUGGUUCAAUCUUUAGAGGGGAAGAAGAUAACAAUCCGAGUCAGGGAAAUCAAGAAUCUGAGACUGAAGAUUAUAAAAGGUUUACGGUGGUGAAACUCAAACAAGAGCUUACCAAGCAUGGAUUUGGCGCACAAUUGCUGGAGCUGAGGAAUCCCAACAAGAAGGAUAUUCUUGCAUUGUAUGAGAAGCAUGUCAUCCAUAAGUAGUAGCUGUUUUUAAACACUGGAUGUAUCUCUAAACGUUCUCUAAACGUACCUAACUUAGGUAGUCUCUCAGGUGGCGUGUGUGGGUCAUGAAUAGUUAGUUGUGUUGUUCUUUGGUUUCUGUAACGUGCAUCUUAAGCUUUUAUGAUGCAUGCAUCAAUUCUUUUGAGGAAGGUGUGUACAUUCAAAUCACGUUGCUUCCCUCGUCUUGUGUGCGUGUCUGUAUCGUGCCACCAUCAUUUCUGUGUGUGUUGGUGAGUGUGUGUGCGUGCCUGUUUUCCAUUUUACCAUGCGUUUGUGGUACGUGUGAGCCAUCUGUCCUAUUUGGAGUCAUGAGAUACACAUGGAUUUGUUGGAAAUUAGAUGUGGUAAAGUAAGUAAAUGAUUGUCUACCAUCUGCUUCUGACGCCAUGAAGGAACUUAUGACAUCUUCUUUAUGGGUCCGCAUCCAUAAGAGUUGCUCGAUAGCACUUGAUUUGCUCUUCGUUCUGCUUUCUUGUUUCAUAUUAUUCCUCGAUUCAUAGUUCUUGCUUCUUGGCUUCUUCUCGAUGACGCGGACAGCGACAUGUAUUGUAUUUUAUGGCUUAUGCAACCCAAUAAUCAAAAAGUUAUAUGUUAUGGCACGACAGAUGGAUCCAAGACUUGUUAAAUAAGCUUCGCAUAUUUUAAUGACAAAUCCACCCACGCAAAUCACAAGAUUUCAAUUGUCAUGUAGCUUUUUCCUUUAAUGAAAUAUUCGCCUAUUCAUUAUGGGGGUUCGACAUGUGAUGUGGUGUGUCACGUUGAUCGAAAUAUUCUUCCAAGUAUUUUAGUGUACGUGUCGAUCACAUCACAUAUUCUGCCGAAGAUAGGAGGACCAAAGGCUCCUAACGAACGUACGUCAGUCGGAUCGUAACCAAGUCGAACUGAUCGCCUGCCACCGGCAUGGAUACUGCUGCUUCGCAAAGUUCUGUGAUAUCUAUCUUUGCAUAAGCUGGAGAAAUCUCAUACGGUAAUCAUCAAAUCAUGGUUACGAAAGAAGAAGAAGAAGAAGAAGAAGUAGAAGAAGAAGCAAAAGAGAACACCACUGAUCCUUGUUGUGAAUAAAGCAUGCAUACGCGCCACCAAAGGUUGGCCACCGUCAUUUUUAUUCAAUGGGUUUCAGCUGAACAACUUUGUCGGAUGAAUCGAAUCUACAUAGCCCUGAAUUGUUAAGUUCUGUCGUGCUAACUGUGAAGUUUCCACAUCAUCAUCACAGAAUGCACGGUUGAAUGGAUGGAUCUACAUGGAGUCUUCCAUCUCCUAAAAUUAAUCGAGGACGAAUCCUCGUCUACUCCACUCGUGUUCAGGAAAGGAAGGGAGGAGGAGCCCCGGUGGCAUGCAUGGUGGGAAAGCUUGGAAAUAGAUGGGGCGAGCUAACUCGGUCUUGGCCACCUUGGGUGUAGGCCAUCAGCGACGGCGUGUAAUAGCCACCGCCGUUUCCAUCCCUCACCGCAUUGCCAUCGUCGUCCUCGUUGUCCUCCUCUUCCUCAUCCUCGUCCGCCACCAGACCCUUGAGUUUGGUCUGAAAUGUAUCCUUGAGUGCCGAGCCACACUGCCGAGGCUGCGUCUGGAAGAAGAUCUUGGACACCACCAACUCUCCGUCCUUCUCUUCUUCGUCGAAGCCCAAGUGGUACUGAUGCAUUAUCCAGUUUGUCUUCUCGGGCUUCCGCUGCUUGCCGUAGUUGGUGUAGAGAACGAGGAUCUUCUUGUACCCCUUCAGAUCACCACCUGCGAACACCGGCCUCGUCUUCCCGGUCUUAUGCCACCGCGUCUCGCUUCCAUGCACGUCGGUGUGCACCUUUCGCCUCUUCCUCGUCCCCGUCGUGUAUGCUCUGGAAGGGCGAUGGAAGAAGUGUCGAACCAGCCCAUCGCUUCGCACGCCUGCAUAUCAUCGCAGGAAGAGAAAUGCCAUGAUACGACGAUGGACAAAGCUUAGCACAAUAAUUCAUGCAUAGAAACUUUCACUAUUGAAAAUAUAUGUUAUUUAAUCGACCAGUAAGGAUAAAUUCCUUUUUAAAUGAUAAGUAAGGAAGACGAAAUUUGAACUUUCUUACUGUCUUCAAGUGAGUGUGAAGUCACAACUACAAAGUCAAGUCAGUCUUAUGUUGCUUAGAGGCUACACUACAAAAAAUUCAUUAUGCUUUAAUAUAGCCUUUUCUUAAUUUUUUAGAAUACCAAUAAAUAUUUUAUGAAGUUUCAAAUUGUUGGGGGAAAAUAUUAUUAGCAUUCUUGUCAAUCCAAUAUGGUUCUGAUCCGUAUGCAUAGAGUAGUCCGAGAUGGAAAGCACCUCCUUUAGAAAUGAAAACACCGUGCUCUUAAGGUGUUACCUGUAUAAAGACCGAAGUUGGAAGAGGCUUUCCGAGCUGAUCUCUCCGACACUCAAGUUAGUCUUAAGGUCAACUUUUGUAACCUCACAUAAGUUAACCUCAGGACUAACUUGAGCAUCGAUGGGAUCGACUCGGGAUGUGUCUCUCGACUUCGAUCUUUGUAUAGAUAAUACCUCAUAAGCACGAUGUUUUCAUCUCGGAAAAAGGUGCUUUCCAUCUUGAUGACUCUGUACAUAUGGAUCAAGGCUAUAUUUUCCCUUAACACAAACUAUACUUGCCUUCUCUUAGUCUAUACAAUUGCAAAGUAUACAUGAAGACAUAAAAUUUUCAUACCUGUUGCCAAUUUUUUGACUUAGUUGGAUAACAAUAACUAGAAUCUGAAAACUGCAGUCAAAUAGAAACAAGAUCUUUUCUUGCACCUCAUGAGAGAGAGAGAGAGAGAGAGAGAGAGAGAGAGAGCAGACCAAGUGACUCUCAGUAGAAAAUACGUAUAUGUGGACUUGACUGACGUUUAUUUUGAUUCAUGACGAUGACAAAAAUGGACUUGUAUUGUUGGCUCUAUUGGAUAGUCUAAUAAAGCCACAAAAAUGCAUAUGUCGACGACCAACAUAAUUAACAACAGUGGUAAAUUGUCAAUCGAGACGCAAAGAUGAGUAUUUCUUUGAGUAGCAAAAAUCAUGAUGUACUACUAAUUAAGAUUCUUCUUGGACGUAGGAAGUUUCAUAGCGUUCCUUCAUGUGCAAAACACAAAGCAUAAAUGACUUGUGUGCUCUGGUCGAGCAACGAUGAUAAUUGUGAGGAGGCAAUUUUAUGACGCAAAACCUACGUUGAUGUUAAUGCAUGCAACCCUACGUACAUGAACACCGUUAGAUUAUGCUGCGAUGCCAUGUACGUAUGCUAUCGGGCGCAAGAAUCAUGUCAUAGAUGGAUGGUCUCAAGAGAUGGAGGAGGGCGAUUAAAGAAUCGAUCCAUGAUUCAAUUACCAGGGAGCUUCUCGGGGUGUGUGUAGCAGAUGCCGUCUUCUCCUUCGAUCGUAGGGAUGAAGUCGUCGAUGAGGGGGUGAAGCCUCUGGGGAUCUGACCUCGCCUUGCCCUCCAAGUGUUGGAGCAGCUCUUGGUCGGUGGGAUCAAACUUGACGCCUGCAGGCAACCCGAGAAAGUCUUGCAUGGAGGGAGCAACCUGAAUACAUCGAUUCAUAGAUUUCAUGAUCGUGUUAGGUCUUCCCCUACACAACAACUUCUGGCAUUUGCCUUCGACAUGAGAUGAAGAAGGUGACACGUAAACUUUGUUCGUAUGAUCUAACCAUGCACCUGUUUCUUGGUCGAAAUUACGGAAUAAUCUUUAACUUGUAGAGAGAGAGAGAGAGAGAGAGAGAGACCUGGCGUUGAUACUGAAUGGGAUAGCCGCAGGAGGGGCAUGUCCGAAUCGUGUUCUCGUGUGACUUCUUGCUGAUGGAAACCAUGGCAGAGAACUCGUGGUGUCCGACGCUAAGCGAUGGUUGUCUUGUUCUCCAUCACCUCCUCUCCUGUGUUUCUCUUAUCCAGAUCAAUAGGAACGAUAACCAGAGGCACCGAGGAAGAGGAAAGAGGAGAGAGAAGAAAAAAGGGGGGGGAAAAAAUGGAAAAGGAAAAGAAGAAAGAAGCUUGUCCCUCUUAAAGCUAUUGGAGCUCUCGUCCCCCCCCCCGCCCCCCACCUCAGUCUCUCCUUGAGAUCGAAGAGAAGGAAUAGAAUUGUCCUCGACUUUUGUUCAUCACCCAAGUGCAGCAAAGGAGAAGAGAAGACGGACCCUCCAAUGGUCUCUCUGCUGCUUCCUCCGGACAACAAAGGGGAAAAGGAAAAGACAAAAAAAAACAAGUGUAUUUGUAGAGAUAGAGGGAGAGAUGCCUCAGCAAGCAAGCUUAGGUUGCUUGUCCCUUAAGCUUCACCUUGCUAUAUAUGCUUAUCACUCGCAUGUUUAUCCUCAACAGGAUGAUAAAGAAAAGAAAAUAGAGAAUAACAAGGCAUACAUCUCUCCAACUGCUACUCAAUAAGCCUUUGGCUGAACCCCACAGAGAAGAUGGCGAGAAAAUAGAAGGAAGAAAGUUAUAGGACAAAAGGAGCGAUUGGGUUGAGUGGCGAUGGGGCAACCUGAUUCGCAUGAGACGUCUCACCUCCCUGACUGGGAUAGUUAGACAGAGAGAGGCGGAGGUCGAAGGUGAUCAUCAUCUCCUUUUAGCUCCGAGGUCAACCUAGAGUGCCUUCCAAGCCAUAUACCGAGCACUUGCCCAUUUGCAUUAUCCACUAUCUCUCCCUCUCUCACCAUCUUCCUGAUCUCCCUCUUCAACCAAAGCACGCAUUACGUACUGUGCAGCAUAAAUGUGAUAUUUCUACCGACCAAAAACUACAUACACAUUGCAUCAUAUCUGCAGUACCAACGUGAUUCUUCUCUCUCUCUCUCUCUCUCUCUCUUCAAUGAAAACACACAUUCGCGUUUUCCGCAGUAACGCAUUCGAGAGUUAAUGCUGUAAAUGCAUGGGAUCGGAAAGCAUAAGGUGAGGUGAAUCAGAGUCGACGUGAUCUCUGCGUAGAUGAACAUGGGAUCGGGCAACAAUGAGGGUGCGGUGAAUCCUGGAGAUUCUGGGGGCGUAAAGGAGGCGUGAAGGAUACUAUUAAUGUCCGAAAGCAGGAGGUGAGGUGGGUCUUCUUGUCGGUGGAGUCUCGUGGUUGCGAUUGGUGNNNNNNNNNNNNNNNNNNNNUAUAUAUAUAUAUAUAUAUAUAUAUAUAUAUAUAUAUAUAUAUAUAUUUGAAACCAUGGCAUGAUUCUUGUUUACAUUCGAUGUAAGAUUAUGUGUGUUGUAAUUAUCUUUUCUUUUGUUUCAUUCAAAAGCUCAGUAAAUUAUAGUUUCAAUUAAACAAUAUACAAGAUGCUAAAAUAUGAACUCCAGACUUAUCAAAUGUGAAUAAUAUACUAAGAUAAUCUCCAUAGAGACCACAAAUUGCAAUGUUGAUAUUUGAUUUGAUGUUAUAUUUAUAUCGUCAAAGAUUUGUGAUUUAUUUUUCUUUUUUUCUAAUUCAAGAAAGCCAAAAAAUUACUCGAGGGGUGAAUGACAUUAUUACGAUCUGCUUCUUGCAUUAUCCAUUAAAUAUUAUGAUUCGAAUCCAUGUGUAAGCAUCAUAUAUGCCUACAUAAUCAUUGUUGUGGCAUCCAUUUCAUCGUUAGACCAGAUCGAUUAGCUUCAACAUCAAGAGACAACAGCCAAAUUAUAUGCUUUUGGAAUGGGGAAACCUUAUGAAUCAAUCUCUUUACUGUUCCCUAUAAGAUGAAAUAACAACGAAAAUACAAAAAAAAAAAAAAAAAAAAGGUUUUUGCUCACGCAUAUCAUUUCAUAUUUGUUGAAAGAACUCGGGACAUAAUAAUUCGUGCUUACAAGUUUCUCUCGGAAAUAAUAAAGGAAGUGGGGGUCAUUUGCGGAGCACUAAUGAUCUACAAAUAAGAAAAAACGUAGGUGCGUGAGAGUUAAUCCCACAAGGUUUCGACAGAGUACUGUGAGUAUUACUGAAAUCAUCUAAAAAAAUACUUGCCCAAAAUGCCUCUUCGAUUAGUGAGAAAGGAGAGAAAUCACUAGGGAUCAGUUGUCGGACGGAAACCAUUCAAGAGUCUCGCCCGCAAACAUAGGCACUAUUUCUCCGGAUGUGUAUGGAUACGAGUCAGGUACUUUCCAGGGACUCUUCCUCAAUUUGACCUUUGAAGUGUUUCUUGGAAGUCCAUAGAAAUCAGGGCCAUUGAAGCUUGUAAAGGCCUCCAGUUUGUCAAGUGAACCAGCCUGAUCGGAAAAAAAAAAUCAAGAGACUUGAUUAGAACAACUUAAUGAAUAAUAAUCACAUAAAUGGUUAUGUAUUCAGGUUUAGAACCGGAAAUUUCCGACAUAACCUGCUCAAAUACUUUAGCGUAAAGGGAUAACGCAACAGGAGCAUUGUAUAUUCCCGCACAUCCACAAGGACAUUCUUUCUUUUGUCUCUCAUGUGGAGCACUAUCGGUACCAAGAAAAUAACGAUUGCUACCUCUUGUUACAGCUGAUACGAUAGCUUGUCCUACAGAAGACGACAAAUAGAAGUGAUACUAUCAGCAUAAAUUAAAACUUCAGCAAACUAAUGAAUUGACCAGUUAAACUAUCUUAAUUCCUAUACAAACUAGAAUAUGGUCAAAACUAGAAAUGCGACAAACCUGAGAAAAACCACUGUGGAAUAAAAGGAAAUAAACCAAAUGGUGAUGUUAUCAUGUUUUUAAGCACUAAAUCUUUUAAAUAAGCACUAGAAUGACUCCUUUAAGUUAUGAUAGAAUCUGUAAAAUGAAAAAUAUGCUUACGUAGUAGUAUAUAAAAAGGAGUCACUAAGGACAACAAACCAAAAACAUCCAUAUAUUAAUUUUGGUAAGUUGUUCCUAAGCAAGAGCAUCAGUAUUUAGGUUGCCAGUCGUUGCAUGUGAUUCCUGACUUUCCACAAGUGUUAUAAACAGUUGAAGUAUUCCAUAGUAAAUGCAAGAAAAAAAAAUUUUUCUGUUGGCAAAGGGAGCAGUUGCACGUACUAUGAAUCUCUCGUUUUAGUACUGGAAGGCAGUAAUUGUGAGGCUGUAGUCCACCUUGAAAUAAGGAAUUUCUGUUCAGAAGAAGGUGCUGUGGCGUGACAGUGGCAGCAACAGAACCUAAUAACGAAAAUAUAUCAAAAUAUAUAAUAAAGAUAAAAGUAAGCUCAGUGCAUGAGAUUUCAACAAUGUGCGGGAUAAAGAGGGUCAAUGCAGUCUUCCUCCAGGUAGAGAAUUGUUUUGUUGGUCUGAACCCUUGACACCCAUGAAGCAUAAAAAUACAACCACACCAUAGUGCAAAGGCUCAUCCUUACUGAAUUAUAGAAACAUGAAAAAAAGGAAGAAGAAAAAAAUAAUUCAUUCUGAAGCCUACCUUCAUUGCAUGAUUCAAUAAAUUUAACUGCGUCCAUCGUGGUAAUAUGUUCCAUUACAACUUUCAGAUGAGGAAGCUUUAUUAGUAGUGGUGAUAAAAUAGUCUCAAUGAAGACCCUUUCUCUGUCAAAUAUAUCAAUAUUCGGAUCUGUCACUUCCCCAUGCACCUGUUAUAAGUUUUACAUGAAGAAAUCAGCCUCAAGAUUACACCCUCGAUAAUAAGGCAAUAAGUAAAAAAGAAGGAAAUCUUUAGUGUACAAAAUAUUAUUUACAGUAAAGCUAAUUAAAGAAUUUUUUGAUCAACUAGACAUUUCCUCAGAAGAAACUUAAGUAAUUUCUCUAAUACAUAGUUAUUUUACUGAGUAAAACUCAGAGUAUGGUAAACCGAUAAGAAGGAAUAAACUAACACAUACCAACAGUGGCAUAUUAUGUUUUGCCAUUUCUUCUAGGACAGGCAAACACUUCCCAAAAAUAUCAGUGACUCCAUCUUGAGAAUUGGUAGUUGCUCCAGCAGGAUAUAAUUUUACAGCAAAUACCACUCCACUUUUUCCUGAAAGCUAAAAUCAGCAAAAAAUGGAAAGAAGAGCUAGUAACAGGAAACUGGAUCAGAGCCAAACUUUUAGUGAGCCAUCAGUUCCCUUUAUUAUAAGGAAGAACAUAAAGCAUAUUAAGUAGCCUGAGAAAAAAAAGAGAGAGAUAGAACAUAUAGUACGGAAAAAGUUCAAAUGGAUGUAUUUUUUUCUAAUUCUUUCUAAAAAUAAGUCUUAUUGAGCGCAUGUUUUCUUGAGUAGUUGAACACAAGGUAGUGUAUGUGCAAAAUGCAGAAGCACAUGCAUUCACAAGCACAUAUUUAAAAAAAAAAAUCAAAGUAAUUAGUAUAAAUAAGAAAUAUGGUGAUGAAUAAGUGUGAAAGAAUGAUAGGUAGAAAUAUAUUAAAACAAAACAAAAGAAUCUUACGGAUUCCAUUUAUACUGAGUUAAGAACUUUUUAUGUGAUAAGGUGUGGAAGUGAGUCAAAUUUAUGUUAUCAUGGACACCAAGAUGGUACAAGUAGUUGAAACAAUACUACAAAUAACAAGAAAAUACAAACUAAACCAUGCAUGCGAUCGUCUAUUCUAUUCUAAGUGGUUUAUUCAGAAAGAGAAACCAAACAAUUUGGCAUAGCACCCAAAAGAAGAAGACGAAAAAAAGGAGCUCACUGGCAAGCUUGAUCUCUUCGGGGCUGGUGUUGUCUGUGAGGUACAGGGUCAUGAGGGGAUCGAAUCGACUGUCGGGUGGCAGAGCCUUUAAGAUGGAUUGGCGGUACGCCACCGCUGCAGCGGUGGUGGUGAUGGGGGGCUUCAAGUUGGGCAUCACGAUCGCCCUUCCAAAAUGCCUUGCGCUGCGUCGUCAUGAUCACGAAUCACCCAUCAAAUUCCCCCUUUCUUUGUCCGUCGUAAUCGAAAAGAAGAGGAGAUCGAGAGGCCUAUCACCUACCUGUGGGAGACGACGGCGCGGAGAAGGUCGCCCUCGCGCAGAUGGAGGUGCCAGUCGUCGGGCCGCGUCAAUGAGAGCUCCAUCCUCGACCCGGCCGAUCUCACCACCAGGCUACGCCUGCUUCCCUUGUCGGAACUCGUCUGGAGAGGGAUCCAAGCACGGGUAGCAACGUAGCAGCCGGCCUGCAUCGAACUCGACCAGUAUUCACAGGUAGCGCAAAACGAAGCCUAGCGAUCGACCUCGUACUUUUAACGGACCAGAUCGACGGCUUUGAUUAACUGGGCUAACUAGUGGGCCAUUGAUUCGGACCAUAAUUGACGCGGGCCCAAAAUGACACAAAUGGGGGCUUUACGGGCCGGAUUAAAAGGCUCAUGUAGUAACUCAUGAGAAAUUUUAUCGAUGUUAUUCCAUAAUUUUAUUAUUUUAUCCCUAAUGUACAAUUAAUAUUUUAUUUUUUUAUAAAAUUAACGAUAUAAAUAUCACGAUUUCAUUAAAAAAUUAAAGUAUUUUAUUAUAAAUUAAAUGUAAUAUUAUUUCUUAUGAUUAUCUUAUUUUUAUUAAUCUAAAUAAUAUAUUUUCAUAUUAUUUUUUUGUAUUUAUAUUAUAAUAUUAUUUUAAACCGAUUUAAAUUAAUAGGUCGAAUUGAUUUGAAAAUUAGUGGGUUGAUUGAAUCCGAUUCAAUUGAAAGGAAAAGAGGAGAGAAAAUGCCUCUCAAACUCGUUGAGAGUAUUUUUUUUAUCCUGUUGAAAAUAGCACUCUGCCUAGUGGGAAAAACCCAAAAUUGAUGACUUUUAUAGGGAAUUUACCCAAUAUCCAAUCUGCAUUACAUCUCAUUGAAAUAACAUAGAAGUAAUUUUAAGUAACGAAUUUUUGGCUUGGCACUUACAUUUCCAACCUAUGCCCAUGCAUAAUUAGACAUGGAUCUUUGGGUUAUUUGGGCUAGAGAGAACACAAAGCCCAACCAUACAUAACUGGACAUGGUGUGGAUGUCUCCAAUACGACAGCUUAAGAUAAGCUGCAGUGUGUCAAACCCACUCUACUCAAGCCGAGACAGGACCAAGAAUACUUGCAUGUGUAAAUAUGAAAAGGGAACAUUGUGGUUUUUAGUCUUGUUAUUAGAGAGAUUAUUUUCGUACUUUUAAACCAUGAUGAUCACUUAAAUAUAAAAGGAGUGAUUUGAUUAUGACACCAAGGUGCAGUUUUUAAGUUGGGCAUGAAUAGAUGUCUAAGAUCCAGACGUGAACUCUGCAUGUAGCACAGGUCGACUCGUACAUAAUUAGCCUAUCUACCGGCCAAAUAUUUAUGAACAAAGAUCAACCUUAUUCAUGGACUUUAUUCUAGUACUUGACAAAAGUGAACAGGCACAUGCCACUAAGUCUGCUUGGAAGAAGGGGAAAAAGCAAAAAAAAUCGGAAGGUCAACCAAAAUCUCAAGACUUCCAUCUUCUUCUCCUAGCUCGAGAUGGAUGUCAGGUGAGACACCACAAUGAGAUGUGAAUCCCACAAACCCUGCUCUUUCCAUUCUUGGAUGCCAUUUUCCCUGCAAUCUGACAGAACCACACAAGGGCAGGCAAUCCAACGUGAAAUGCAAAGGGGGACAGCACAAUCGAGUGUUGGUUGGUGCCAUCAAAGUAGGACUGCACUCUUAGCUGCUAGAAUCUGAAAUCCAUCCUUCCCUCUUCAUUUCCAAGGUAUUCUUGGACACUCGAGUGCAGCAUGGAAAUGAAUGUGACCAUGGGUAGAAGAAGGAUUAGGAUCUGAUUGAUUUGAUCCCACAAACAAACAAUUGGAUGCGUCAAUGGACUCCUCACUAAGAAAUCGAUGGGCUCUAGGCACACAGGAGAUGUGUGUAGGGGCACGGACGACUUAAGUCACGGGCAUUCCAAAGGGCGAGAAGAGCCUCGUAGUCGUGAUUCACAAACAGAUAAGAAUUAGAUACCCGGGCGGAAGCCAUCCAUUCGGGCAGGGCAAAAUGGCUUUAAUCGUAUCUUAUCUAAUGGAACUCCAUUGCGAGCACUAUGAAGGAAGGGGGGAAGCUUCGUAGAUGCUGUCCCAGGUGCCUUGUUAUCGUGAACCGAUGCUGUCCCAAGGUGUCGCCGGUUUGAGUUGGGCAACGAAGUAACUUUUAUGAUGCUUAGAAACGACACAUGGCUUUUUCUUCCAAGUGUCUCGACUUGGUGCCGAGUUUUACCGGUCGUUAUAGUUCUGUCACUUAACUCGAACAUGUACCCAAUCGACGAGUAAAAUCUACAAGGUUUAGGUCUCAUUUCACUAGUAGGUCGGUAUCCCAUAUCCAGAACCGAUCCAAUUCGAUAUUAGCUUUCCAGAGAGAGAGAGAGAGAGAGAGAUCAGUAGAUAUUCCCACUUCAAAAGUCUGCCUAAUUGUGGGCAAGGCAGGUCAAAAAAAAGAAAAAAAAAAUUGAUUCACAUAAUUAUUACUGUGUACCCUAAAGACAAUAUCUGUGUUUAUUUAAAGAAAGAGGAAUAAUGUGAGUGGAAACAAAGAUCUGAGAAUCCACCAAUGCAAAUGAGCAAAUUGGCCACUAAAAGAAGAGAGCGCCUGGCGCUCAAAUCAGCAGCUCUAUCGGAUUCGCCCUAACGAUCAUGACCCGUGGCUGUAGCUUAACUACAAAAUAUGCCUGAGAAAGCAACGGAAGACGUGGAGAAUCCAUUCUCUCAAAGCUAUAGCGGUGAGGAAAACAUGAUGGUGAUUGGCCAUAUUGACGACCUUAUCACAGUAGAUAGGGUAUCUGCAGAUUUUGCUUUAGUCGUAUCCAAAUCUAACUAUUAAAUUAUUGCCUUUUUCCUGCUCCAUGGGAAGAAUGGCUUACUUUCCUUCCUACAUUUGACUCUGCCCUGCAAAGGACUGACAUGGAUAUAUAAUUUCCCACUAUAUCCAUCCUGAAACCAAACCCAAUAUCAGUUUUAAAAUGGGUUGGAUAAAUGCAGGUAGGUACCUACAGAAAAAAAAAACCAAAAAAAAAAUCACCUGUUAUUAUCUAAAGAACAAUCGAUAAAAAGCAUGUCUCAAAUUUGAGGAGCACGUAUCCUAAUUCGACCUAAGUGGGUCAGUGGGUAUUGGGAAAUAAACUUUCUUCCCAUCCCUUAUCCAAGGCUACAACAAUCUCUCGAUGUUGCCGACCCAUCAUAACAAUGCUGCCACGCAACCUAAGUGGCUGCAUUUGCUAUUUUUGUGUCACUCAGAUUAGGAAUUCUUAGGUAGACCAAAAGUAUUUAGCAACACAUCUCAAGGUAUUUCGCUACAAUUGGAUGGUCCACCGAUAACAUGGUGGAUCUAGUUCAUCAAAAACCUAUAUAUAACAUGAAAGCUACUUGGAUGGAUCAAAUCACAUGCAAGGAGUUUUUCUCGGUACUGGUCAGAUAGUCAGGUUUGCGAAAGGUGACAUUAUUCUUGAAAUUUAGUCUGACAAAGCAGCAUGGAAAAAAGAAGAAGGAAUUACCUGACAGGUUAGGCUUGUGAGAGGACCAUGCAAGAUGAGUCUUUAAAGAGGGAUCUUUGCUACAGGUGUCAGACCUGAGAACGAAUUUGAUGCUACAAGAACUGUUGAUUAACAGUAAUAUAAUCCUGCCAAGAAAAAUACUGUUGGUUAGUAGUAGUGAUAUUUCCACAUUAGUUUCUUAUAGGUAUUGCGUAAACAUGAUGUUAACAGUAAAUCACUAUGUAAGCAUCUUACUAUAUUCCAAUAGAAAGGUGAAGAAAAGUUUCAAUUGUAGCAUAUCCUUCACAACUCAUGAGACUAACAAUUUGCAUCAUCCAUGAGGGAGAGUCGAUAACCAUGAACCAGUCCUUUAGAGAUCAGCAUAAUCAUGUAAUCACCCAGCUUUAUGCCCAAGUUUGCAAGAGGACCAUUGGAAUUAGAAGGACUCAGAGAGGUGGAAGCCUUCCUUGCUGGACCACUUUGCACUCUCAGCCUUACCAGUCAGAUUUCACUUGGAAUUUUGAGACAUGGAAGAGGGACAAUGAUCAAAGUUCUGGCAUCCUUUACUGUCAGAUGUAAAGACCAAAAUGCUUCAGUUGCAUAGAUACCAACUAAAUAUUUGAUUAUGGCCCGUAACUUCGAUUGAUAAUUUGAGAACAUAAAAGAGUGUUCUGUGAUCCAUCACUUCUACCAAAUGCAUUGCACAGGUUUCUUAUAUCAUCAUAUUCCUGAUGAUGCUGACAGAAGCUAGUCACCAAAAUGUGAAUGAUAGACAUGGGAGUAUGGUGAAGGUUUAUAAUCUUGUUGCAGGACAACCCAUAGAGUUAGGUAGUCCCAACUGCAAGCAGCUGCAAUUUCAGGUACCACCACUUAAACAGGAGACUGAAUCUGCUUCACAUAUCUAAACUUGGACUAUGCAUGCCAUCUACAAUUACCAAUAAGGUAAAUUUUGGUUAGCAUCAUAUUUGUCUCACAUAUAAAAAGAAAAUAUAGACAGACACAGUAAAAUAUGUUGAAUGCUAACCUACAUUUCUUUAUAGGUUCUUCACGACAAAUGAACAGUAGCAAAAGAUCUGAUGGAAAAUCGGGCUGAUAUAUAGAUGGUAGUACCUUUCAAAUUUUCCUUUUUCACUUUGAGAGACCACGAGAUGGGAUGUGAGAGGUGGUAAGGUAAGCCAACCAUAAACUGGAAAAGAUCCAAAAUUGAUGGCACAGAGCAUCUAAAAGAUCAGGAACUUACACUAAUAAGUGAUGGAGGUUUAGCUAAAGGACCAUCAACCAAUAGGUGGAUCAGGUUCUGUGGCAUUUUAAAAUAGAUCUUUUCUUUUAGCUUCUUGGAUUCUCCAAUCAAGGAGAAGACAGUAUGGAAAGGAACUAUUCACAUAAUACAGGACUAAAGCUCCAUCCAACCCUGACAAUGAAAACAAAUUGAUGUUUUUCAUGUCCUUAACCUGUAGAGUGGUACUCAAGUUAUAUUUCCAAAUGCUGUUUCCCGUGGACUUAUUUGAUAACUUUAACAUUCUCACCAACAGGCUUUGUGGCCAAGAUGCAACUUCCCAUUCUUCCUAGGCAUCAAUCACCAUACAUGGCACCCACCAGGAAACCACAAAGUUUGGCACCCAUACUGUAUUCGGUAUCAUCCAACCUUCAUCAUGGACUCUCAUCUUCCCAAGGACAAAUCAAAUGCUGUAUUGAUUUAUGAUGCAUUUCACAGGAUCAUGAGGGUUAUCACUCAGUCAUGUCAUUUGCCCUCAGAAUGCAAUGUCAUUCUACUAAUGAAAUUCACAUGGUUGUGGAAAAAACUAACAGAACUUCACCAGGAAGAGAGAAAAUGAGGUCUUUCUGGUCUUAAGCCAUCUUUUGGCUAUGACCAUCCACAGGAUCAUAUAACUAGCUCUACAGAAUUUCGUGGUCACAUUCACAUUCACAGACCAGACAUGCAUUAUCCCAGAAGUGGUGCCUGAACACAGACAUCUAAGGGCAUAAUUCUGGGAACCCAAAAACAGUUCACUGUUUACAGUAGGCCCUCACCCCUCAAAAGGUCGAUAUUCAUAUCCUGAAAUUAGUUCCAAAGUAACCUAACAAACAGGACCUAGUUCUUAUGGUUCACUUGUUUUAUCUAUGGCCACCUCUAACCAAUAUUUUACGUGGGCCUGGAAACAAAUCCAUCCACCAUAGAUGUGUAAACCACCACAUACCUCGUAAGUUGGCUAAAACUUCUGCCCAUUGUUUCCAGAAAAUUAAUGUUCUGACUUCUUCAACUCAAUCUGCAGUAUUUCCCACUCCUAAUGAUUAGAUCCAAGUAAAAUCCUUUAUUAUGUCUUUUCCUUCUCGUGAACUUUUCCUCAUCCAAUCCUUCCUAUGCAUUGACCAAGCAGCCCACUUGAUCAAGGACAUCAGUCAGACAGCAACCUUCACUACCCUAUAUAUAUUAGACCUCUCUCGAGUCCCAUUACCACUGAAUAUCAGAUCACAAAGGCAUCAUAGUGCAACCAUGUUGUGCUCUUGUAUGAACUGCUUACAGCACUUUGGCAACGAUAGUUUCCAAUUGGAAAGUGGAGGAUACAGCAUGCACAAUGACCUUUUGCCAUCACUGGGAGCAACAAUAAACCAUACAAUCAAGCUCAGGAAGCACAUUGUUUCACCAUACGAUCCUCGUUACAGGUAUACUGACUCAUCGGUCUCCCUGUAUUCUCACAAUUAUAUUUUGAACAAACAGCAUGUUUAUUUUCUUCUCACCAACCACUUUUCAGGCUAUGGGAGAAAUUCUUGAUAGUCCUGGUUCUCUACUCUGCCUGGAUCUGCCCAUUUGAAUUUGCAUUUCGGCGAUACUUGCCAAGCACAAUCUUUCUUGUGGAUAACAUCAUCAAUAGCUUUUUUGCAAUUGACAUAGUACUCACCUUCUUUGUUGCUUUUGUUGACCAUAAAUCAUAUCUUCUUGUUGAUGAACCAAAGAGAAUAGCAGUCAGGUUAGGAUUUGUGAAUCUUGUACAACACAAAAACUUAAAAGCUGCUUGGGCUUAACAGAAUCUGACUUCACAGGUAUCUGUCCACUUGGUUCAUCUUUGAUGCAUGUUCAACAUUUCCCUUUCAAACAAUCAGCUUCUUAUUCAAUGGACAUAGUAAAAGCCUCGGCUUCAAACUUCUCAGUGUGCUUAGACUGUGGCGUCUACAUCGUGUCAAUUCCCUGUUUGCUAGGUCUGUAUCUUCUAUCAUUUCAUAGUAUACAUUUUACCAGAACAGGACUGAUUUCCUAAUUUUCUUUCCACAGACUUGAGAAAGAUAUUCGGUUCAAUUAUUUCUGGACACGGUGCACAAAGCUUUUCUCUGUAAGCCCAGCAUUUUGUUCAUUGUUUUGCUUCAAGCAGCUGCACAAGUAUUCCUACCAUAACAUUUUUGUACUUCAGGUAACUCUUUUCGCAGUCCACUGCUCUGGAUGCUUCAACUAUAUGAUUGCUGAUAGAUAUCCCGACCCGGAAAGAACCUGGAUAGGUGCAGUGAUACCAAACUUUAUGGAACAUAACCUGUGGGUUAGAUAUGUAACAGCAAUAUACUGGUCAAUUACAACACUAACGACUACAGGUUAUGGUGACUUACAUGCUGAAAACACAAGAGAAAUGGUAUUUGGUAUUUGCUACAUGCUCUUUAAUCUGGGGUUGACGUCUUACCUCAUUGGAAAUAUGACGAACCUUGUUGUCCACGGGACCAGUCGCACGAAAAACUUUGUAUGUCCUAUCUCACAAGUUCUUUAAAGAUCUCUUAUUUUGCUGGCAGAUAAACCUCAUACCUGUUUAUUUUAUCAGAAUAAGCAGUGGAAAAAGGAAAAAAUCAUAGCAUGCACAUCAACACUUACACAAGAUUGUCAAAGGUCCAGAUUCAAUAUGAUGUUGGAUCAUCUGGUUGCAUGGCUUUCUCAGUUGUCUAAUUGUUGUGUACAACUUCAGAGUUCAGUCUUGCAUUUUUUAUUCAAAUUUAAAAAUAUUUCUUCUUCUUAAAUUUCAUUUCAUUAAUAGAAUUAUCAAAAGCAUGAUCAGAGGAUCAAAAGAAUAUUUUAUUUCAUUGCUCCUAAUAAAGGAUCAAGAGAAUUAUUGAAACAGUUGAACAACAGUAUACCCCACUAAUUGAUUAGAGAAUUUUGUCAUUUUACAUUCUGUUAAUGAGUGUUUAUUUUGAUAUUCAGCGGGACACCAUUCAGGCUGCUUCUGAAUUUGCGUCAAGAAAUAAGCUACCAAAACAUAUGGAGGAACAGAUGUUGUCUCACAUAUGCUUAAGAUUCAAGACAGAGGGACUCAAACAGCAAGAGACUCUUGAUGGCCUCCCAAAGGCCAUCCGCUCAAGCAUAGCCGAGUACCUAUUCUUUCCUAUUGUCCAAAAAGUAUACCUUUUCCAAGGGUUUUCCUUUAAUCUCAUUUUCCAGCUGGUGAGGUUUAAAAUAUAAAUGAUCAAUUACAACACUAAGCAGGUCAAAUGCAUGCAGCAUGCUGAUAAGACCAUUGUGCAAUUAAUAGGUGACAGAAAUGCAAGCUGAGUAUUACCCACCAAAGGAAGAUGUAAUACUGCAGAAUGAAGCCCCAGCAUAUCUAUAUAUAAUAGUAUCAGGAGCAGUGGUGAGUAACUUCUCUUUUUUGCCUGUAUUCUUGAUUCACCCGCAUAGUUGUUUCCAGCAAUUUCACAUUCAUAACUAUUUUCAUUAGUAUUUUUGUUGCAGGACAUGCGAGCAUCUGCAGAUGGGGUUGAAAAGGUAAAGGCUUUUAAUAUGUGCAUCAAUAGCACACUAGCACGUUAACCAUUGAUAAUUAUUGUAAUAUCAAAAUCUUCAGGUUCAUGGAAGGUUGACUGCAGGGGAAAUAUUUGGGGAGAUAGGAGUUCUAUGUAACAUGUCACAGCCAUUCACCAUAAGAACCACUGAGCUCACACAAAUUCUCAGACUGAACAGGACAACACUCUUCAACAUUAUUCGACAAAGUAGACAGGAUGCGACUAUUGUCAUGAAUAAUCUUUCCCAGGUAUAUAAUUAAGAUUCGACCAGUGCGCUUUUUAUAGAGAAAAUAAUUUAUCAUUUUUGGCAAAAUAGGAGCUUAAAUUUCUCUCCAUUUAAUCUAACAGAAUUUAAGGCUACAUGAAAGUCUAUACCCCGGAAUACAGCAAAAUGAACCUGGUGAACUUCUUAAAAGAUGGCUCGAGAGAGAUCCAUGGAAGAGGAAUGAGAACCAUGCACCAGAUGGAAAUAAUUAUCAAGUCUGCAAGCUACACACACAGGAACUUAUGGAUAAAUGUAAAAGUCCAGGCAACGCAGAAAAAAACAAGGACAAUGGCACACCCAAUGAAUUUCCAAUCGGUCAGGUCAAUGCAAAAUUAGACCAUGCAGAUCGGCACAGUGUUUUUCAUACGGUUGCACAGGAUGGAUACAAUAUAACUGCCAAUAUUUUGCUCAAACAAGAAGCAACUAUAGAAGAGGACAAAGAUAACAGGUGGACCCAAAAAGGAUUGGUUGAGAAACAUGAAAAUACAGGUAAAUUUGAGUUUUCAUCAAGUAAUGGAAGUACAAGGAGACACACUGGAGAGCAUGAAAUAGAAUUUGUUGAAAUGAAAGCAUCUGGCUAUGAAAAUGACUUUGAGAACCAUGGCAGCAGAGAAUGGAAACCCAGGUUUGGGUAUCCAAAUAUUAAUGAAUUGACGAUAGCUUCUUGUUCACAAAGUGGAAGCCACAACUUCGAGAACAAUAUCAUGAGACUAACAGGCAAAAGAGUGACCAUCCACAUGCAUUCUCAAAAGGGAAAUCCAGCAAGACAGCUAACUGCAAAGAUGAUAAACUUACCAGGAACCAUGGAGGAACUCCUCAGAAUUGGCAGUAAGUAUUAUUUGGACUGAUUUACAUGAAAGGUAUAACCAUAAAAGCUGCAAAUGCUAAUAUAGAUAGUAUCCAAAAUCAGUGUCAAGCUUAAACUGAAACACACAAAUAACAAAGCAUAAGAGUACCAGUUUCAGGAAGAAACAUAAACUGUGAACCAGAAAGAAUUCAUGUGUCAUAUAUUCCAUUGUUGUGCAGGUGAGAAGUUUGUGGGACAUCAUCCUACAAAAGUGAUCAACCAAGAGAAUGCAGAAAUUGAUGACAUUACCAUAGUCCGUGAUGGGGACCAUUUGUAUCUCCUAGAGAUUUAAGAAAACUAGCAAGACUGUCAAAGAGGACAUGGUCUAACUAGGAUUCAAAGGUCAAGGAAUACUUCCAAUACACUUGAGUGUGUAGGUUUGAGCAAUGUUUCUGAAAAAUCAAAAUUAUGUAAUGGUUUCUGACUAAAUUAACUUUAGUUCUUUACUUCUACUAAUUUAAUGAAUAGUUGCUAAGUACAUGAGAGCUUGGUUCAAAAAUAUUCCUUGUGCCCAUAAACCAAUAUAAAUCACAAAAAAACAUUUAAUAAAAUUUUAAAAAUAAUCUGAAUUAGACAAAUCACUUUUGGUUUCUUAUCGAAAAAGAUAAUUUACUAAAAUUGGCAUUGCAGAGAAAAUGGCACAAAAAAAUUCACUUUUCCUUGAAGACAUUCGAGAAGGUUGAUCGACCAACUUUGCAUUGUAGGACAACUGGACUGGAGCUCAAUCGAAUUACCAGGGCACACCAGGAUACUCUGAACAUCAAAUUUACUAGAAAAGCUGAUAAAAGAAGUGCUUCAGUACCAUCAACAAAGUUAACGAGAAUACACAUAACAAUGCAAAAAUUAUUCACCAAGGAGAAAUUAUUCACCAUUUUUUAUUGAGAUGUUAUAUUGUCGCAAAUGCCACGUGAUCCCCACCAACAUCAUCAUGCAUGCAUCUGUUUGUUCACAUAAAACAUAUAGAUGAAGCCAACCACAGCACCACGCAUUCAAUAAACUUGAUCAUAAAACUUAUAGCUACACACAUCAAUGGUACUUAUACUGUCUUUAAAGAAAUAAUUAUGAUUUUGACUUGAGCAUGCAGGAAAAUUGAUGAUUGAUAAGUAGAAAUAUACGCAUACGGUCAUAUACAGAUAUAGAUGCAUCAUAAUUUGUUCAAAUACAAAUGCACAAUACAAACAUAACAAUAACAUAUAUAACUAGCCAAGGCAGCAAAAAAAUCUAAGUAAAAUAGUGAGACAACAAAAAAGACUGGCAUAAAACAUAAAUGAGUUAACAAAAGAGAUUAAAAAUGAUAUAGAAGAUCAUGAGGUAUCUACAAUUAAAACGAACAAAAGAAAAAGAGAGAGAGGAUGAGCCUAUUGCUCCUACCUAAAUCCGUUGCCUAAUACUGUUGUCUCAAGCACAUCAGACACAUAUUGGUCAUCCACCAAUUCAAGUAGUUUCUCGAUCGACUAUUUUCUUAGAAUACUAAUGUCCUACAGCAGCGAUCGAACGAUCAAUAACGAAACAGAGAACGUUCAACGACACUAGUUCCACGGCAUCCGCGAUAGCCAACCCUAACUCCAGACUUGCAGAGAUCACCACAUUUCGAGGGAUUAUUACGGUAAAGAAAUAUAUCAAGAGGAGCUAGAAGACCAACUCAUGAGGAGCUAAAAGACCUGGCUUAAAGAAAUAAAGGAGGAAGGAAGACCAGGAAGCCACCACCUCGAGUCUUGGACGUCGGCGAUCACCGCGAGCGUCGGACCAACUUCCGAUGCGCUCGAAUCCCGUUUAUUCCUCCAAUGGGCUUAUCUUAUUGGGUAACGACGCCAUUGACUACCGGAUGUUCCCCCCAUUUAAUGGGCCUUAUGUGCCCAUUAACAUCUAAGGUUAAUCGAAUGGUUUCUACAAGUACCAAAAUAGCAUAUUUGUCCCAACAUAUUUUAAUAUAGCAUGCAUAUAGGUCCAUAAUAUUAAUUAUCCUAAUAUUUUAGUUUGAUACUGAAAAUAUAUUUUAUUUUCUUACCAUUAUAAUAACGAUGAGUAUUUUAAAAGUACUUAUCCAGCCAGUCUAAUAACGUGUAACAAUCAGCCUCAUACAUUUGACUUAUAUCUUAGAUGUUGUCAAGUCACAAAAGGUUGGUGUCGAAAAUGACUCGAUUCAGCAAUGGACAUGAAUAACUAUAUUAUCGGAUAUGUCCGAUGAAGAUACUCCGAUAUCUAAAUUAAUGUCCGGAUGUGGAGAAAUAAUUGAAUGGAGAAUUAAAUCAUGGGAGCAGUUUAACGAGGGAUCGCCCAAAUCAUCAAGCUAUGGCACGUCGUGUCAGUUACGUGAGUCAAGCUGGCGAGGGGGUCCGGUCCGAAUACGUGUCGUUGUUAGUCUUGCCAAAACUUAAAUUUAAAAUGAUAAAUUAAAAUACAUUUCAGAAAUAAGAAACGGCACCAUAUUAUUACUUACUGGUACAACGGCUAUAACAAAUGUCGUUUUGCUAGUUCUUUGUCAUUGCACGCCACGUUCGCAGAACCUUUUAACGGCUACUCCACUCAACACGGCAGGCAGCGGGACCCACCCACGUGCCUUUGCCUGCGAUCCGACGCUUUCGAAUCUUUCCCUUUCCCAACGGCUCUCUCUUCUUCCUUCCCCCCCCUUCUCCGCCUUCACCACCUCCCUCUCUCUCUACGUUGUAUAUAUACACGCACACACAUCCUCUACCUUUUCACAUUCACCGCAGCUAAAACCAGCUUCUCGAGUUCGUUUCCCUUUGAGCCACUCCCUCACCGCUUGCUACCUGUGAGAAAUGGAAGCCUCCAUGAGACUUUCUUUGAAGGUACCGCUGCUGCUGCUGCUGCUGCUCCUACUCGCAUCUGUUGCAGUCCACGCGCAGGAGGCUCCGGCGCCUGCGCCGACCAUGGAGAGCGGAUCGGUCCCGGCAGGCCCCGGUCUCUGCGUGCUUGCUCUCUCUGCCGUGGCUUCUCUUGUCGCUGCCUUCGCGCACUGAGGGUCACUUUCUCGUGGCCCAGCAUACCAUAAUCCUAAUAUGAUUACAAUGAUGUGAGCUGGUUAUAUGAUAUAUUACGUCUCUGUUGCAUUGGGUGUUCGUAUUGCCUUCUUGUUUAAGAACGAAUUGAUCCGUGGAUGCUAUUUGUCGGGCUGUAAAUGGGUGCUAUAUAUUUUAUAUCUUUUUGCAUCUAAUUGGAGAAUCACAGAUCUCAGUAGCUUUAAUCCGAGUGUUUUUGAGGUAUUAUAUCGUAUAUGGGAAAAACAUAAUCACAUUUAGUGCCAGCAUUGUCUUGAUCGUAGUGAAGAGGAGCAGCUAAAUGAUGACCGAACUCUUCUUUGACCAUUCUUAGACAAACACCAACUUUUUUGUCAUUUUGACCGGUGGUCAAAAUCAUUAAUUAGAAGAUGACAAUGUGAAGGCACAAGCGCAAAACGUGUUCCUCCUAAUUUGCACUGGAUUUGGCAGAGGUAGCUUUAGUGGGCUAAAUUUUGAGUUGCGCAUGCCAUUUUCCUGCGACUGUUCUCUCUCUCACACACACAAAAUCCAGAACAUCAUGGGGACAUGCCAUUUGCUGGUAUCUGCUCUCCGCAGCACUGAUAUGUGGACAUGAUGAUGACGAGACUUGCAAGCAUCGGUUGGCAGCUGAGUAAAGGCUAAAACCAAGUGUAUUGACCAAGGUAAGAAGUAGCACACCUCCAACCAUGUGAGAGCAGCAGGCUUGGUGGUGAUGGUGAUGUCCUUCCUUCCAUGUACACUAAUAAUUUAUCCUCAUCAUACAGGCCAUACCUUCUUUGACUUUUGCCCCUCCUGAUAAGAACCAAAUCAUGUCGUAGAUCCCAAUGCUUCUCGGGCAUCUUUCCUCCAACUACAUGUUCAUAUUACAUGGUAAGAUGAGAACAAAGAACAGAGUUUUUUAUAGUCUAUACUUGCUGAUCAUUAGAUGCAAGCGAAUACGAGUUUCGGAUCAUCUGAACCUUCUCCUAAUCUGUGAAGCUGUUCUUGGACAGUCUCAAGAAAAAUUCAACAAAGUUCUGAGCAUAACAAUCGAACACUAAUCAAAAUUUAGACCACGAUCUCAGCCUGUACAGAACGACACUGGAAAGCAGAAGUUGAGAGAGUAAGACUUGCAUGCCACUAAUUAGCUGCACACAGAUCCUUCCCCUAUGUGCACCGCACACCGUAACUCAAGAACUGCAGCCGCGGAAGUCAACGGAGGCCGCGGUCAACCCUCGCCGGCGCCUCCCGUCUCAAGAGCCGCCGCCCUGCCGUCGCCCGGUCCAGGUGCUCCGCCGGUUAGUGGGGCAUCCCCUACGGCGGCCGGCUCCGACGGGGACGUUCCGGAGGGCGCCCCCGGCGGUCCAGUAGCGAUGGCAGGCCUUGCAGAAGUGCCGCGGCUGGUUGACGUUGUAGUUGUUGAAGUAGCAAAACUUGGUCUUCUUGCUCUUGCACCUGGGGCAUGGCAGCGCCUCCUCCGGCUCCACCGCCUCCACCACCCCGGCCGUCUCCGUCGCCGGCUGCGCCGCCUCCUCCUCCUUGCCUAGUCCGUCCCCCUUUAGGAUCACCGUCCCGAAAAGUUUGAAGCUUGGUGCUUCCUCGUCUUCUGCCAUGCUGAGAUCGGAGAGAGACAGAUGAUGAGGACUCCCGAUAGGUUGAGAGGGAUAGGAGGCGCAAAGCGAGAGAGAGAGGUAUAUAUAAGGGAGGUGGCAACAGAGGCUUCAUUCUUUAGUGCUCUUUAUCGUCAUCUCAUCCCAAUGGAUAGAAAGGCCACCCAAAGAGAGCAAGAAGAGAAAGAAAAAGAAGGCUUGUCUGACAACAAGAAAAAAAAGGUCUUCCAUUUUGGAUGUUAUCCAUCUCCCGGAAGAAACUUUUUUCUCAUUACUUGGGUGUGAAUUGUGGACUCUGCCACUCGGGAAAAGAAUUCCCCAACAAUGACAACAUGGAAACUUUGGAAUGGAGCUUUGUUUGUCAUCCAUUCAUGCGGUGAUGAGGUCUUCAGUUCAUGAAUCAUCGCCAUGUGCCUACAGCAUGUUACUGCGUAAGUCAACAAAGAAUAUGAUGGCAAAGCGAAACAUUCCAAAUUUUGUUUUCAGCUAUGGAAGUUGUUUUGGCACUGAUGAAGUAAUCACAAAAGUAAUUCAAGAUGCUCAAUGAAAGUGGAGAUAAGAAUUGUGGUGCAUAUAUUUCGUUUAUUGUUUUUUAUGUUGGGUUGAUUGCAGGACCACUUUGCAAUAAAUAGAGUAGGUGAUUUUGCCUACCCUUCCUCUAAGAACAACAUCAAAGUCCAAAUAAAUUGUGCCUAAUCUUCUCCGAUCGCACUCAGAAUAUAAAGCUUAUGGACUUGAGAUUUUUAAGGGAGUAAUGGAGGACAUGUGGGAAUAAAUGGCUUUGCUCGUACUACUGAGCAAGAAAGAUGGAGAAAUUUGUGGUUAGCACCAGAACUUAGAUUCUUUGGCUCCAAGAUUGACUUUUCUUCGGCAGAUGGGUCCAAAACUCAAUUUUUAAUGUAAUUUUACAUUAAAUUUUGUUUUUUGACUGCAUAUAAUGCACCGGAUAUUUUAUCAGAGAUAAUCUAAAUCUCAUUUGAUUGGAUUCUUUGCUCGCUGGAAUUUGCUCUGCUCACAAGCAUGAUCACAUGAUGUUGGAUUGAACGCCAGAAUAAGGUGAGUCUGAUUCGUUCUGGAAUUAGUUCGGAUGAGGGAAACGGAUCCGUGGAAGGAAUAAAGCUGAGCUCCUCUUUCUUCGAUCUUUUCCUUGCUUUUGACUCGAUCUUUUUUAUCUUGACGAUACUGCGCGCAAUGCUGGCGAUGAUGGAGGGGCUGUAGAAGAUACUGAUAGCUGCGCAUCACAAUAUAUCUAGAAUUAAACGUAAUUAAAUUGGUCUCUUUCAAUCGGUAGGACAACACUUGUUCUGUACCUGAGAAUGAUUGACUUGUUCAUUUCUGGCAUCCCUGUCUGCUUAGAUCAAGUCCUAGCUUUCUACAACCACCAUGAACAUCUCUUGGCUUCUUCCCAGCUCCCUUUCUCGGUUGAUGUCAGUGUCCGAGUAGAUGGGAAUUCUUGAAUGCACUCAGUGAAGAACUUGAAAAGGUUGUCUUACUGCUUCAGUCAGUGUGCACUUUUCUGCAAAAGAAAAUGACAAAAACCAUCUCAAAAUUGCAUCUUACUUUUCUUCUCCGUGAAGAGUAUGUGCUUUCUUCUCUUACAGUAGGAAAAAGUUGGGAAGUAGUUAAUAGGGUGGAAAGGAAGAUUGCCGGCCUCUUUUGUCUUUGAAUCAUUAGUCUAUGCCCUGAUAUUAUAUAUAUAUAUAUGAAGGAUAAACAAGCAUAUGUUCUUUUGUCUUUUCUAGGGUUCAUCCACCCUCAUCAGACUUUUAACAUGAUGAUACAAGACUGAUCCUUUCUUCGUUGGAUGGGAUUUGUGGUUGACUGACUCCAAGCACUUUUUUACACCUGAAGAAUCUAUAUGGUGAUCUCUUUGGUGUUUCUUUUGUGGGAAGGAAAGCAACAUGUGUAGCAAGCAUUGGACAGAUGGUUGAUGGUUGAAGAAUGUAUACAUCUCAUUCAGAUCAUAUGGAGGUCAGCAGCUCAUGUGGAUCAAUUAUCAUUAUAAGAUGAAAUCAUUAAUGACUUGAUUAAUUUUGACAUUAAUGUUGCUGAUGUCUCAUGACGCUUAAGCUGCAGAUUACAAAACAAUCAUUCAUUCCAAAUCCUUUUAUCAUCUUUAGUUUGGAGAACAGUCGCCAACAAAAAUGGCAUCCGCCAAUUCCAUGGCAACCUUCUCAACAAGUGCAGUCACGAUGUGCUCUUCCACCUUACUGACAACGUUAUAUGCUUCUUCCAUGCAAAAGCCAUUCCUCCAACCCACGUCCCACAUGGCGUUCGUCAACAUGUCUUUGCAUCUGAGAUCUCUUUCCAGCCUCACGUAGAGACUGUCUCUGUAAGGAACAUCAUCGUCAGCCUCACUGUACUUGGCAAGUCUCCCAAUUCCCUUGCUGAUUUCCCCCACUAUCUGAUCAAGUGAAGCGUGCUCUGUUCUGCUCCACCGGUGAGUCAGCGACAUAGGAUGAUGGCCAGAGAGCUCCGCGUGCUGCCUUUUGCGCUCUAUCAACUCUUCUGCACAACCCAAAUAGAGCUUAGCAUCUUUGUCAACCUCGUCCCAGUCCAGCUUUCCGUGAUUCGUAGGUGUAUGAGCGUCAAGGGUCAGCUCGUCGGCAUGCAGCAGGAAUGACUGGCAGCUGAGCAGUAAAGCUUCGAGGUGUUCUACUUUAUCUGCUCUUGUAGUGGUGCUGAUGAGUUCAUUGCCGACAUGCUUAGCGGCCGCUGCUUCUGCUUUGCCAGAAACCAUUCCACCUUUGCUGGUCUUUGGCAUGACUUCGCGAAUGACUUUCUGGUCUUUCCCAGUCUUCUCUGCAAGCGAGAAUAAGAGAAUAGCCUAUUUAGAACUCAUAUGCUUCCGUGACCACACGUCAGUUCUUAAUUGAUUGAAAGGAUGAAAGAAUGCUUACCAUUGUUGGAAGAUUUUGGGCUCAGCUUUCGCUGUUUCGAAGGUUCGGCAGCAGGCGAGAUGUUGAUUGCAGAUGCGUCAUCAUCUGUCUUGCAGGAAGGACUCAUUUCCUGGCCAUCUCUCUGCUUUGGAGUCUACAAGAAAGUAUGGUAGGAUUGUACAAAUAGAUGUUUGUUAAACUUUGUGUUCAUAGUUCUCAUCUAAAUAAGCAUCACAAUAAUUGAGUAAAAUUCCUGAGAUUAGUUUGGCCAUCUUCUGUAUCGAACGCUUUCUUUUGAGUAAUCUCUACAUGGCUGACCAAUUCAUGGGCUCAAAAAAAUUUGAAUGGCAUGAAAGGGAAUACCUUGACCUUGGUCAUCUUUCGAGCUGGUUUUGCUGCAGCUGUUCUCUUUUCUGCUGCGGCAUUGGUGGAAUUCCCUGAUACCAUUUCCCUCUGGGGUUUCAUCAUACUCUUCUGCUGUGUCGCCCCUGCUUUCAUGGCAAUGCUCUUUGCAGAAGCUGGUCUUCUGUUGGGCUCGGUAGAUGCUGUUGUAGCUUUCUUGGCCUGAGAUAACGGAGCUGCAGCAGCUUUGAGGCCUUUUCUGCUUUGAGGAGUCGUUCGAUCUAACAAUGACCUCUGUCCCUGAUAGCUUCUCUUGUGAAGAUUCGCUUCCUUCUUCUGCUGUCCAUGGCAUACAGAAGCUGGCAAUUUACUCGUCUUGGACGACUCUACUUUGCUCUUCUUCGAGCUCACUGCUUCUUUUCUCACCGAUUCAUGUGCUAGCUCCCGUCUUCUGUUGGCAAUGACCUCGUCAUGCUCCACCUUGGUGGCUUCGAUCGACUCCUGGCUUGAAGGCGGACGAGAAGGAAGGAGCUCAUGCUGCUCCCCUCUCUCGGGAAACUGCAUUGCCUUAACAGUCGAUGGGUCUUCUUCAUCCAUAUGGAAUCUUUUACUGUAGCGUUCAUCUGCCGAAGUAUCGUUUGAAUCCGACUGAUUUCGGCAACCUAUUUCUUGGCCUCUCUUCACGAGCCGCUCGAUCUUUUCUCGUUCGAUGAUGCUCCGUAGAGUCACUCUCUCCGGUUUCGGACUCUGCUUAGACAACAGCAACCUUCCUGCCUCAGGCUUCCCAACAUGAAACAUUGAUCUUGGUGCAUUUAGAUUCUCCCUGAUCUGUUCCUUUCGUAUGGUUUCGGCAGCUUCUGCAGGGACUUCUUCCAAGCCCAUCAGCCUUGCAAUCAGGCUCGGAGCUUUCAUCUUCACUGGCUGCUCCGAGGCAGCGGUAGAAUUCUUUCUUCCCCCCUCUGUCUCAUGAUAGGAUGAACCGAGUGCACUUCUGAAAUACACUCCCAAUGACCGGCUGGAAGACGUCUUCUCGUCGUCGGAAGAUAUUUGCAGUAGAUUCUGACCAUGGAGACCCUCUCCGAUCACCUUCUUCAUCCCCUCACCGCAACUCCUCCAUGAAAGACUACUGCAGAGCUUCUCUUCCUGCAGCCUACAGCUGUAACUGUUCACUGCGUACCUAUGUGGCUUCUCUAGCUCAUGACCGAUGUGUGCUCCCUCCAUGAAUUCUCUUUGGCGAGGAAUCGUCUUCCUCGAUUGAAGCUUCAGUGAUUCCUGAGCGUCCAAAGCAUCCUUCAGAUGACCGUUGCUGACACAUUUCGAUCCUCCAUCAAGAUUUGCCACCCCGAACCAUGUGUUGAUCAUGUGACUCAGCUUGCGAGCUGGUUUGGAUACCUCCAACAGCUGCACGUCACUGUUCUCCCUGGAGGGGAGGCCAUUGCCUCCUCUUCUUCUUACCAUCAAAAGGAGUGCAAUCCAGGCCUCGACAACCUCUCCAGGGAAUCCACCACCCGCAGAAGUCAAUUGUUUGUUUCUGCCGACAAGAACAGGAUCAUUAAAACCCAUAAGCUACUAACCUUAAAUUGUCUGAGAACAAAAUUCCAGUUGUCAAGGAAGAAAACAAAUAUUCCAGUAGAAGUGAAAAGCUCUCUGGUUUUGGAACUCCACUAAUUCUUGAUCUGUACAUAUCAUGACAAAAUGACCGGCUAUAAUCUAUAUAUGCGGGCUAACACUGGCUUCAAAGCGAGAAGUGGAGAGAACAGAGCUACCUGAAACAGGAGCCAUAUGAGCUGAGGGUGGAAGCCAAGAAGAAAAAGAAAGGUGGCUGAAACCAUCAGGAGUCCCCCAUGCUGCUGUGUCUCCACUCCCGGUUUGGCUCCUUGAGAUCACAAACGUGUCACGUUAACUCCCUCUCUGUCUCAGCGAAACAGCAGAUUUAGGUUUUUUGCUACCUGCUGGUCUUCUCACAGACUGAGAUCAUUGAAUUCCAGUAAUGUUGGUGGGUCAAAGUUGGCGUAAUGAGUGAGAAAGGAGAACACAGAGAUCUGAAGACUUUUGCUGUUUGCUAGCAGUGUUUGCCUUUUCCUUCCCUUCCAUUUUAAUAUGAGAGAGCUCAUGUAGUUAAUUCCCUGUCAUGAGCAUAUCGAUCACUGUGGGGCUAAUCUGAAUCAUGGAUUCUUGUUGAGAUGUCUUCUUCUUUUUCAAGGAAGAAGGGAGGAUUUGGACCACCCAAAGUUUAUUAGUGAAUGUUCGCUUAAAACAUGUAAUUAAUGCAAGAGUUCUUCCCAGAGCUUCAUUAAAACAGGAAAGGUUCUGCCACAAGAAACUCUUGCGGCGAUGUGAAGCAAUGGUUUCCAUGCACUUAGAGGAAUAUGGUAACGACAUGGAAAUGCUACAUGAUGGAAUGAAAUAGGAACUGGAUAUCUCAGGUCUGAUCUCAAACAUAAGUUGCCAUCAUUACAAGCCUCCUUUGUCUUUUGUUCCUACUCAUUGUUGUUUGAUGGAGCAGUAGGAGAUGGAUAAUUCUUAGUGUUUUCGUUUUACCUGCACCUCUUUUCUUUUACUUUCUCUUUUGGUGUGGUCCAUGACAUGUUGGAAAGCUGGUCGAGCAGCACAUCAAUGCAUCUGAGAAAAGAUACGUAGCUGCAUUGGCAGUGGUGACAGUUUGCCGGGGUAGUCCCAUCUCCUUUGCUCUGUCUUCUUCCAUUUGCCAUCUGAGUUACUAGGCUGUCAAUCUUCAAGCUCUGUAGGCCCACAAGUAGCAUGCAGUGCAAGGAAAGCAGAGCUCGUUUGCUUGAGCUAGCAAUCAUGAGCUUUCCUGAUGAACUAUCAAUACCACCAUGAGAAUUCAUCAGCCUCCCUACACCAAUCAAAGGAAGAUGACACUCUAAAGCUCGGGAUUCACGGAUUAAAACUUCAUAACUCUCACACCACGACAAUUAAUUAACGGAAUUUAUUUUGAUAUCGAUAGAUUAACUUAGAUCGUUGUUUUCUGACUUGAUCUAUCUGUAUUCGAUGAGACGAGAGACUAGUGAUAUAAUAAUGAUGAUCCAUCGCUAAUUAAGCAUGACAACAAUAUCCAACUAUUCUCGGUAACCAUCGAUAAUUAUGAAAAAAAGAGUUUUCUCCCCGAAUACGUUCUUCACACAUAUAUAUUAUUAUUUCAAUCCCCAACUAACUUAAACAUCAUACGAGCAUUAUUCGAGAAACGUUUCCAACGUAGUUUUACAAGUUCAUUACCUUUUGAUUGACAGUAAUUUAUUUAAGACCAAUCAAUAAAAAUACUCUUAAAUUAAGAUAAUUUAACAAUGUCAGGUAAAAGAAUGGUUGAAAACAUCGUCUUCUCGAUGAGCUUAGAAAGGGUAUCUUUGUCAUGGGAAGAGAAAUAUCGACGUGAAAGGGGGAAACUGCCCUACCAACCAUAUUUGCAGGGCUCGCUGUUGUCAGCCUCAGAAUGUUGAGACCACAAUACUGACCAUCCACUUCAUAACCUCCUUUCUAUUUUAUUCUCGUCCCUCAACCUUCCCUUCUCUUCCUCGACAUGCACCCCACGUCCACUCCUUCUGGGUGCAUGGUGGAGGUCGCCUUCUUCCCUAUCUCUUGCACUGCUUCCCAGAGACAAGGCCUCAACCUGUGUCUCCCCCUCCCUCUGUUCGUCUCCUCGUGAGAGAAGGGCUUUUCUUUGUGCAACCUUAGCCGCUACACCAACAAGUUUCAGCCUGCGUUGCCUUCCAUAUGUUGGCUUAGAGAGAGGGAGAGGGAAGGGGCAGAGAUAUAUGCAUCUUCCUCUGUUGCUCAAUCUAAAUCCAUGCGCAUGCACAAUCCGAGAGAAGACACGGUUGCUUCUCGAGUGUAUCGAUCACCUUCGGUGGCAGACGUGUGAAGGUCGGGUUUCUCACGAGAGGACAUAGCCUUGACAGAUUGAAAGUGCAUGUUAAGUCGACGCUGGAGACCUCGAGGCGCUGAGUGCAGAGCUUUUCUUCGGAUAAUGAGGAAGGGAACAGAUCUUUUAAGGAGGAGAUCAAGGUGUUCUUCAGAAGCCAGGGCUUAAGAACCGCUGACAACUCUGUAGAGGGCCAGUAGAUUGGUGUUGCGUUUGAUCGGUCGCCCGAGGAAGGAACCCCUCCCAAAAAUCAAGGAAGGAUGAGAAAGGAUUGUGCAGGAAACGGUCCUCCAUCAGGUAAGGCAGAUGAAGGAUUGGGUGUUCAAAUUUAGGCUGAGAAGACAAGAUCUAAUUCGUGAACUAAUCUACAUAAUAUCCUUAAUGCAAUCCAAUGUUUGUUUUGCUUUUCUUAUUUUAUGGUGAAGAUACAUAGCCUUUUGAGUUUUCCUCAUGGACUUUUGUCAGACAUGGAGCUAAUGAAGGAGAAGUUUGCGAAGCUUCUUCUCGGUGAGGACAUGUCAGGUGGAGGAACAGGAGUUUCCUCAGCUCUUGCUCUCUCUAAUGCCAUCACCAAUCUUGCAGGUUUUGUCUAAUACGCAGUAAUACAUAUUAUUACAGCUAUUCAGCUAUUCUGAUCAUUCUCUCUCUCUCCCUCCCUCUCUUGCUCCUGCUUGAUUCAGCUUCUGUCUUCGGAGAGCAGCGGCGCUUGGAACCCAUGCCAGAGGAAAGGAAGGCAAGGUGGAGAAAAGAAGUCGAUUGGCUCUUAUCCGUCUCUGACCAUAUCGUGGAAUUUGUUCCCUCACAGCAGGUUUCAGGAGAUGGAAAGAGCAUGGAGGUAACUAUCGACGUCCGGAAGCCCUCCUUGACCUUAAAUCCAAAGAUCAAACACUUACAUCAUCAUGCUCUUCACAGAUAAUGAUAACUCAGCAACGCAAAGAUCUUCGCAUGAACAUUCCUGCCUUGAGGAAGCUCGACGCAAUGCUCAUCGUAAGCAAGAAAGAUGAUCCCCGCACGAACAUUCCGCUUCACUCUGUUCUGAUACCGAUCUCGACACUUGUGCAGGAGUACCUCGACAACUUCAAGCAGAAGAACGAGUUCUGGUAUGUGUCCAGGGAUGCGGAUGAGUCUGAGAAGGGGAACGUGCAGAGGACCGAUGACAAGUGGUGGCUCCCUACCGUGAGAGUCCCCCCCGGUGGGUUAUCAGAGGCCUCAAGAAAAUGGAUUCAGCAUCAGAAGGAGCUGGUGAACCAAGUGCUCAAAGCAGCUAUGGCUAUCAAUGCCAAUGUUCUAAUGGAAAUGGAGAUUCCUGAAGACUACAUCGAAUCCCUCCCAAAGGUGUUCGUUCACUCGAGCAAUGCUUUUUUUGCUCCAACUCACCAUAAUCAUCGCCUCAGUCUCUGCCAUGGAUGGAUGCUGAUCAUUUCUCAUGGCACAGAACGGAAGGUCAAGCCUCGGAGAAACCCUCUACAAGAACAUCACCGACGAGGAUUUCGAUGCCGAAACAUUCCUUGCAUCCGUAGACCUGUCCACGGAGCACAAGAUCCUGGACCUCAAGAACCGGAUCGAAGCAUCGGUCGUCAUUUGGAAGAGGAAGAUGAACAACAAGGACGCCAAGUCGACGUGGGGUUCGGCUAUAAGCUCGGCUAUUAGCAUGGAGAAACGCGAACAGUUCGAAGACAGAGCAGAGACGAUCUUACUCAUCCUCAAGCACAGAUUCCCCGGCAUCCCCCAAUCAGCACUGGACAUAAGCAAGAUUCAGGACAACAAGGUACGUAGAACUCCAAGAAUUGGCACUCGCACCGUCCGACUUCUUCUGCUGCUGUAAACAUGCGACUCCCCUUGUGCAGGACGUGGGAUACUCGAUCCUGGAGAGCUACUCCAGGAUUCUGGAAAGUCUAGCUUUCACCGUGAUGUCGCGGAUAGAAGAUGUUCUCCAUGCAGACUCCGUUACUCGAGAUCAAAGUCUUGAGGGCUCCAAGACGAGGCCUUCGGUGGCAGAUUCGGAGCCAACUGCAGGAAUAGCGACGCCGCUUGAUCCAGCAGAGGAGAUCGAUAAGCUUAAUAACAUGGAAGCCAACAAUUCCAUGACGCUGUCGGAUUUCAUGGGCUGGCAAUUCGACAUGGACACCCAGACAAAGAAGGAAGACGAAGAUGCAAAGCUGGUGAAACAGCCUCCAAGCAUUGUGGUGGCCAACAACAAGCUUUCCAACUUAGAGAAGUUAGAGACAUGGGAGGCUUGAGCUUUCAAGAAGCCCACAGAAAAGACGAGAGAGAGAGAGAGAGAAGAGAUGCAUUUUACAGAGAUUUUGUACCAUAAGUUUCUUGCUUUAUGAAGAUCGAAGAGCAUUCAUUAUAUGGAUUUUUUUUUCCUUACUUUGACACAGAAAUUUUUUGAGAAAAUAAGGUUCAUUCCAUCAAAUUAAUUGUUAACGACUGUUCAUAGCUUCAGGAAUUCAAUUAAGAAAAAUAGUCUCGUAGAAUUUAUUUAUAUUAUGAUGAUCGAAGUGAAAUGAUGGAGUUGAGAUUCCAUUAAAUUCGAUCUGAUCGAGUUGCCCAAAGUGAGCCCAAAAGAAGCAUUCCAUGUCGAUCUUUGUUCACACACGACGAGCAUAAAGUUGGAACAGAGUACAAAGGAAAUAAUCGAGCUUCUUUGAUGUUUACACCGAUCGCUUAGAUCUUGCCGCGAGGCCCCGGAGUAGGAGGCAGCUGCGGGCCCUUCUUGAUGGGUAGUAUGUCGCCGGAGGCGGUGGAUCCCAGGUAGGCUAUCGAAAAGCCGCCACCCAGCAGCAAGAACUUGAGCAACAGACCCCGCUUGGUGAAAGGAGCAACGAACGUCUCGAAGAACUUGCUCUGCAAUUCCACAAACACAUGGUCGGCAUCAACCGUAGCCGAGGGGAGGAGUUAUGGGUUUGCCUACCUGGAGAGGGUUGUAGGGCGAAGGGGCGUCGGAGCCGUAGAGGUCCCACUGGCCCGUAGUGUUGCCGAUGUCUUCGAGGUCGAAGUACACGCUCUUCUCCCCGUACUUGGCGACCACGGCGGCGCCAGGCCUGCUACCAACAAGAUCGGAGUUCGAUCGCGUCCAUUGCGUUCGACGAGAAAGGUAAAGGAAUCGUACCUGAGGUUGGCGCGAGAGGCGAUGCGGCGGGAGGGCUUGAGUGCGAGCUUGUUGCCGUUAAAGGAGCUCCCUGCGAGGCCCUUCACGGCCACAGGUUGCACGGCCGCGACCGCGGUGAGGGAGGCCAUUGCUGCGUCCUUCGCGUGGUGCUGCUGCUAAGAUUCCGAGGACUGCGUUCUUUGCCUCACGUUGCUGCUGCGCGAAUCUUUAUCCGCUCUCCUAUAUCUACGAGGCUGUGGUGAUUCCCAAUUGCAGGUGGUGGCGCGGGUGAUGGGAGAAUCCAGUGAGGGAAUGCCACGUGAGUCGAGUUGAGAUUGGCUUAUCCAGAUAGAUGCAUAGGAAAAAGACACAGAAUUAUACACAAAUAUACAUAAAUACCUAUAUGUUACAACCUUAAUAUUGUUGACCAGGGAGUCGAUACGACCUAGCCCCAUCCCGAAGGUAUAAGCUCGUCCUGAAAGCUUACUUAAUGCUCUUGAAUACUAAUGGGGUGAGGCGAACUAAUUAGAACGAUCUUGAGGUGUCGCUUGUUCGCUCGAGGUGAAUUUUAUGUUUGGACCGAGGUGGUUGGAGCUUCCUCGGGAUUCUGGAGUCGAACCGAGGUGUGUCUUGGUUUUAUCGAGAUUCCUACACAUGAGAUUAGCAUUGUGAAAAUUCCCAACUCGACCCCUCCGAUGAUAGAAUCAGUAGUGGGAAUGAGAAUAGUAGGCUUUUUUUUUUCGUCCCCCUUUUGGGUUUCGGGUGUUUACUUUUAUACUUGGACGACCGAUUAUGGGAGACUGAUAGCUCCUUCAAGGGUUCAUUUAUGUUGAUGAUCGAUUGGUUCCUUCUCUUAUCAACAAAGGAUAGUCAAAGGGGCAUCGUUUGUUUGGGCUGACAUCUGUAUAGGAAAAGAGCAUGGAGAUUGCCCAUGUCAAACGAUCGGGAAAAGGGAGAUGAAUUUGGACAUCGGGGAUUAAUAUCCCUUGGAAAUGGAGAAGACGUAUUUUAAUGAAAGUGAGAAUUUUGAGUAAAACAGUAACGAGCCUCGAUUAAUAGUAAAAUAAUAAUUUUUAUAUAGAUUUAAGAAAAAAAUAUUUUAUAAUAUAAAUAAAAAUAUUCUCCUCUCCUUAUAUUCCGUUUUUGAUAGAUGUGCACGUGACUCAAUCUUUCAUUGAAACUCAUUUUUUCUUAAUGAUAAUGCUGCCACAUUGUUAUUUGAGCUUGAAGUAUAAUUAUCGAGCUAAUAGAUUUAUCAGUUUGGUUGAAUCAAAACUACAUGAAAUGUAACCCAAUGAUAACUAAUGAUGAUUUGUAAUCCUAUACAAUGAAUUUUGGGAUAGUGAUUCAUGCACGAUACAAUUUAUUUGGUGAGUGAGUGAAAUCGUAACAGAGCGUAACAAUAAUAGCCAAAGAAGAUAAGAGUGACAGGCUUGUGAAGGCAGCAGCAGACAAAACGUCUCACAAGCCAUGUGUAGUAGUUUUAAGGGAAGUUUAAGCUUCCAUCACUUCAAAAUUACUUUUCGCCAAUUCAAUUGGCUUUAGAAUCUCAAUUGUUACAUUUCCCUAAAUGUUCGGAUACAUUGAAAUUUGAGUGACUUUAUAGCCGAUACAUGGGAGUCAGACAUCAUCAAGUGGUGAUGAACCAUCCUCUACUUCAGUUGAAGCAUCAAAUACAUCAAAAAAAUAUGAAUGACUAAAGAAGACUUGGAGACCUGUAGCUAAUAGCACCUGCACUAAACCGUCAUCUUCAGGUCUAAAAAGCAACCUGCUUGCCAAACUCUGUCAUUUCAACUAUGAAUCAUCCAUCUACUAUGUUCAGAGGCAUGCUUUAUUACCAUGUAUGCAGCCCCCUCAGAUUCCUUAUGAUGUCACAGGCUUCGAUUAAAAAUGUGAGCAAUAUCCGGAAGCAAGAUUCCAAUAAGAAGGACCUGAUGAACAGAUAAAAAGCAAAGAGAUGAUCAACUAAGGAAAAGCAAAUGAUCAAUUGAUGUCAAUUCUAAUAGACUAAUUAUAAAUUGCAACAAAAAUGAAGAAAGAAAAAAGUUAAUAUAUGCUUCCAGCAGCAUAUCAGAAUAUUAUAGAAUGAGGCAGUGAUGGGUUCUGAGACUUGCUUACUUGUUCACGUAUCCGAUUUCUCAAUCUUAGGUUUGAUGUCGCCAUUUCCUAUGGCUGCUUGUCUGAUAGGAGUAUGCUUAUUAGGAUAAGCAGGGAUUGGUUUCAACAUCUGAGGCAUCUCCAUAGCAGUUGGCAUUGUAGUCCUAGCAGCGGCAUUUUGAGGUGAUUCCAUAUGAUAAGGUGUUUCAUACUUUGCAGACAUGGAUGAGUACUUCUCUUCUGCAACACGUCAGAGAAGAAAGCAUCGGAUCUGAACUAGCAAUGCAAAAACAAGAAAUUGUAUACUGCUUAGUCUAAAUAAUUAAAACAUCAUUAUUCAAUGGCACCUUUGGACAAUCGAGGGAAAAUGAUUUUCAUUAUAACUGAGACACUUUAUCACAUAAUGACUUUUGUGUCAAUUCAGGUUAGAGAAAGAGACUCUCAAAACUGCAUGAAGUUGCCAUUUUAGAAUUUCAACUUAAUAGCAAAAUGAGUCAUUCCUCACAACAAGAUUAUCCUGAUACUAAUACUUCCCAAACAUUCAAACAGGCUAACUGGGGAUAAUAAAAAGAUCACAUCUUUCUGAUAACAACAGAAAAAACACUUGGAUGACAGAAUCAGGUUCAGAAUCUGGGCAAGACAAACGGUCAAAACAAAGAUUUCACAUAAAACAAAUGUCCACCUUUCGUGGUCAAAAGACACUUCAAAUUUCAGAAGAAACAAACAUAGAUGAAAGAACAAAAUGAUCCAUGGUCAUUCUGAAAUGACAUAAUCAGCAGACUCAGUUAAAACUAUUUAUCUCUACUACCACGGCACAAGGAGAAAAUGUUUACCUUUCAUUCGUCCAUAGGUAACUAGCUUGUGGAGAUAGUCUCUGAACUCCAUUAAUACACACCUUUCUUGCUCCGCAUAGACCUCUGACAUGCUCUGGUCGUUGGAAGAUCUUGGAGCUGUACCAGUAGCUCGAGAUGUCAUAAAAAUUGUGUCUUGCUCAUCGCACAUCAGUGCCAGUGUACCAGGAGACAUCGACCGUUCACCCUUCUGUCCAUCCCCAGAAUCAGAUCCAGACUCUUCGGUGUUAGUUUUGUCUAUAGGAAUUCCACUUGAAUACUCAUCCACUAAUGCAUUCUGCAUGUCUGGAUCUUUUUGACUCUGAUCUCUGUCAUGAUUUGGUGGUCUGAGAGAGCUUUCAUCUUGACCUUCCUUCUCUUCUAACCUCUCCUGAACUCUUCUGUCUGAAACAUUUUACGUCAGAGAAUAAGGAUUUGACGGAAUCAAAGGUAAAUGACCCAUAAAGAACCCAAAUUCAGACUCAGCAGCAACAUAUAGCCAACAAAAUCAGCAUAUGUUAGGCAAAAGAAAAUUUUGAUCAAGUAGAAAUUGGUCAACACCAAUAUCGCUAAAACCAAAUCUUUCGACCGAAGUAUCUUAAAUUCUAGCAUUCAUGAAACUCCAAAAUAAUUAAUUAUAUACUAUAUUAAGUUCCGCACAAACACUGAUGAAACAUGCAUUUGUUGAAGUAUUUUAUUUCACAACCAAUGUUUUUAGUAAAAUUACGAUUCAAACCCCCAUUUAUCAGAAAAUCCUGCACCUUGUAUCUUCCAUGCUAAUUUACAAAAUAUAGAUUUUCUCUGACUUUGAUGUCCAGAAAGAGAGAAGUAGUCAACAUUCUAGAAGGCUACUCGAUGAGCACAUUCACCAGGCCCCAGCAUCGGACUUUGUUCAUUACCAUAUAAGAUAUGUUUCAAUGGAACAGUAGCAUUCUGACGGUUGCAUUACUUGCAAUUUAACAAGAACCAAACAAUGGUUACUAUAUAUUCAGAAUCCAAGUGUAUGAUCAGAAAGUAAAAAUAUCAAAUGAAUCAACAGAGCUCAAGAUAAUAAUAGGUCAGCAAAUAGAAAAUGCAUAGAAAGAAAGAAGCAUAACAACUGUUUUUAUAAAAUUUCCAGAAGAAAAUAAAUAAUCUAGUAAAGAAUUUAAGACAGAACGAAGAAAUAUAUUCAAAAACUCUUUUUCCUUUAUGAAAAAAAUACAUAAAGCAUUAGAAUGACUGGGUUAGUUUCGAAUAAUUAAAUAUGUGAACAAUGGAAGAACAAAAUUCUCCUCAUGACUGUCCACUUCAUUCUUUUGAUAUGUGUCACGUAUGGGUAACAUAACCGUUGCAAGCUGACAUAGGAUGGAGAUGUAAGCAUGUUUAACUUGUCCUAUACUGCAACGGUUUUCAAUAAUUAAAUAUGUAAACAAUGAAAGAAUCAUGACUGUCCACUUCUUUUUUUUUUAAUGUGUCAUGGAACAGUUUUUUGUGGUGACAUGGGUAACAUAACAGUUGCAAGCCGACAUAGGAUGGAGGUGUUUGCAUGUUUAGCUUGUUCUAUUCUGCAGCAAUAUUACUCAAAUUGAUAGUCCAAAGUGUACCAGAAUACUGUAUGAAUCAGUUAUUGAAAACUGUCAAUUACUGUGGCAGUCAUACCGGAAAAUGUUUUGGCAACCUCUCCAGACACUACCACCAAAAGCUUGCACAGAUCCCUAACGUGCUCAGGUUGAACUAUGUCUGCUAGAAGAGACCUUCAGAUGACCAACAAAAAUUAAACCUUGAAGGCACAAAAAAACAACAAUUCAAAAGUUCCACAAACAAGAUUAAUUAAAUAAAGAAGAAAACUAUUGGUAGAUUGACUUUAACCUGUAAGUGACCUUAGUGGAUGCCGCAGGAGCAGUAUUAAUAGCACAAGCCACAGGAAUGGAAGCAAAAGAAGAGCCCGAUGCUGAAGCGUUAGCCUGAUAAAUGCAGAGUAGCAUUGGUAACAACAAUGAUAAAAAUUAUUCUCCAAUGUAAAGUCCGGCAAAGGUUAAUCAAGCAGUCAUGUGCAAGUCAGAAGAGUGACAAUAAAUCACUGUUACAUCUUCUUUCAUUGCCUAUAAAUGCCUGUCAGAAAAGCCCUUUGGACAAAGUUAACUUAGCCAUCGCAUGGGCAAUCAUCCAGAUUUUCAAUCAAUCCAUGCAAUGCAAAAUUUGAAGUGAACAAUAAAUUUUUGUCUGAUUAUUUAGUACCAAUUUCAUGGAAAUAACAAGUAAAAUAACAAAAUAAUCUCUAUAAUAUUGCAAAUAUCAAAAAAUUACCUGUGGAAUUUGUGCAAGCCUUUGAGUGGGUUGAUCCUUUACUGAUGCACCAGCUAACAGCACUUGGUUUUUUCUCUUCCUUGGUGCUGAGGGAGACAUGAACCCGGAGGGACCAAUAGCCCCAUUCAGGGCUGCAUUGGUUGCCUGCUGCAUGUAAAGAAUGCUCCCAUGAUCACCCCGAAAAAGAGCCUUCCUCUCUUCACUCCCUUCAAAGUUCUUACAGUCCAUACAUUUACAAUUAUCAGAGCAAAGAAUGUUGGCUUGGAAGCACUCGCAGUAUUUCUUGAGGCAACCAGACUUCUUACAGUGGCAUCCUUUAUUGUGCUUUCCCACUAAAGGAAGUUCUCCUGCCUCAUCCUAGCAAAUAUAAACAUAUUAAUAUUAGUAAUUAGCACAUAUAUUAAAAAAAAUUCCUUUAGGCAAAAUGGAACUUUUAUUUCUUAUCCUGAAAGUAGCUUAAAAGGAUUUUAUAUAGGAGUCCUAAAACAUAUUUUUUAUAGAACAAGAUAAACAAAACUUUCGUGAUCACUUAAUUGCCUGUUUGACUUGCAGAAGAUUGAGAACUUCACGAACAUGUCCUCUGAACUAAUCACUUAUUUCUCAUCACCUAUCACCACCUUGAGAGCAUAUACAAGCCAUCAAUAUCAAAAAAUAUAAUUGUUCUUUUCUGAGAACAAUUGCUAAGUUGCUCAAAACUCACAAUAAUCUGUUGUUAUCAUAGGACGCAAUUGCUAAAAUUUGUCAUUACUUGCAGAGUAUAAUAUAAGACCCAAUCACCAAAUGUGCCAAAUAUCUUGAAUGUCACACCUUGUGAAACAAACCAAUUAUUUAAUUAUUCUAGGAUAUUAACUACAUACCCUGCUAUCCCGCAGUGUGUGUGGGCUACUUCCAAUCUUAGGCCUGAAGGCAUUAGGAUUGCGCUCUAGAGUAGCUUCAACAGCCUCACGCCUGGCAGCUUCAUUCUCGAUAUUGUUACAGCAGUUUGCACAGUUGCAGCCAUCACAAUAAACUCCAGACGCAAAACACUCACAGUACCUAAGCAUGCAAUAAUGAAAACGUUAAUAUAAGGACAAUAUGCUAGUUUACAAGAGGACAUAUAAAUAAAAUCAUAAUAUCAAGCACUUAAUUGCAAGACUAUGUUUUAUACCACAAAAGACAGAACUCAGCAUGAACGGGACAAAAAUAUCUAGUAGUAGUAUUUGCAUAUUCACUGAAAUUUUCAAGCGACUAGCAAAAUAGAAACUCUAGCAUAGUAGAGAAACUUAAUGUCCCCAUUCCAUAUUUGUGAAGCAUUUAGCUGCAAGACUGCAGGCAUAAACUUUCCUUAUCUGGAGUGCACAGCAAAAUUCAUUUUAGACGAGCAAGUAAAUAACCAAUACUCCUUCUGGCAUAAAACCUAUCAAACAGAGUAAGCACCUAGAGAUUUUCCCGCAUUUUUCGUUAAUUAUUUUCAUCAAGUGGGAUUCUUGCGAUGUAUCUAUCCUUAAUUAAAAAACUAGAGAUAAGGGUAAUGAAUUAGACAGAAUUAUUCAAACGAUUAUUGAACUCUCUCUGCACAUUAUUCAUGAGUCAUCUACAACUUCCUUGGGAAACAAGUUAUUCAUAACCCAAGAUUUAGUUUCUAAAGGUACCACAAGGAAGAAUUUUAUAUAUGACUAAUUUACCAACAAAAACUGACAAAUUCACUAGCAUAUGAACUUCGCUUACAUAAUUAAUUAAUAAUCAAGUUGCAUGCCUGACUUAUCAGAAAUCUGUUUUCCAUUAAUGAAUAUCAAUAAUCAUAAUACAUCCAAUAUUUACCAUGCUAAUUCUCAGUCAGAGAAAUCAGACAGGGAAGGCCCCAUAAUACAUCAUAGCUCAUACAACCGAAGUACAACACUCUGCGACUACUACAAUUAAGUGUAGCUAAAAUAGCAAUAAGUGCUAUGUAACAAUUUAAGUUGUGUGAGUUCUGUGUUUGUCUAGAUGGGAGGUCUAGGAAUAUGUGUUACAUAGGCCUGCACUUGAUGAACCAUAUACAUGAAAUCACCGUGUAGCAAUUACUGCACUAGUAAGGUUUAAUCAGUCAAUCUAUCCAAUGACCAUCUUAAGUGGUAGUUAACUAAUGCUAUGAGAUAUUGUAAUACUGAAUAUGGGUCACAAUCAAGAUACCAAUUGCAAAUUACCGCUGCAGCAUAAGCAUCAAGUCAGAAAUUCCAUGGUUGUUUUGGCUGUAAGAAGCAGCUAGUGAACUAAGAAGUCUUAGUAAUUAACUACUUGAAAAAAUCUUCUAGAGGACAGGGAUUAAAGGAGCAUAACAGAGACACAGAUGAUAAUUUCUGACAAUAUUUACAACAGAUUUCCUUUUUUGGGGUCCUAUCCUGCCACAAGGCAUGAUGUUUUAUGGCAUUCUUGGUCAUCUGUGCAAUCCUUAGACUAUAGAUGAUCUCAAAGAAGUAACUAUGCCAUUCAAGUGUUAACACACCAUAAUCUUAUCAUGAAAAAAAAUGAAACUAAGAAGACGACAAAAACUUUCAUAACAAAAGUUAAUUCCACCUACAGCUUCAAGCAUUUUGAGUGUUUGCAGUUGCAGUUCUUCUUUCUUGUUGGAGUACCAUCUUUUGCAUCAUGUAAUGGUCGUGGCCUUGAUUUGGGUGAUGCUGGCUUCCUGGAGAGGUUGGUUGUAAGAUAGUGAGCCCUUCUUUGCAACAAAAAGCAAUAAUACACAGAGACAUCAGGUAAAGAUAAAAGCUUCUCUACUGCUAGUCAUGCCUCCGAGAAUAUUAAUAGGUAUCCCUCCCAAGACUUGCAUGUCACUGAAAAAAUAUGGAUGUACUAAUGUAACUAAUAGAUUGCAGCAUGUUCAAUACAAGAAUAUCUCGGAAUAAACUUUGAUGCUUGAUAUACCCUGGGCAUUUAGAGAAAUAUGUUGAAGGGACGAAAGCAGACAUAUUAGCCACUAAAAACUAUGACUGAAAAGAAGCAGAAGGUUGAUAAAAAAGAGUAAUCAAUUUCAAAGUUCUCAUCUACUGUAGAAGACAGUCUAAUUCAACUGUAAUCGUAAGAAUUAAUAGUGUACUUUUGAAAGACUCCUGUGUCCUAAAUGACAUAUAUGAAAUAUACGGAUGAAUCUUAUCACUAUAAAUCCAUCAUUAUUAGCAUCAUUAAAUACUGGCCAAGAUGUCCAAAUCUAACAAGAUUUAAGCUUGUAGUCUGAAGUAAAAGAACACUAAAAUACAAAGAACAAACAAACAAACGAACGAAAACAAAAAUGGACAUUUCUGAGGCAUUAUAUUUCGAAUUGCAUUCCGAAUUAAAAGACGAGGAAUCUUAACAUAAGAGCACUGCAGGGACAGUUUCAGACGGAGCCGAGAAACUCUCAUGGCCAUCCUACGCUAUAUAACCUUAGAAGGUAGAAACUCAAGCUCCCAAAACCUAACCUAAGAUUUAGAAGAGUUUCGCAAAUCCAUAGUGAUUUCAAAAAGCCCGUUAGAUAUUAACUCACGCAGCCACAGAAUUUGAAGGAACAGAGGGGCUCAAGGGAUCCGGCGUGGGCCACGGCGGUCGUUGCUGCUGCUGCUGCUGCUGCUGCCGCUGCUGCUGCAGUUGCUGCGGUGGAUCAAGGGCCACCGGUACGCCCGCCGAAGCCGGGGCUCCGCAACAAGCCGCGGCCGUGAAAUCCAGCUGGCGGACGAGCUUUCUUGGAGGGAAAUCAGUCGACGCCGACGCAACAGGUUGAACACUUUGCUCCAUCGGAGUAGUCAAUCGCCGAUUCAAGGACCAAUUCGAGAAAACUGCCAAAGGUCCCCUCCAGAAUUCGGGUCCUCCUUAAAAAUCUGAACCCGCACAGAUGCCCAACGGCUGGAGAUCACUUGGAUCGAGCACUGGAAAUCCCGCAGAUCGCCGGAGGUGGAGACCAAAGAAGGUCCCGUGGAGCCUCGGAAGAUCUCCGGCGUCGGAGAGGGAAUUAAACGGCAGAGAUCCACCGAGAGGAGCAGCGACGGGUGGUGGAGGGCGGGGGAUAAAGGUGGAUUUUUUAUUCGGGUGCGGGAAAUCUUUCGAGCACAAGGAGAUGAGAAGGGGGAGGAAGAAGCGAAGUGCUUUCUCUCUCUCUCCCUCUCUACUUUUAAAUCGAAUUCUAAUAUUUCGACGGACAGAUUUAGGUCGAAGAGGCGAUCGGACGGUCAUUCUCUCGAGAAGAGAUCGUGCGGUUAAAAUUCAUAGGUUCUCGAUGUCGGGCCGUCCGAUCCAAGAAAAGGAAGAUUUUUAUUGUAGGGAAAUUUGUGGAUGUACGUCACAAGACGGCGGUGAUAUGAUCCUGUAAUAUAUUUCUGGGUAAUUUACUCACAAAAAUCACUUAUAUUUAUAUUUUAUCAUCUUUUUCAAAAUAUUCAAUUCACUUUCAUUAUAUUGGACCUAAAAAAUAUGUAUAUAAAUAUAAAAAUAAUAAAAAAAUAACUUUUAUGUUUUUUGGACAAAUUUUAUCAAAAUGAUGCAACAUAUUGGACUUACUAUAAAAAUCCCUAAAAUCAGUAAAGUGCCUAUUUAUAUCAUAUUUUCAUUUGAUGGUUAAAAUUUAAGAUGAACGGCUACAUUCGACAGCGUAAUUAGGAGUAACGUAAUUUUAUUUUGAUUUUGAUUAUAUAUGGAGUGUAAUACAAAUCUUUUUCAAGAGUAACAAUAUACAGUUUGUUUAACUCAUCUCAAUCUCUUAAUGUAUCAUACAAAUAUGAUAUACAUGAUGAUGUCAUUAGUUUUUCUAUUUUUAUAUUAUUUAUGAGUUUUGAGUCAAUUCAAUAAUUAAGUGUGACACAACUCAUUAAUAAAUAUGACAUGAUAAAGUUGGUCUAACUUACUUCAAUCUUUUAAUAAAUAUAACCUAAAUAGUAAUUUUCAUAAUUUUUUAUUUUUAAAUAAAAAUUAUAUAUAUAAUUUGAAUAAAUUCAUGCUAAACCCAUGCUAAUUACGUAUUACAAUUUUAUAAUUUUUGCUUGGAUGCUAUUGUAAUCUCUCUCUAUAUACUUAAAGUAAAACAAAUAACUCUAUUUGUCCUAAUGUUAUCGGAUACAUUAACAAAAAAAAAUAUAAGACAUGACAAUAACAUUUUGGAUCACUAUGAAAAUGAUUGACAAAAAUAAAAUUUUUCGACCAAUUUCAUAUUCAACUAAGAUGUUUUUAUUUUGAUAAAAUAAAAAGAAAUAAUAUUAAAAUUACUUUUUCACUUAUAAUAUUCUUAUCAACUUUCAUUUAUUUCACUUUCAUCCCAUGUAAAAUUUUCAAACACGAAAAUCCUAAUACUAAUAGGAUAAAAGUACAAUAGCUAAUAUGCAAAUUAGCCACUCAAAACCUGUAAGUCAUGUGAUAACACUUCCAUCGCAUGUAAAUUUUUUGUUGGCAGGUAAACCAAUUAUGAACAGCUUUUAUAGGUAAAUUGUCUUGGAUAUUUUUAGUUUAUUUAUUUAUUUUUGCUAUAAGUCAUGAGAUUGAUUAUAUGGAUAUUUAUUUACAUGGAUAAAUAUGCUAGCAUAAAUUUAUACGAAAAAUACGAAAAUAUUGUCACAUAAAAUGUACAUAUACACUAAUAUUUAAUAAAUGUGUGAUAUAUAUAUAUAUAUAUAUAUAUAUAUAUAUAUAUAUAUAUUUAUUUAUUUAUAUACAUCCCGGCUCCGAUCCUGCUUACUUCCCAAUUCCCCUUUACAGGCCGCCUCCCUCAUCGACAUCAGCGCACAGCGCCGCCUCCUCGAUCCAUCUCCGUCUUCCCCCAAGCCCCUCUCUUCUUGGAGCCCACCGCCAUGGCCUCCGCCGACGCGCCGCCGAAGCCCCCUCCGUCCACCGCCGAACACGACGACGACGACGACGAUUACGAGGAUUACAUCCCCGUCAAGAAGCGCCGAGCCAUAGAGGCCCAGAAGAUCCUCCAGCGCAAGGGCCGCCCCACCUCCGCCGGGGACUCCGACGCCGCCAACCGCCCGCAGGCCCUCGCGGAGGCCAAGCCAAGCCUCCUUGUCAAGGCCUCCCAGCUGAAGCGCGAUCUCCCCGAGAUCAGCCCCACCGAGCAGCUCGUCCAGCAGGAAAAGGAGAUGAUCGAACACCUAUCCGACCGCAAAACACUCAUGUCCGUCCGCGAGCUGGCGAAGGGCAUCACCUACACCGAUCCCAUCCCCACCGGGUGGAAGCCGCCGCUCGCCAUACGCCGCAUGCCCGCUCGCCACGCCGAUGCCAUCCGCCGCCAGUGGCACAUCCUCGUCGAGGGCGAGAACGUGCCUCCCCCCAUCAAGAACUUCCGCGACAUGCGCCUCCCCGAGCCCAUCCUCAAGAAAUUGAAAGAGAAGAGAAUCGUCCAGCCGACGCCGAUCCAGGUGCAGGGACUGCCGGUGAUCCUAGCGGGGCGGGAUAUGAUCGGGAUCGCGUUCACUGGCUCGGGAAAGACGCUGGUUUUUGUUCUCCCGUUGAUUAUGACGGCAUUGCAGGAGGAGGUCAUGAUGCCGAUCGUCCCUGGAGAGGGCCCAUUUGGGCUUGUGGUAUGCCCGUCGAGGGAGCUCGCGCGACAGACGUAUGAGGUUGUGGAGCAGUUCCUUGUUCCGCUGCGGGAUCAUGGAUACCCGGAGCUGAGGCCGCUGCUAUGUAUUGGCGGCGUCGAUAUGAGGUCGCAGCUGGAAGUUGUGAAGAAAGGGGUGCAUAUUGUUGUGGCUACUCCAGGGAGAUUGAAAGAUUUGCUUGCAAAGAAGAAGAUGAAUCUUGAUAAUUGCAGGUAUUGUUGCAUCAUAAUUAGCAAACUGCUAAUUAUGAUAAUUGUCUUAAGAAUAUUUGUCUUCACAUAUGUUUUGAAUUUCUGAAUUAUUCUUGUGCUAAUGCUUCGCUGUUACUGAUUAACUGUACCUACAGUAUUAAUCUAACCAAGAGUUCUUGAAUGAUAUUCUUUCAUGCUCUAUGAUCCUCCUGCACUGGACUUCCUCAUGACAUUGUUGACAGGUUUUCUCUGAAUGGUAGCAUUUUAUUCCAGUUUUGAGUUUGGUUGGAUUACUUCUUUACCAUGUAAGUUCGAGCAAUAUUUGGUCAGCCAUGAAAUUUGCCUUUCAUUUUAAUUUCAUUGACUUGUAUGAUUGACAAGAACUUUUGAGGUAUUUUCUUCAUAUUUAGAUUCUUCAGUCGGAAAAACUAUUGCCAGCACUCUUUGGACACCCUUAUACUCGAUAGGAAAGUUGUGUAGUGUGGCACACCAUUCUUUUUUGUUGAUUCCUCGGACAUCAUCUUCUAGCUUUUCAUUACACUAAUUUUUUUGUACAUGGGCGGAAAUGAUCAAGUAGAGAGCUUCAUGAACUGACGUUGAGUCAACAUAAAUGAAAUUAUGAUUCUGGAAUUAGAUGACAACGUCAAUAUCUGACCUAUACAUUGUCAGAUAAUAAAUAAUGACUAUUCUACGAACGAACUUUGUGAAGCUGGUGUUAAUAACAGUCUGAUUAGAACUUUAAAUUACUGUUAGCUAUGCUGUAGAAUCUAAUACAAUUAGCUUAUUGUGGAAUCAUAAGAUUAUUGAUUUCCCAUAUCAUAAUGCUAAGAAGUUAUUCCACAUACUGUCACUUGCAGCCUUAAUUACCUUUGAAUACAAACACUAUAUACAGGCAAGGAAAAAGACAUCUCUUAAAAUAUACUUCUUGAUUGUAUUGCCAAUGGUCAGCUCUGAAUCUUUUCCAGUUUUCUCAUCAACGUCCUUUACUUCUUUCUUGUGGUUGGCUAUAUGGAUUGUUUCAUGUUACUGAUAUUUGUUAAUGGAAAAUGUUACUAGUCAAACUAAUAGACAGCAAAUUCCAGUAGUAAUCUUUAAUCACCGGGCCAGCCUAACCAUGUGGACAAAUAUGAAGUCUUUUAUCCCCAUCUCGCAGAACAAUACAAGAACUAUUUACUUGUGAAGCUUUGGAAAAUAUAAGAGCUAGUUUUGUAAUUUUCCAAAGCUUGUUAAGAAUAAGUGAUUUCUAAAAGAAAUAUUUUUAUUUAAUAAGUAGUUUUUUUUUAAAAAAAAUUUAAGCUUUCUUGGAUCAAUUUACUGAAUAAUUUGGAAGCAAACAUCCCUAAGUUAUAUAAGUGUGUGAAUCAAGGCAAUCAUUUCAGUAGAACAUGUAUAAUUAAUGAUAGUUUCAGAAAAAUAUGGAUUAUUCCUUCUACCUGCACUAGAAAAUUUAUUUGUGGUUAAUAAAUAUUUUUAGAUCCUUGUAUCAUUUAUGCAAAGGCAGCACAGAUUCUCAUAUAUAUUAUCAGAACAAUUGCAACAACCACCCCCUCUCUCCUCCUCUUUUUCUAAUAUCUGACCUUUUUGUUUGGGUUGAAAUAUAUGAAGACUGAGCCAUCUUCCUAUUCAUUUAUGUGAUCUCACAUUUUUGCUACAGGUACUUGACACUGGAUGAGGCUGAUAGGCUGGUGGACUUGGGCUUUGAGGAUGACAUACGGGAGGUUUUUGACCAUUUUAAAGCCCAAAGACAAACCCUACUCUUCUCUGCUACCAUGCCAAAGAAGAUCCAAAACUUUGCAAAAAGUGCUCUGGUGAAACCUGUGACAGUCAACGUGGGAAGAGCCGGAGCAGCAAACCUUGAUGUCAUUCAAGAGGUUGAGUAUGUGAAACAAGAGGCUAAAAUUGUAUAUCUUCUUGAAUGCCUCCAAAAGACACCUCCUCCUGUCUUGAUUUUCUGUGAGAAUAAAGCAGAUGUGGAUGACAUUCAUGAGUAUCUGCUUCUUAAGGGAGUUGAGGCCGUUGCCAUUCAUGGUGGCAAGGACCAGGAAGAAAGAGAAUAUGCCAUUGCAUCCUUCAAAUCUGGCAAGAAGGAUGUAUUGGUUGCUACAGAUGUUGCUUCCAAGGGCCUUGAUUUUCCUGACAUCCAGCAUGUGAUCAACUAUGAUAUGCCUGCUGAAAUUGAGAAUUACGUCCAUCGGAUCGGCCGAACUGGAAGGUGUGGCAAAACAGGAAUAGCAACAACAUUCAUAAACAAGAACCAAACAGAGACGACACUCCUCGACUUGAAGCACCUCUUGCAAGAAGCAAAACAAAGAAUUCCGCCAGUAUUGGCAGAGCUUAAUGACCCGAUGGAAGAUGGUGAUGCUCUUACUGAUGCUAGUGGAGUAAAAGGUUGUGCAUACUGUGGUGGGCUUGGUCAUCGAAUCCGAGACUGCCCAAAACUGGAGCAUCAGAAAUCCAUGGCUAUUGCUGGUUCUAAAAGGGACUACUUUGGUUCAGGAGGCUAUCGGGGCGAAAUAUGAUCCUGCUUCUUGUAUCUGUAUAUACGGCGAACUAUUGCGGGAUUUCCAUUAAUGACCAAGUUUUUACUAUGUCUAGAUGUCUGUAAACCAGGAAACAUUUCUGUAAUCAGAUAUUACAACCCACCUUAAAAUUCACAGUGCCCAACUUUUUUCAGUUGGAUGGUGGAGAACUCCUUUGCUGUAGAGCAACAUAUCAGCUGCCAAAUUUGUAUGGAGUUUAGAAGUUAUUUUAGCAUCUUGAAACACAUCAUAAUGUGAAAACAUCAACGUGAAUGCAGCCGAGUGAUGCAUUGCUUGUAAUAUAAGUGAGACAUCAGUUUAAUUAUGGAAGCCAACUAAAUGCUCAUCAUCUUCAGGUUGCUUGUUGAUUGUUAUGAUGAUGUUGCUACUGUUUGGUAAUUGACUGUUGAUUGUAUUUUGGGUUUAAAGCCUUAUGUACAUAUGCUGCAAAAUCUAAUUUUAUCGACCGUAUGCUUAAUCGAUGUAUAUAUAUAAUUUUAUUUGGUUAACCUUCUUUACUUCUUUUUCCUACGUAAUAACGAUAAUUUAUUUGGUUAACCUUCUUUACUUCUUUUUCCUACGUAAUAACGAUAAGGGGAGCAUACGAGAAAUUAUUUUGAUUUUUAAUUCCUAACAUGUGAAAAUAUAGGAAAAAAAAUAAAAGAUUAUUUUGUCAAUUUGAUUUAGUUGACAUGAUAAAUUCAACCAAUUAAACUUAAUUCUCAUAAACAUGUCAUCAUAGUGUUCCGCUAUUAUUUAAGAUUGGCUACAGGAUCUUUAUAUACCUAUUUAAAUUUUCAGUUAAACAAUCAGCUACUUAAAAUUUUCUAUUACUGCUAGUGAGUCUUUCUAUUUCUCAUUAAAAAUUCAAAUAAAUUCAAAACCUACUAACAAUAACAUUUAUGCCUCAAUCACAAAAUUAUUGCUUAUGAUAUAUAUUUUAAAGUAACUUCGCCUCAAUAUUUUUAUCUUAACUGUACUAACUAUUCCACACAGUAAGGCUGUGCUCGUCCUGUGGCACGCAGCGGUGCAAGCAUGUGCCGAUCACUCCACGGUCGCCGUGGCCACCGGUGAGCAAAGCCGCCACCUUUAAGCACGAGAUCCUCCACAUGACCAAAGGUACGCAACUCUUUUAUCUCUUCAGGCUUUCUCCGGUCGCUCUCUUCCUCGUCUCCUCUCCUGCUUCGUCGACUUGCGCUUCCGAGGCGUUUCUGCUAGCUAGGGAUGUAUCUCCACUACACUUUAUAGUGCGUGAUGGUCCAACCUGCAUCGAGAGAAAGGUCAUGGUGGCUCGACUAUAGUUACUGAUCUCUAUGUACGUGUGUUUUCUUGAACAGUAUCUCGUGCAGAUGUUGUAUGAUCUUGAUGGCUCCGGUGCAAGGACGAUGCUCCUUCUCUACAACAUCCAUCUCCUUGGUGCUCUUUAUCUGCUGCAGUGAGUAGGAGAUACCUCGAUCUGGAAUCCCUCAGGUCAUGGGCGAGGAAGCUGAUGACUCCGACGACAAAGCUGACGAGGAGUUGCUUGCAUCGACAGACAGCUCAAAACAGCAGAAGGUGGCUGCUCCACCGUCGUGUAUGUACUAUAUGUCUCGACCAACCGGAGGCAUUUUUUAAGGGAGAACACAGCAGAAUCCACUCAUGAAAGCUGAAGUGAUCGGGUCUCCAAUCUGUGGCUAAAGGAAGAAGAAAGAAACCAGUGCAGCUGAAUGGGAGCACAUGGGUUACACCAACUCUACUGUCAUACUCCCAUUCUCGCAUGCUUUGGCAUAAAGCUCUGCAAGAGAAUAACACCACAUUUCUGGAUGAUUGGAUGCUACACGCAGAUGGCUCCUUUGGAGUCCCAUCGUCGCUGAGCUGUUUGUAUCCACUUUUCUUCUCCCUGAGAAGGUAAAUGGCUCCCUUUCAGUUUUAUCACCACUUCGAUUCUAUCUUCAUACCUCAGACCACUGUGAAGCUAACGAAGAAGAUGACUUAGCAGUCUAUGGAUCUACGAAUGCCCAAAGUAAUUCAGGGAAGAAAUAGGAACACCCUUCAGAGACUCGGAUCCAUGCAACAAAGGGAAAAAGAAAGCAGAGCUGCAUCAGCCACUCACUCGAGACCAUAACCUUUUUCAUCGGGCCCCACAAGAGGAGCCAAACAAGAAUCCAACACCAACCUCCCAUGGAUUUGGUUCCUUUCUACCGCGCCAUCAAUGUCCGGUGGUAGAUUCGCCUGCUCGAAACAUCAAACUAUCAUAUGUCCCAGUCGCACCACCAACGACAGCAAACCUCAACCGGGGUUCGGGGUAGGGUUAGGGUUAGGGACGCACGCAAGCACAUAUGAUGGGUGCGGAUGACAUGUCGCGUAUAGACACUCUUUUAAUUCAAUGGAGGUGUACUAUAUCUCCUGCUUUUGUCGUUCAUAGAUUCCCUCUCUCCCGCAUGGAAAGCCCUAGGCCAAAAGAGCUUGGGUUUCCGGAUCGAACACUCGCUGAUCCCUCCCGUCUCUCUUGCCCCGAGCUAGCCUUCGGUUUGGCUGAAGAUUGAAAGCUGAAUCGCAGUGGAAGAAGCAAGAGAGUUCGCGUUCGGCUUCCUCGUAGAAGGUACUCAUUCUUUGCCCAGGUUCGAGUUCAAGUUCAGAUUUUUUUUCUCCCUUUCUUGUUCACCUCUCGUCUAUCGCUUAACUUUGUUCCGAAAUUUUGUUUGUGAUUGAUGGGUGUUGGCUUCUGGGAUUGUUUCUUGUUAGGUCUACUGGUUGUAGUACGAUUAGGGAUGUGGUCUAGAAAAUGGGCGUGAAGGAGUCUUCUUUUCUCAUGUGGAUUGCGGCUCAUUGUUGGGCCGUAGGAUCUCUUGGCCUGUCCGUUCAUUUUCGGAGGUGGGUGGUCGGCAAAGCAUGGGUUAGAUGAGGUGUAUCACGUUGCGUCUUUCUUGCCACUUUUAUCAUUUUAUGUAGGAAACUUUGAUUUUUAUAGAGCUUGUUUACUGCAGCUUGUACUCAUCUUGCUUUGUAUGAUGAUCUUCCUGUUCUGGCUUGAAUUGAUGUGCCCACUAUUUAACCUAGGUUAUGGUUGUAUAUUAUUAUGGGAAGUUGGAUAAAGCCCCUGUUAGCCCUACUUCCCCUAAAGAAAGCAUCAUUGUUUGUCCUAAGUCUAAAGUAACAGUUUAUUUACUGAUUUUGGCUCAUUUUUUUUAUGAUUAGUUUUCAACAGGCAGAGGUUGCUUGAUGUCAUGACCUUAAUUCUCAUCAUGAAUGGAACUUCAAAAUAUUGUUUCUCUUAUUUCUCAUGUUGCAAGUUUGAUAUUCUUAUGGUAAUUAAAACGCUAUCUUUUCUUAAGUGCGUGUGACUUGUUCAGUUUCUGUUGAGCUGGUCAAACAGCUCCACUUCUCUGAUGAAGAUGCAAAAUUAAUACCAGAGUGAGUCUGACUUGAUUAUAAAUAAAUUUAAACAUCUUGUGAUUAAUGGCUUGUUUUUUUUGUGUAAUUGGGGACUGCUUUAAGUUAGUCGGUCCAUUCAGUAAUAUACACAUUGUUUGUUUUCACCUUCAUGUUGGCAAUGUACUAUUCUGUAAGCACAAGUUUUCCUUCUCCUUCCAUGAGUUUGCUGUGAUAAGCGGUGUGGCCGUGGUCCAUCAAAGUUCUUUUUGGAAUGUUGUUCUCAUGCUUUUGUUUCCUCUUUUCAAUUUAUUCUGUUGCAUUAUUGCGGAAAUCUGCAAUAUCAUGAAUCAAAGCAAUUAUCAUUAAUCUUAUAUAAUUGAGUCAUGACUAAAUCUUAACUAUGUUAGAGUUAGAAUCUUCAUUGAGAAUUUUUAAUUGUUUUUAAUUAUAUACAGUUUUGUACUAUGUAAAUGACAAAUCAGCUGAUUAAUUUAAGCAACUUUUGUAAACAAGUGGAUUAUACUUUCAUAAAUCCUUAUUUAAUGUAUUCAACCUCGGUAUGUUUUUUAUAAGCUGUUGUAAUGUGAAUACCUUGGAAAAGGAACAAUCAAUUUUGACCAGCUAUUUUUCUGAUGCAUGAUAAUAUACAUGUACAUGGGACUGGAUCUUCUAUUAUAUCUCACCGAUAUUUAAACUAUUUUGCAGCGUUUACACUAAAUAAGUCUGAUGUGACUGCUGCUUGGAAUUAUGGUAGCUUAAGUUACAUUCUUAAUUCACAUAUUUACAGCAAGAAGCAGGUCUAGUUUAAACUCAUACAACCUGCUGGAGAUGAUUUUGAACAUUAUUUCAAGCUAUGGAAGUAGCAGUAAAGGAGCUCAAUGCUGAAGGAAAGGAAUCUGCACUUGUAACUCAUGGCAAGCACGAUGGAGAUGAGUGCAACCAUUUUACCAUCCGGUAUUCCCACUAUUCACCUGUUUUUAACUGUUUAAUCUACUUCCUCAAGAAUUAGCAUGCAAAACUCUUUUAAAACUUGGCAUUAUGAAUGAAAUGCUGUAUUGCUGCUAACGUAUUUGCUUUAGUGACUUUAUUCUGGUUUAAUUACAAUUUUGUUAAUGUUAAAACUGUGAUUGAAUAACAAAACAGAGUAGCUUACGUAUUGAGUGCAAGAAACAUAAAUCAACUUGUUUAUAACAUAUUACUUUCUUGUUACUUGCUUUAGUACUUAAUGAUUGAGGCAUUUACUUUCAAGCAGCGGUUAUGUUGCUGGUGUUCGGAAGAGAGAUGCAAAGAUUUGCUGGCCAUUAUAUAUGGCCGGGAAUGAAAGUUCAGAUGCACUUUCAAGCAUGCUGCCUCCGCUACAUGUUUCUAAGUUCAAGCGAUGGAGUUGCCUGAACUGUCUUCAUACAAUUUGCGCUUCUGCUGAUGUAACAGGAAGUGCAAACUUUACAAAUGUAUGUAAUGAAGAUAUGAAGACAAACAACUCCAUAUUUCUUUUUGAUCUCAAUGCAAAAAGGUUGUUUUUUUCUGGUCCUAAACAGUCUUUUGAAACCGUCAUACUUGAGGAGAGACCAGUUUCAGACUGUAUUAUCAAAGUCAGUCAUGGUGAACAUAGCCCAGUACCAUAUCACGGCAACAAAAAUAAUGAGUCCAAAACAGAUGAUGCGGCAAAAGAAGGUACCUGGUUUGUGACUGUGUCAUACAUAUUUCAUUAAUUCUCAUGAAUCAUCAUGGUCAUUUCUUCCUCUUAACAGGAUACCAUGUAUUCACAUAUAGAAAUUUUAGAACGGAAGAAAAAGAAAAUCAUUCAUGCAAGUCUAUCACUGCUGUGGCUGAAGGUGAAGAAUUUCAAGCAGGACAAAGCCAAAAAAGAAACACGACAAAUAAGGAAAACAAGUUUAAGGCAGCUCUUCUUUUUGAUGAUGCUUCUCCCAAGGUUGGUGCCGAACCAAAUGGAGGUAUGAGGAUUGGGCUUUUUGAUGCAACUAUAAUUUUCAGAGGCACUGAUCUUGCAGCAUGUGAAAACAAAGAUGAUGAAGGGAUUACUGCAAAAGGCAACAUAAAUAUAGUGCCUGAUGGCAUGACCAAAGAAAGUAGAAAGUUAGUUGGGGUUGAUCUCUGCAUCCCAGAAGACGAUGUUCUAACUACUACUGCUGCUAAUCUCCCUAAUUAUGAUUUGAUGACAUUAGACCAGAACAAUGAUGAAGCAUCAUAUGGUAAUAAGAAUUUAUCAGAUGGCAUGUAUUUUAGCCGAAACCAGAAAUGUGUGUCUAGCAGUUCACAUAGAAAAGUGACCCAAAAAAGGGUUCUUAAGCUACGUUUGCUGGAGGACAUUAUGAAAAAUGAAGAGUUACACAUAUCAAAAAAGAUACAUACUUUUAAAGGAAGUGCGGAUACAUGUGAAAAGAGCCACAAAAGAUCAGAUGAAUGGAAAUGUGAAAUCCAUCCUGAAGACUAUAAAAAAGGCAAUUUCUUCAGGCAGAAUUGCAAAGUGAUACCAGCGAAACCUAUUAAUGCUACAGAAGCUACUCACAGCAAAGAUGAGGAAAUUUCUCUAAUGCAUUGGCUAAAGAAGGUUUCUAAGAAAAUUGUCACUGAUGAUUCUCAAAGAAAGAAAAACAUUGUUGGAAAAGGAUAUGCUGAAAUCAAGUGCAUAGAGAAUAAGGUUGUUACAUCUCCCAGUACACAUAAAAAGAAGGAUGCUGAUCCUCUUUCAAAAGGUUCUAGAGCGAGUAAAUAUAGUAAAAGUUGUACUGUUGAGAAGAAAAGUAAGUUUACUCGACUAAAACCAAGUGCCCAUUGCCUCAAGCCCCAGCUGGAAAAUUUGAUAUCUAAAGAUGCAUCGGUGAAACAUGUACCUCCUGAAAAUGUUUAUCCUCAACUGAGAAACAUAAUUUCUGAAGAUAUUUUGCCCCCUUGUCUUGAAAAUCUAGAGAGGAGUUGUGAGCAGAAGUCUGAAUUCAAUAGAAGGAAAAGGAAGGCGUUUCAAGUUAAGGACAGAAAUCCUUCCCAAAUAAACUGCUCAAAGGUAUGCAUGCAAAGUCUAUCCUUCUAAAUAUAGAAAGCAGACAGCUCAUUUACUUUUAUUUUUUAGCUCCUUUUCCAUAUGGUUUUCAACUGACAAGAACAGAAUCCUCUUGUAGCGAUAAAUAUUCUGUUCUGUUCAUUCUCUUUUUGAGAUUUUAGUUAAAGGUCUCGGCAUCCUCGUAUUCAAGCAUGGUAUAUCUUAGAAUCUUAUAGUUCAUUCUGUUGCAGUCGAAUAAUUGUUAUGAAGAAAUCAUAUAUGUGAAUGCUGUGCAUUGUUAACUAGGUCAUAUUAUCUUUUUUUGUUCUUCGGUGUUGAGUUUCAUGUGAUUUAGUAGACAUUUUUAUUAACUGUAGCAUGUUAUAUUAGAAUGAAUAACCAGGAAAGUUAAAUUUUAGAUCUGUUAUCGACAGAACAAUCUCUGUAUUUGCUUAUUCUUCUUGGGAAAGCUGAUACUCUUUUAGGUUCUUAUAUUCUGCUGGUUACAAUAUUUUCAACAUAGUUUCUCGUUGUGUCUCAGUGGUAUAUCAUUUUUUGUUGAUAAGUUCUCAGUGAAACAAAUAAUGUGACUGAUGAUAAAUAAUCUUCUCUUUUCAUCACACAUGUGCAUGCUUGUUUUUGAAUGCAGAAACAAGUGAUAAAGAAACAAAGAAACAUGAUGCCUCUUGAAAAGAAAACUGUGGAUGACAUUCCAAUGGAUAUUGUUGAACUCCUAGCUAAAAACCAGCAUGAAAGAAGUAUGAUGAAUGCUGAGGUUUCUAACAUGAACAAACAUGAGUUGUCAAUGAUGAAUGGAGAGUUGAGACAUGGAAUUUAUUCAAAUGUAACUGGAUAUUGUGGAAGCAAGUUUCCAAAGGCAAUAUAUCAGAGACAGGCCAAUGAUACAGUACUUUGUAUUCCUACUGCUCCUCAUGGUAACCAGAAUGACGUGUAUGGACCAGAAGCCUGCAAAGCUAUCGAGUUCCAGAAACAUGCCCUUAUUGAUCUGAACCAACAAGCUGCAGAUUUUCUGGCAAUUCCACAAUAUGAUGGAUACCAACCCUGUACAACUCACCAUUCUGCUGUUGAUUCUAAGAAAACCAGUUCUUUUCAAAUUUCUUCUUGGGAUAGAAUGAGGAUGCAAGAUUCAGGAUUAUAUCAAAAGAAUCAGGGAGUUUCAGCUCAGAGAUCAUGUGGAGGACCUAUCCAUGAUAUGUCGUCACUAUCGUUAAAUGGCAGAAUAUUUGGAGUCAAUAAAAGGAAAGUUGAUACUUGUCACAAUCACGGGAAAAUGGUUCCUUUUGAUUCAUUUCUUGAUACAACUCAGAAGAUCGUUCCUCAAAAGACUGGUUAUCAGGAAUCAGUGAAUUUAACCAGCUCCAAUCUCCCAUAUGGGGAAGGAAAAUCCGAGCAAACAACAAAUGGAAUAGCUCUACCAGGCAGAUCAUAUCUCAUGGAACGAGCAAGUAGGUGCCAUCCAGGAAGAGCAGGGACGAUAGAUAUGCAUAACAAUGAAACAGUAUCGGCGUUGCAUUUGCUUAGGCUAGUUGAUCAGGCAGCUCAGUCAGGUCCAUCAUGGGAUAUUAAUUGUACAGGAAUUACCCAAGACUCCCGCUUAAAUUAUAAUCGUCAAUCCAGUGAGAUGCAUGGAGCAGAAGUUGGAGUUAAAAAUAGAAAGACCCAGGAAAUUCCAUCCACCACUGGAUACUGUGCUCAUGAUCAAACCGAAGGUGGUUUCAGCAGCCCUUGCCAUCCAUUUCCUCGAAUAGGUGCUCUUGGUUCUUUGCUGCAAAAUGAAAACAUGACUCUUUCAUACAAAUCUCUGGCACCAUUGGGUUCUAAAGCUGUGUGUUCUGCUGAACUGCCAUCUUUCUGCAUCUAUGACAUGGACAAAAUAGAUGCUCCUUCAGCCAGUAGUACAAAAUACAGAGACAACAAAAACCCUCCAUCUGUGACUACAAAUACCAAGCAGAUUGUUUCGGCUGAUCAGGUUGGAAUCAACAGAAAGGGUGAACAAGUCCAACCUUUGAGUUAUGAUCCCAUGACUAUAACCUGCGUUAUCAAUCGAAAUCCUGCUGACUUCAGCCAACCUGAUGAAGACAAUAUUUACAUGCGAGGAAAUGACUGAGCUCUGAAAUAUCAAACUCUCAUCAUGACGGGAAGAAGUGUCAGGUGCUGAAGAUGCUACUAAGAUGCAGCUUUCUCCCUCGAAAAAAGGUGACAAUCGAUGGAUGACACAUCCUACCAGCUUAUAUCUUUCAUCAGUAACUCUUCUGUGGCCUAUUCUUGUACGCAUUUAUAUGAUUACAUAUGAUCUAUAAUUUGGGUUUGCUAAUGUCUGCCUCCAGCAAUGUCUCAAAGGUAGCUUUAAAGCGUGCAGUGAUGAUGAUGAUCCAUUAUCAUCAACACGAGUUUAAUCGUCUAGAUGUAAUAGUUAUCAUACCUAAUCAAAUCAUAAAUAGAUUUUAUAGUGUAUAGAUCACCACAUGUCUAAGCAUGAUACCCCGGUGGGGCCCACCACGUGUAUUGCGGAGGGCCCCACGGAAAGGAUAAAUAAAUAGCCUGAACCCUGUCGGGACGAAGGCGGGUGAGCUUCAGGUUCCCCGACAAUUAAAGCAUUCAUCAGACGGCUGGCAUCGCGAUGCUCAUGGGCCACCGAACCCGGGGAUGGAUUGGGGAGCGUCGAGGCCAUUUCCCCUCUGUCGAAGCCUCCAAACCUACCCACCGUCACCGUUUCCUUACCGAUCGUCCCAAGUCGAUGACAGCGAGACCAUAUAGAAAUCGAAGCACCAAUACUUCUCCUCUCUUUCUUGAUUCUUUUGGUUUUCUUUUCUCUUGGGUUUACCGCGGUGGGAUCCAGUGACGGAGCUAUUCUGGCGGUGGUUAGUCAAUGAGCGCGAGAGUCGUUGGGAGACGAUUACUGCUACUGUCGGGGCUACAUUAUGAGCGCAUUCAAAGUUUCCUACCGUCUCUCCCCUCUUUUUCACGACCUCCUCUUUAUCUCUUCAAGAUCCUCCUCCCCGUUAUCGCUACUCCAAUCUCGCCUCUUCUCAGGUGAACGCUCUCUUUCACCUUUUUUUAUUUGUUUUCUUCUCGAUCCGUUCCCAGGUUUCUUGAUCCGUGAGUGGGGUUUGAUGUAACCGGGUUUCUUAUUUCUUGAGCUACGAUAGGCUGGUUUUUUGGAUUAUUUGUGAGCCUUGAUAUGUUGAUCGGAGGGUUUCAUCAUUUUCUUGUUUCUUGCGUGAUAAUAGGUUGCCUUUUUGGAUUCUAUGAGAGCCUUGAUGUUUUGUAGGAGAGACUCAUCAUCAUCCAAUCGAUGUGGCUGACGAUUUACAAAGCAUGUCUUGGAAUUUCAUGACCAUACAUUCGAAUCUCUAGCAUAGAUUCAAAAAUAAAUGAAUAUUUUCUUGAAACUUGUAAAGGAGAAAGGAACUUCCUAAAAUGAUCCAAGAUAUGCGUGUUUUCAAAGUGACAAUAUGCAAGAAAUUGAGAGUUGGCCUUCAACAAUAGCUUCUUUCUUGUAGGCUUAUAGUCAACCUGAGCACUUCAUCAUCAAAAUCAGAUGGACCUUUGACCUCUUCAAUUGUUUCACUGAACGAAUCAGAAAUUCUUUGGUCGUUUGUCUUCUGCUCUAGACAGAUUAUAGAUGAACAGUUCCACAUUUACGCCCUCUAUCAGCAGGUUAAACAGGUUCAAACUAGCUUAUUAUUAUGUCAUCUCAUUUAAAGCUUUUGAAGUCUCUUCAACUAGUAGCACAUUAUGUAGCUUCAUAUUAAGAAUUAGAAGUUUCUGCAUAAUUAGAUUGAGUCCUCUCCUUCCUACUUUACGCGGAAGUCGGUAUUUAUGCUACAAAACUUUUGUUCUGUGAAUUGAUCACUAAUAACAGUGGUGUCAUCAUAAAAUCUCCUCUUAAAGUUAUAUAACAUGAAAUGUAAUCCUAGUUUUUGCUAUAUAGCUCAUAAUACCAGACCAUCAUCUGGUACAUUCAUGGAAGUUGUUAAGGCAGCACUCAGCCAUGUCUAUGCGACUCAAGAACGUGCUGUUAUAAGGGCUGAACAAAAAAGCUAUGGUUAUGCUCAAAUCGUCGCUUCAGCUGUGAACAUCUCAAAUUUAUUGCAUGAUGCAGAUGUUAAAACUGUACGUAUGAUUUUUAUGAAUUGUGCUUAUGCUUUCUUGUCUAAUGUAUUACAUAGUAUAUUUUAAUUACAAAUAGACCUUAUUAAAUUUAAUUUUCCAACUUGAAAAUAUAUGAUAACAAACUGUGGAAAUCAUUGGUAUAAUACAUGUAAUUUUUUUCGUGCAUAUGCUUUCUUGUGCCAUGCAAUUUAUGUUUUGAAGGUUCACAUUAUGUGUAGACAUGCACAAGUAUACAAUGCUAUUCCAUGGAAGUGCUAUAUUCUAUGGAUGUGGCUUUGUGAAUCAGUGUUAUUCUGAUGUAACUAAAUUAGCCAAUUGUUGCUGUCGACCAUUUGCAAGGAUUGCUGACAUCUCGACAUUGUUGCAUG